CCAAACUAAGCCUUAUUGUGUGGGCAACCGAUUGAGGAAACUAUAGAUCCUAUGAUAUUCAAAUGCCAAUUCAGUACAGACUGCUAGUUGAAGCCGGGCAUUCUUUGACUACAAACGUUUUAAAUUAUGUUGUUACGUAUAGAAGUAAUUAUAAGUACAUUUGAAUAUAUUUCAUGAAAAUUUUAGUGAUAUCAAAUCGAGUCGUUGUUGGUGUUUUUUUUUGGUAUAAUGAUGACAAAAUGUAAAUAUAUGGCUAACAGAACUCUAAAUGGCGCCCAAUAUCAAUUAGAGGAACUCUAAACGAAUCAUCGUUUGCUAAAAAAUGCAAGUCAGCCGAACUUAGGCCGCGUUCGUUUUCUCUCCGCCCCUGGAACUCCGCUCCGGGAGCGGACCAUACUUUACCUGAAUUUGAUGGAGCUGGCAAAACCCAACUCCCCAACUCUGCGGAGCGGGGAAGUUCCGAAUAGGGCUUUAGUUUAUAACAAAAAGGUUGGCCAUACAAUGGAAAAGGGUGCGAAGUCUUGAGUGGACAAAAUGGAUUAUUGCAAUACAGACGCCAAACACAAUUUAAUUAUCCUGUGGAAAUUUAAUAGGUCAUUUCUCUAUAAUCAUGUGGUUAAUGCAAUCAAACCCCGGUUGCUGGAGCUAAGGGGUGAAAGGAAAAGAGCACAGUUUAGGGGUGGUGGAGCUGUGCAAAACGUGUGACUGAUGCCUAGCUAGGAAAUUACUGCAAAACUAAGUUGGCGGUCGAACAAAUUAACCAAAUGCAUUCAUGCGCGACGCAUGAGAAGCUGGGGCGAGCAAAUUAAGCAUGGAGGUGCGUAGUUGCCGGACGCGUGCUGCAUCUCCAGGCAGCGCGCCAACUGAUUCAGUUUGUAUGUCCGGUGCACUCGAUCUGCCCAUAUAUACCACCUUUCUUCUGCAAAGCCAGCCACACCAUCGAUCUCCAUCUCCACACAUUUCAUCGGAGAAGCAUGGUUUCCAUGGCGGCGGCCAGGAUCGCCGUCCUCCUGGCCGUGGCAGCGCUCUUCACCGCGGCGGGGGCAGCGGAUCCCCAACGCGCAAAGGGAGCACAUUGCUGGCGGUGCUACUCUUCCUGCAUGCACAAGUGCGACGGCCACCGUGAUGCCGCCGCCCGCUCUGCCAGCCGUACUCAGCCCGCAGUCCACACAACCGUCGAUGAUGGUGCAGCAGCCUCCUCCAUCCCCGUCAACUCUACCAAUGGCACUGCAGCAGUCGUACACUCCACCGAUGGCACUCUAGCCACUGUUGACAAAACCGAUCCAGCAGUCGGCCACAUCGGUGAUGCCAACGACGACGAUAACAAGGACUACGACAAAGAUGACGACAAGGACGACGGCGAUGAUAAGGACGACAAUAAGGACGACAAGGACGACGACGAUGAUAAGGACGACAAGGACGAUGAUGAUAAGGAUGAUGAUGACGACGACGAUGAUGAUGAUGAUGAUGAUGAUGACGACGACGACGACGACGAUGACAACGGCGGCAGCGACUGGGCGAAGUACUUCAAGUGCAAGAAGAAGUGCAUCGUGGACUGCUACAGGAGCCUCCGCCACCGCCACCGCCACCACCACCACCAUCCAAGCCCGGGUCCAAAGCCCCCGAGUCCGAAGCCACCUAAGCCAAAGCCAACACCACCAAAGCCCACACCUCCAAAGCCCGCUCCACCUAAGCCCAUGCCGCCGCCAUCGCCCACGCCACCGAAGCCAACCCCGCCCAUGCCACCACCAUCGCCCAUGCCACCGACGCCAACCCCGCCCAUGCCACCGACGCCAACCCCGCCCAUGCCGCCACCAUCGCCCAUGCCACCGACGACAACCCCGCCCAAGCUGCCGAGCCCUCCUAAUACACCGAAGCAAAAGCCAAAGCCGAAGGCGCCCGUGUCCGCUCAAGACUAAGCCUAAGCCAAAACCGCCAUGCCCACCAUCAGCCAUUGUAUCUUCGUCGACGAACACCAGCAGCAACUGAUAGGUGUAAGCCAUGACGUCUACACGCACAUAUUUGGAGCAGAGCUCGCAACAUAUAUACAACAUAUAAGUAGAGAGAUUAUGGUUGCUGCGUAUCAGUAUAUAUAGAUUAUUACCCCGGAAAAGAAUAUAGAUUAUUCUAUAAGGUUACUCUAUAGAUGAAGAAGUAAUUCAUCAGCUCUAGCUAAGCUGGGUAUAGAACAGCAGGUGUUACUGAAUAUCCGAUCUAUGUACAUGUUGUGUAAUCGAGAUUAUUGUGGGAAUAUGCUAAUCUCCUGUAUAUCAGCUAUGUUUGUUUGUUUACAGCUUUUGAAGAGAAUAUAAAUUCAGCUUUACCAUUCUCCCCUACUUAUUAAUUGGUAAUUGAUUAUCGCUUUGGUUCAUUUUUUUCACAAGCAAGAGAGAGAACUAUAUGAAUCACUAGUGAUCGUGCAGAUGCAAUGCAUGGCCAAUGACAAAAUAUUGUACAUAUCAAGUAGAUGAUUUGUUAUUCAACUUUCAAGCUGAUGAUAAAUCCAGUGUGGGAAAACUAUACUCACUCCGAUCCAUAUUAAUUGUCUUUGCUUUAUAUAACAUCCCCGACAAAGAAACCGAACAGUGCAACAAAACAUUGCUCCUUCUGCACUCUUGUAGAUUCAGAUAACAAAUUGGCCCAGCAAUUAGCACAAAUAAAUUUCAGGCUGCAAGGUGAAUGGUAGUAUACUAGAAUGGCUACGCAUCUGCCUCUCAUAUUAUUUGUCCAAAAGCUCUGAAGCAAUUUGAUGAUUGCGGUCCAAAUGAAUGCUGAUGGUCAACCUCAACCAUAUCAACAAAAACUAACAACUCACGAACAUCACAGACCGAACUUCAAGGAGUUUUUUUUUCUCAUAUAACAUGCUUACGCCUCAAAUUACAGCUAAUGUGAACCGAAUUGCAGGUAAUAAUCAUAUCCUAGAAGGCACAUAUUGUUUGUCAGGGCAAACCAUUCUCUGGAAUAACAUAGAGAAAGCAAAAGAAGAUCAGAUUUUACCCAGCUUGCCCAAAGUGAUGGUUCUCUUCUCUUCUGCAUAAGUCAUACUGCCCCCGCAAAAAAAAUAUAAGCCCCGGCAAAAAAGAAAGAAUAGGUCAUAUUGUAUAUAUGUACCUAAAUGCUAAAAAGUGCACGGAUGCUCGUUUGCUCGCGCGAGCACACACCCUGAGAGCCGUCCGAUCGCAACACGCACGCGGGAUCGUGACCCAGGGGGUUUUUUGUCGGAGAAGAUUCGUCGGCUCGGUGUCCCUCUUACGACAACCAUCAACCUGGGGAGGGCCCACCACUACACCCACUCCUCGGUGCUGUUCCCCCAAUCCCUUCUCCCCCGCACAUCUCGCUCGGCCGCCGUGGGUUGCAUCGCCGCCGCAGAAAUUGGAGCGCCAGCCGGCUGCCGCACAGGUCGCGGGUGGUGGUUGAGCGCGCGCGCGGGGCGGAGGCGCGAGAGGCUGCGGUGGUGCGCGCGGGGACUGCAGAAGAGAGGCGGAGCGGGUGAAGGUCGCCGCGGUGCUCUGUCUCCAAUCCGCCAAGGGGUGCGGGGUGAAGGUCGCCGGCGACGCUGCGUUUCCGGUGAGGGGACUCGCCACGGAAUUUCUGAGGUAAGAAUCACGUUGUUCCCCGCCCUUUUUUCACGGUUCCAUUUCUGCUCGGGGAUAAGGGUGGCCCUAGUUCGUUGAUGCGUUUAGGAUUCAUGGGCACAGGGAGGGGGAGAGGUGAUCAUGCGCGCAGAGAGGGGAGGCCCUAGUUCAUUGCUGUCCCUUCCCAAACAUUUUUCCGAGCCCAGUGGGCGGAUCCGUUGUGUGCAUCUCGUGUUAAUUCAGUCGAAUCGAGUAUGUGAUUUGCCUGAGAUUUGUGUAGGAGUUGCCUGACUCAUGUCUAUUUUUUCAUGUUAAUUCAGUUGCUUGGAGAUUUUGGAUUUUGCCUGAGAUUUGUGUAGGAGUUGCCUGACUCAUGUUAAUUUGAGUUGCUACGAGAUUGUGUAGAUUUUUUGUUGUUGGUGGGAUUGAUGAGUUGCUUCAAGUUUGUUAGGGGUUGCCUAACUACGUUAAUUGAGUUGCCGAAUCUAGAGAGGCUGGGGAGUUUGGGGAGUCUCGGACAAGAGUGCCCAUGUUAAUUUGAGUUGCCAAUAUGAUGUGGAUUUUUGGCAGGUUAAUUAAUGUUGUGUGAGGUUAAUUUUUUGGUGUAGAAAUUUGCCAUAAGUCAAUAUAUGAGUUGCCUUGACUUUGUGAUCCAUAAUUCAUGGUAAUUCAUAUUGUGUUUGCUAAAGUGUNNNNNNNNNNNNNNNNNNNNNNNNNNNNNNNNNNNNNNNNNNNNNNNNNNNNNNNNNNNNNNNNNNNNNNNNNNNNNNNNNNNNNNNNNNNNNNNNNNNNNNNNNNNNNNNNNNNNNNNNNNNNNNNNNNNNNNNNNNNNNNNNNNNNNNNNNNNNNNNNNNNNNNNNNNNNNNNNNNNNNNNNNNNNNNNNNNNNNNNNNNNNNNNNNNNNNNNNNNNNNNNNNNNNNNNNNNNNNNNNNNNNNNNNNNNNNNNNNNNNNNNNNNNNNNNNNNNNNGGGGUGGGGUGUGGGUGUCUGGUCUGUUUUGUCACUUUUUUAUUUGUUGCUUAAGUCAUUUUUAGAUUUUGGGAUUGAGGUAGGAUGGCACAUCAGCAAGCUCUAGCAAGUUUUUGAGCCAUGAAACAGGCAAAUAUAGUGCUAUAAGCAGACAAGUUUUCAUCAAGCAGAAGAAAUUGUAUAUGUGGCUAAUAAUUUUUAUAUAUUUUUUCAUUUCCCUGAUAUCCUUUUGUGUUUUUGCAGCAUCAACAAUGUCUGAGACAAGCAAAAAAAAGUGACGGUCAGGUCGCACAAGCAACCCAACAGGGUGUAGAUGAAAUAGAGGUAACCACUUUUUCUCGGGCUGAAAUAAAACAGGUGGCAGGUGUGGCACAGGGGCGGUGUUGUUCCUUUUUUUACUAGUGUUUUUUCAAGAUGAAUAUGGUGGUGGGACGGGGCGGUGGUGUUGUCAUGUUCGAGUUAUGCGACUAUUUUUUACUAAACAAACAAGCAUCAUUUUUUUCAGCGCAGGUACGCCCACCACAGCAACAAAACACGCCGGUAAUUGUCUACAAGUGUAUGCGCACUAAAGAGAUCAUCUAUCGUGGGAAGCGCCCAUCAGACAUAGAUAGUAAUACCAGUGCACCAGAUGCUGAUUUAGAAGGCAAGGAUAUCAUGCAAGAGGAGGAAUCGAAGCCAAAACGGCGGAGGACAGGCGAAAACGAGGUAAAUAUGCGUGCACUUAGUAGUUUCCACCGCCCCUUUUUUUUGCUAAGGCUGGAUGAUCAUGAGUUUUCCAAGUUAUGUAUCAUGUGAUGUGAAUGUGUGGCAACUUAGUAAAAAAAAAUCUCGAAAGCAUCAUGCGUAAGCAAGUUCAGUAUUGGAGGCCUCGGAUGAGUGCUGUUUUUGUUAUUUUUUGGUGCGCAUUGGAAGGCUAUUUGCCUGGUUUUUUGGUUUUACUUGCUUGGAAUUGGUAUGUGAGUUUCCAGUAUCCGAGAGACGAUAUCCAGAAAGUCAUCUGAAUGCACUCUUUUUCGUUUUGUGUAGUAGAAACUAAUGGAUGGAUCAAGCAAAAAGGGCAUUCAAGAAGAUCAUCAUGCAGUUAAUCGUGAUGCUGAUCCCUCGCAUGCGAUUGAAUAUCAUCAAGAGGUGUGUCAGAAAAAAGAUUCAAUAAACUUGUUGUGUGUUCUUUUAACUUGUUGCGUGUUCUUUUUGCAGGGCUAGAGACGCACACCCUUUAUUGGGUACCAGCAUCGGGGAAGAAAGGAGAUUGCUUCCCGUGGCAAACGUCCGCUAGACAUCAACAACAAUCCGAGUGUUUCCACAGAUGGUGAUGGAAAUGUUGAGAAAGACACUGCUGUGGAACAACCACCAAAAGCAAAACGUCAAAAGACCGGAUCUAACGAGGUAAUACACAGUCGCUUCACUUCUGAUCAACAUUUGCCCAAGUUCUGCUGUCAAGUUGCCUAACUGUCCAGGAAAUACACAUGUUUCAUCUGUUGUUGUAUUUUUCUUCUAGGAUAAGAGAAACAGGGCAUCGCCUGCAAGGCUUUUCAAGCUGAAUAAACUUCUUGUACCUGUUUAACAAGGCCAAGCUCAAGUCACUUUCAGUCAAUUUCUGACACCAGGUACCAUAAAUCCAUCUCUAUAUGAAAACAGUUGUUGCAUAGUAGUAAUCCUUUCUUGCCUAACAUUAUUUUUCUUCAACCAGCUUUUUUUACAUUCAUUUCUUUCUUGCUUAAUCAUGACAUGUAAGUUGCCUAAACAUAUCACCAAAGUUGCCGAAAACACCUGAAAUUUUGCUUCAGAAGAAUACCCAUGUCAGUUUCAUGUUUGAUUCACAAUACUACUGAAUUUGCACGAAACAAGCCCUAAAACUUUGCCUACCAUUGUUUUCUUGCAAGCAGUUUUUUUACACAUCAUUUUCGUCCUUUGCUUAAACAUAACAUGUAAGUUGCCUAAAACAUAGCACUUAACUGGCUAAAAACAUCUGGAGUUUUGCUUCAUAAUAACCAUACCGGUAUUUCUUGCUUCACAUUUGUCCUAAUUUUGCCCAAACAAACCCUCAAACUUGCCUACCAUUAUUUUCCUUCAACCAGCCUUUUUUUACAUUGACUCCCCACCCUUUUUGCUUAAUCUUAACAUGUAAGUUGCCUAACCAUAACACUUAACUUGCUUAAAACAACUAGUCGUUGCACAACACUCCUGGAUUUGUCCAAAUAGGGCUUGAAGCUUGCCGAAACAUCUACACACACACCUUGCUUACGAUCUACAGUUGCUCAAAACAGGCCAAGCAAGUUGCUUUACCAGUAAACAUACUUGUGUUUCUACCAACUUAUUAAGCAGAACAACAAACCCAUCAAAGCAAUUAGGCAAAAAAUCUAACAUUUGCAGCAAUUAACAGCACCUGUGCAACUUUGUAUUUCUGUUUUUUCAUCCAGUACAUGCUCUUACACAUUUUUUUAAACUGCAGCCUUAUACAUAUCAUGCGGAAAGAGAAAGGGAGGCUUGUGUUCUUCAGUAACCCAGGGGACAGGGAUGAAAGGGAGGCUUGUGUUCUUCAGUAACCCAGGGGACAGGGAUGAAAGAAGCACACAACCAUGGGGGAAAGUGAAAGCUAAAUCUGACCUUUUUCUGUGCUUCUUCUACCCUUAGUCAAUAUGAAUUGCCUGGAGAACAAAUCCUAAACCAGCCACCAUUGGAGGAUUAUGGAGAGUUUUCUGGAUCUGGGAGUUGUCCCUUUGUGGCUUGGGAGAGAGAAGAAGAUGGGGCUGGGCGAUUUGAUGGGGAGAAAAGGAGACGCCCAGGGGGGUGGAGGAGGGAAACACGUGGGGGAGAGAGGAUCAGGUGAGUUCCGCGGCUCGAUGGUUGGGUGGAAGGAAUCGGGAGCGGGGGCCAGGUACUUUCCUAUUCUGGAUAGGAGGGACAGAAAAUUACUAUUUUGGGAGGGCUGCCAGGGAACGCUAGGGAGCAGCCUCCCUAGACGCGUCCAUAUAUGUAUGUACAUAUGUGUCCAAUUCUGCACAAAUGAAGAAAAGCAAUACAACAGAAAAUAUCUCAAGAUGGCAAUGAUAGCUUACUGAACUUCUUUUGCAUUCAUGUGCAACAUGCCUAUGACUGCAGAGACAAAACAUCUUUAGAAGCAGGAAUUCAAUGAGUUGGAACUCCACAUACCUAUGAUUGUAUUUCUGACAUAUCAAUAUGCUUGAGACACAUUUUUAGAAAUAGGAAUUCAGUGUGUUGAAACUCUGAACUCUGCGACGUGCCUAUGAUUAUACUUGUCCCCUAUCAUCUAUCAAUACUAGCAGGCGGAAGGCGCGGCGGGCAGGCUGAGCCCGCGUGUGUGUGUUGUUCUUUAUUUUAGAACAGAAGGAGUGAGUGAUAAUGGGGUCGAGCUAAUAGCGAAUAAGUCUUUUUGUCAGAUUUCAGAAAUUUUCAUUACACAGACCAUUAAAACAUAAUUAGAAUCUGGAAUCAGUCGUUCAUUAUUUGACACUUCCGACUUCUGCUAGCUAUGAAAAUCGGAUGCAUCAUAAACAAAAAUUCAAUGCAUAUGCCUCCGCAAGAUGUUAACUUUGUAAUCUUUGCAAGAUUAGAAUCAAAGUAUCGUAUUAUUAGCCUAGGAAGUCUGCAGCGUGAUGAAAGGUAACAUAUAACGUCGGAGGAUGGAUAUCCCCUAUAUGUACAACAGUCAAUUAGAAAUCAGUGUGUUUCUCAUCUUUACCAAAUCAGUACGGCCAAAAAAAAGCUAAAGCAGCACAACUACACCACAACCUAAUUAGUCGGCUGCCGAACUAUGUUUGAAUGCUGUAGUUUAGUUAUCCAGAACAUGUACUUCUAAAAGAGAAACCUAGAACAUUUGAAAAUAAAAGCAGAUAAAUACUAAGAGCUUGAUAAAUGAGAAAACCUCGUAAACCAACAUUAAGCAACUAUACUGCUUCAGUGCAAGUUGGUCAAUCAUCUGCCAAGCAAAAGUAGCAUCCAUCGCUAACCAUUUGUCGUGCAUAAAGUAGUGUCUCGCAUAACAACCGAAUAUCUUAAUUUUACCGGAAUUAUUGACAAUGACCUACCGUGCCGCAAAAGUAGAUGUGUGAGUACCACCAAAGACCACAGCAAGAAAACAAUGCAAGUAUAAAUGUUCCUCGUGCCCGUCAUAUAAACUACAUUUCUAAAUACCAUUGUUACUCUUUUUCUUCACAGAUUAUCGCUAGUUUGAAUGCACUGAACCUUUUAGUGUGAUUUUCAGUUAAUGAAAACAUUUUUUAUCGAACUGUACAUGCUUAUAUUCAUAUAUUAGAUGUGAGUACAUGGAUUAGAUAGUCGAUUCUCCAUUCUACUCCCAUCACUUGCAGCAACAUUUCUAACCACUAGAUGACUCGUUGCGCCGAUGGCGCAAAGAGCGAGUUCAAACCAAGCAUUGAUAGAGUGAGCAUAAAAAUAUGUAGAUACCCAUUAGAGCAUAUGGAUUUUUUUGCAUCAUGGAAGUUUUCAGUCAUGUAGCGAAGUCCACCAGCGUAAGAUGAUGGCAUUACAUUUUUCUUAGCGGUCUCGGUUCCAUCAAGCUUACCAAGGCCAACAACAGCAACAAUAAGCUGGAGUUUUUCAACGCGCAUGUCAUCCUGAGGUUCUUCGGAAAGGGUUCUCAUUGAAUAGCGAGAAGAUUAUGAGCCAACAGGUCACCAGAGCUACCAGAGCAACAGCCAAAUAGCAAGCAGAAGAUGAUAGGACAGCAACCAAAUGCUCUUCUAAAAAAAUACAUAGCAGAGAGAACUUAUUUGCGGUUCAUCUUACAGAGGAAUGUUGUUAUAAUGAAAACUAUGUAAUCACACUUUGUUUUUUUUCCGGAUCUUUAAAGUGCACAGUGGUUCUGUGUUACUCUUGUAUAAACCCUGAGCAAGGUAUAGGCCAUUUAAAAAUCCGGGAAAGACACCUGAACAGUAUACAAAUUAUGCAAACUGACAGUAAAAGCUAAACAUAGGUAGGACAUAAAGAGGAGCUGGUUACUGUGCAUGAAGUAGGCAGAAUGAUGAUUAAUUUUAGCAGCUAAUUUAUGAGCAUUCAGUUGACACGGCAGAAUAUAAUGAUUAUCCUGUCAGAUAAAUUAGGCAAGCAGGGUCCAUAAAGCAGCAGGCCCAGGACUAAGCAGAAGACACAAGAAGGCAUACAAAGGGCAACGACAUUGACAAGCAGUAGAUUAAGUACCAUGGCCCAACGGCAUUUACAAUGAGUAGAAAUUGUCAUAGGAAGGGAGAUAAGAUAGAAAGGGCCAACGUGAUAUUUACAACGCAUAGCAGAUGGUCUGUUUGAGCGCCUAAAUAGAGGAAUUGUCAUGACAAGGGCUUGACAUAGCUCCACAGAUGCCAAAGCCGUGUCUUAAAAAGGUGCACAAAAUACAUCAGAUGCAUAACCAAAAGUGUGCCGGGCUGGCGAUCUUCACACCCGACGGCGAGACCGCUGCUACGAUGCAGUAGAGCUGAGAAGCUCUCUUGACCAGCAUAUCCAUCUAGCGGCUAACUUAGCUUGAUAAGAAAGCAGAACAUAGAAGAUACCCUAAGGAAGGAGAUGAACCAUUAGUCAAUCUACGACGACAGGUCAUGUACGCCGGAUGCACCAGGAACAGAAUUCAAGAAGGGAUUGUCGUACCAUAUGUACACGGCGAACCUAGCCUAUUGAAGAACUACCGCUUUGCUUUCUUUGGAACGCUGGCGCCCUUGGCCACUGCAUUUACCCUGAGUUGCAAGCAGUGUGAAAAACAAGAGGCAUCUCAGGAAAGCUAGCACCGGCAUAUAUAACAAGAAGCAUAGAAUGUAAUAAGAAGAAAAGCACAAACAUCAAAUGUAGUAGAUGUAGGCCAGCAUAAUUUAGUAGCAGGCUAAGUGAGCCCAAAAAACACAGCUGAUUCAGUUACAUGGUUAAUUUAGUUGCAUAUAUGAAGUAUGUUAUCUACUAUGCAACAACAAGUAUCGCUUGCACAAGCAUCAGAAAUGAAACAGGAGCAUCACACAAUACUAAGCAGAACAGAUGUUGCAUCCUGAAGCUAUAAAGCUGUUUUACUGGGUAUUUGGUAAGCUCUAAUCUAACAGUGAAAAAAAAGGUUCAAUGAAACUCCAUCACAUGCAUCGGUUAAGAAGAAAACAAUUUGUAAAUCAUAUAGAAUGAAGCUUUGCAUUUUUAAAACGACACGACCAAGGAAGAAUAACAAUCAUCAGGAUACACCCUGCACUGAACUGGGAAAAUGUAAUGGACUAAGAGCCUUUACCUCUUGUUUUUAGUCAGCUCAGGAAUAACAUUCGGUGCAUCUUCAGCAGCUGCGGUUUCAGUCUCUUGACCAACUUCUUUAGUUUCCUACUACAAAACAUUGGUGUGGAUCAAGCAUGGUUUGUGCAUAAGGGGAAGGUAGUUACAUGUGAAAGAGGCACGAACAUUUGGCAUGGGUACAGCUUCAACUGUAUCUCCAGUAGAAGCACUCUUUUCAGCUUUGGCAAUAACAAAGGUAGUAGAAGCAGGUAGGUCAGCCCCCUUUAACUUCAGCGGCGGUGAUCUUCAAAGGUGUAGUGAAAAGCUUGCACCGAGAAUUUUUUGGGCACGGUGAUUUGCUGCUUCCCAAGACAAAAAAUACAUUAGCCGCAGGCAAAGAAAAAGAAUUUUGAAACUUCAUGAUAGCAUAAAGGAAGGGUUGAUACCUAGGCGUUUUAGGCAUAGUGGCCUGCCCUUUGCUUUUGAACGCAGAGAUAGGAGUGUUCAUCUGGAAAAGAAACAAUAUAAGAGCCAAUCGAUGGAAAGAGUUUGAAAGGGGGAAUGACCAGUAGAUAUACCUCAUCUAGAGGGAGUGCAGUAAGUGUAGCCGAUCCUGUAGGGAAAGACUCGAGAAUGGGCAACGCUGCACCAGAGUUCUCAGCAGAAGACGACGUUCCAGAUGCGCCUGAUGCACCACCAAAUCCCAAGGGUGGAAGUUCAGGCUUAAAGGUUUGAUCGAUCCUGCUAACUUGGAAGAACAGCUGAGUGCUUGUAGGCUGGAAGCUCUUGGUGGAGAUAGAAACAACAAGCACAUACUUCUGAGCAACAAUGCGGGAAAUUUCAGUAGGCAUUGCCACAUCGCCACCUCCUAUCUGGGCAAGAUCAUGCACACUUGUAAAACCUGGGUAUUUGCGUUCAAUUAGAGGCAGGACUGGCUUGCCAACAACACUCCUUGCAGCUUUAUCAAACCACAUGAAUUCUGCUUCAGCUCCACCAUCACUUCCAAAGGUGCACACGCAGUAUCUACAUACCACAAACCAAAUGGACUAAGAAGCAAGCGAAUAUACAGAUGGAACAAAGCCUCAUGCGGGAAAUGCACUCACGAGGGAUCUGCAUUAACGGAAGGGCAAGUGGGGUCCGAGCAACGGAAAUGCCUUCCAAAAACAUAGGUUGUUUUAUGACAUUCCCGGCAUGACAGGAACCACCAGCAAUUGUCAUAGCCCAGCCUUGUAAUAAUAACCUUCACCAAUAACUGUUUCUUCUACAUUUGAUCAGCAACACAAUUACAAUGAGAAGGAAGGCAAGUUGAAAACAGGGAUAGAACAAAAGAAUUUUUUGCUCCCAUGGAUGUAAAAGCAAACAAGCAAUUGUACUGGGCCUUUUAUAAUCAAGCAGGGGUUCUAAAAACUGAGGCGGUUUCUUAAAGGGAUCAACAAAUACUUUUCCAGCCUUACAAGAAUUGUUGUAUAUAACACGCCUUUUUGUGAUAGCAGACUGUGACUUUACCCUCUCACGCCACCAAAAGCUAGCCCCGCAGUGGUUGCAUCGGUAGUCGGGAGCUCCGUAGUAUGACCUCUUUGGGUAGAAAUCUAUAGGAGUUUUAAGAGCGAUAAGAACGCAGAACAUUGGGAAGGGGAAAACAACAUGGUUAAUAAUAACAAAGAGAUACCUUUAAGGAUCUCGACUUCGUCAGGAGAAAAACCAACCCAACCAGGUUCCAGAGGAGAUGCUAGGGUAUGCUCUGCGAGAGCUAGAACAAGAAGGCACCAACAUGACAUAGAGAACGCAAGGAAGCAGCACUACAAUCGAUCAAGGAGAACAUGAACUAACCAUUCUUGUUGUGGGAGCAGAGCCUGUCCAACAAGAACCUGCACAUUUUACGGUUGUGGGAAGUCUCAGCAGAAGAAAGAGAUACGAAACACAAAACAUGCUAAGGGAGAAAGCCCUAUUUAUCAACGGAUGCCAAGAGUUGGCAUAACUAAAAAGGUGUAAAGAACAUACGUUUCCUCUUUCAAACAACAAGGGGAACGGCAGGCGUGGCCGACACAGGAGGCAAAAGAGCUGCAGCACGAGCAGCACAGCGCGGGAGAACAGCACGGUGCACAACAGGAGAAUGGGCUGAAGGAACAGCCGGUCUGGCAGGAACAGCUGCCCGGGCAGGAAUAACACGGCGCGGAGGCAUACCGCAACCAGAGAAACUAAAAGCACGAAAAGAUACACGCCAUGGUACUACAAGAAACAAGCAAACAAGCGGAAACUAAGCUCUAAAAUUGCUUCGGUGCAGGUUAAAGGAUAAUCAAAUAAGAAUAGCACAAUUUUCCAAGGGUAUCAACACAGUCAUUGAAAGACACAUCAUAUAAGGUAACAAGAAUAAACAACAUAAGAAGAAAAGAGCAUGAAACUGAAUUCAUUCAUUACACACAAAUAAAUAGAAUCCUGGAACAACAGAAGUACCCUGUAUAAAAGCUAAAUAGAGUACAAAGACGCCAAAAGGCUUGAGUACAGCAAUGCCAGGUUAGGCGGUGGCUGUGAGCGAGUACAAAAGGCACUAAUGGGUGUGGCUACAGAGGCCGAGCGCGCGCAAGCAAGGGCCCUCUCUAAGUAAGCCGCAUAACGAACAGCCGACGCGAAGACAGCGACAACAGCAUUCCCUGAAUUCCUAUAGCAAACCACACACUCAUAGCUGUAAUCCUUAACUAUAAAACCAUACAUCCCUUGCAAAAACCUAAUUGCCUGCAAAGCAGCCUGCUCGUAUGCAUCUACACAACCUUCCCACCCAGAGGCCCAGGGGAAAAAAUUGCAGCAUCGCCAGGACACCAUCCCCAGGAAUGUCAAUCUCUACCCCAGCAAGGACAUGGCCAUCCCCGUCAACCUCAUGCAUAUAGCAAGGGGCAGGCAGUGCACGGUGCGCUGCUACGGCUUCCAGGAUUGGAACAACAAAGGACAGCACAACACACAUUCUGGACAUGCGAAGCAAGGAUGCAAUAAUAAGCAUGAAAGAACACAUGGAAUCAAGAAGUAAAAUAAUUAAUCAACAAUAAGCAAUGGUAAACAAAGCCACAAAAUGACACAACGCACGGAACACACACAGUUAGAAGCGGGCAAAUGACAAAAUUUGAGAUGAGCAUAAGGACAACAAGCGAAGAAGGAAGAUGGUACCUCCGCACGCCAAAGUAGAGCAGCCGAUGUGCCAAAUGAGAUGAACCACAACAGAACCUUUGCAGAGCUGGAGCCAGGAGAUCAAUUAUCCGAAUAAUAAAGACCUGUAACACACGAGAAAGCCAAAAAACGUAAGCAAGCAUAUAGUCACAUACCCUCCUUACAGAGGCAUGCUAAAGCCUAAACUAAAAGAAACCAACGGAAAGGAUAAAGAAAAGAAAGAUGGCAAUCGCAGCAGGAGAAGACAAGCAACAAUUUAAUGCGAAGUAACCUGGUGCAGAAGCAUUUAAGCAAACCGAGAACACUCAAAAACAACCUCAAACAGCAGUUAAGUAUUGCAGACAAGAGCAUGCAGACCAUAUCCAUGCAAACGCAGCUAGACCGACGUAAACCAACCGAGGCACGAUGAACCAAACCAGACAAGAUACAACCUUUAUAAGAAAAAGCACAAGAAACAAAAAAAAACAUGCGACGGUAGUAACCUGAACAAAGGCAAGGACGAACACUCAACCCAGCCAAACCUAAGAUCGAACCAAACCACCCAUGUAAGCAGUACGCAACAGAUCUGAUGCAACCAGCAGCCAGGAAAAACGAACGCAGCGCAAGAAACAACCCAUAAUGAAAGGAACCUAGGCAGACAUUUCAUCGAACAGCUGAUAAGCAAAGCAAGAGGUGUUGGAUAAUCCAAACAAUCUCUAGUAGUAUACGUGUUGGAUGUCUAGUAGUAGUCCGAGUAGAGGAUGAAGCUCACCCUGAGAAGGACGGACGAACAGGUGAAGAGGCGCACGGCAAACCAGCCGCAGCGAGGAAAGAAGAAGGGAUUAAUACGCAAUGCAAGCAACCGAAGCCAUAGCCAUAAAAUCAGCGAAUCAGCGGCGCUCACCCUAACCGAACGCGGAGGCAGGCACGCGAGGAGCCAUGAGCAAAGAAGUGACAAGCACGGCGACGGCAACCAACGAUGGCGGCGGAGGACGAACAACGACGCCCAGGCGAGACCGAGCGGAGUGGAGUGAAUCGAGAGGGAGGCACUGACAGAGGGGAGGAUGAGGAUGAAAGAAAAGCGCCUCCUCGGUCAUCAACAGGACAGGGGCGCUGUAACUCCUAGAGUGACCCAGAUAAAGGAGAGCACGAGACCGACAAAUGGGCCCAGCCGCACGAAGGGCCACAUGCAGCAGAACAACUGGAGAAGUCCCGCGUAUGAACAAGAAAAGGGCGGAGCACCCUAUUACCCAGCGAGUACAGGCGUGCUGGCACAGCGGCAACCAAUGGGAGCAGCGCGCGGCUAUGAAGAGACAGAGAUGUGGGACCACAUCGGCUGAAGCAGAAUGGUCACAGGUGGGUCAAACGCACCUCGGUAAAAAAAAUGCCACGGCGGCCUGCAGCCCACGAUCGCCUCUGGCUGCCUCUGGCCAACCCACGAUCACCGCUCCGCAAGCACGCACCCACGCUCUCACCGCAGGAUGGACCCGCGCGCAAAGGCUGGCCCAGCUGUCAUCCUCUGCGACCGAAGCACAGAACGUAGAAAAAGAACUAACACCGGGAUGUUUGACAGCGAGGUAAAACGCUCAAAGCAAGUAUUAAGCGAGAUAGAAUGGCCAGACCAGAUGCUCAAAGCAAGUAUUAAGCGAGAUAGAAUGGCCAGACCAGAUUCUCUUAUCUNNNNNNNNNNNNNNNNNNNNNNNNNNNNNNNNNNNNNNNNNNNNNNNNNNNNNNNNNNNNNNNNNNNNNNNNNNNNNNNNNNNNNNNNNNNNNNNNNNNNNNNNNNNNNNNNNNNNNNNNNNNNNNNNNNNNNNNNNNNNNNNNNNNNNNNNNNNNNNNNNNNNNNNNNNNNNNNNNNNNNNNNNNNNNNNNNNNNNNNNNNNNNAUUCUCUUAUCUCGCUGCUAGCUGUUUUUUCGGACCACAUCGGCUGAAGCAGAAUGGUCACAGGUGGGUCAAACGCACCUCGAUAAAAAAAUGCCACGGCGGCCUGCAGCCCACGAUCGCCUCUGGCUGCCUCUGGCCAACCCACGAUCACCGCUUCGCAAGCACGCACCCACGCUCUCACCGCAGGAUGGGCCCGCGCGCAAAGGCUGGCCCAGCUGUCAUCCUCUGCGACCGAAGCACAGAACGUACAAAAGAACUAACGCCGGGACGUUUGACAGCGAGGUAAAACGCUCAAAGCAAGUACUAAGCGAGAUAGAAUGGCCGGACCAGAUUCUCUUAUCUAGCUGCUAGCUGUUUUUUCCUCUCGCACGACACUAUUCAUAGCGUAUACGUGGAGCCGGUGGUUGCGCCUAGCACCCCAGCAUCCUUUAUAAGGUAAAUUGGGGAAAAAGCAUCACCGAGGCAACCAAUACUUAUUAUAUCAAUUGAAUUAUAAGAAAAAUAGGGGACAUCCUGAAUAUGAUAAUGCACUGAACAUCCAAUUUACACGGAGGAAAAAACUGUAUUUUUUGUCUCGUCUGACAUAAUAAAAAGCUGGUGCAUGUGAAAUAUAUGAUAACAGUAAUGCUAACACUAAAAAUGUCAGUGUCUGUGUUGUACUCCCUCCGUCCCGAAAAACAUGUCGCAAGUGGAUAUUUGCAAUUUAGUCCUCCAUGUUUUCCCGACCGAACCCGAGGUCCCUCUUCUUCCUCGCUCUCGCUCUCACUCCCUCCCGGCCGAACCCGACGACGGGUGCCGCCUUGCCGCCCCCCGCCGCCCCUCUCCGCCACCGCUCCUCCCGCCCCACGCCGCCCCCGCUGGCACCACCCCUCCCGCCUCACGCCCCACGCCGCAUCGUUCCCCGCUUCGUUCCCCAACGUGAAGCACGCGUUUUUUUUUGUCGAUCCUCCCGCCGCUCCUGUCCGACGGCCAUGUGUUUACCUCGCCAGGGCACGGCAGUGGGGCGCCCUCCUUUCUCGCAUUCCUGGCGCGGCGGCUGCUCGGCGGAUUGCAAAGAGGCAGGUGGAGGAGCUCACCAAGUAGCCCGCCGGAGUCAGAGGUCUCCUUUUUCCCCUUCUCCUCCCUUCGAUCUACUGCGCCCAUGCAAUUUCUUCUUUUAUCUUCUUCGAUUGUUCGGGCCAUGUCCACCCAAUUUCUUCUUCAUCAUCCUAGAUUUCUACAGGGCGUUCGAGGAUAGGGACAAGCCGGCGGCGCGAGCUCUGCCUCCGGGGAGAGGCCGAGGGGCGAUGCAUCUUUGGCCUUGAGACAAGAACCGAGACCAAAUUAGGUGCAUCAAAAACUUCAGGUAACAAUGGUGAGAAUAACUCUGAAAUUGACUUGCCGAGUUCCUGCUCAGUGUAACAGGGAUAUGAUUCUGAAAAAUAUAUGCCUGAAUUUACCUUCUUGGUGAGAGAAUCGCGUGGAACAAUGUCAAGUUCGAUGACCUUUCUUCCUGACAGAAGCUGCAGCACAACCACGCCAAAGCUGUAGAUAUCACUUGCGCGCAAGUAAGCUUGGAGUGUGUUAAUGUACUCAGGAUCCAUGUAACCAAUGGUUCCCCCCACAUCUGUGAAGACCUUGGUCUCCUCCAUUUGCAGCGUUUUUGCUAGCCCAAAAUCAGACAGCUUAGGCUCCAUGUCCUCUGUCAGCAAGAUGUUGGUAAGCUGUAAAAAUGAAUUCAGCACACAAAAGAUAAGAUGGCUUCGCAAAUUUUGCGUGCGCAUGCUAAUGUCGAGGGAUCAAAAAUAUAAGGAUAUUGUCACCAUAAUGUCUCUAUGUACAAUGCAUCCAUCGGAGUGUGUGUGAAGAAACCUCAGGACAGAUGCACAGUCCCUGAGGAUCUUCACCCUUGUUGGCCAUGAGAGCAGAGAGUCACUUCCUGCCAAUCAAUAGCAUGCAAAACUUACAGUAAUUCAACCUUGUAGCUCGCGAGCUUGAAUUAACAUGAUGGAUGGAUCCUUCUUACUGAGUAGAUCGAUUUUCGGCGGCUUCGCUCAAGGCCGACGAUUGGGCGCGUGUGGUGGCAGUUCGAGGAGUGGCGACAUCUUCUGGUGGAUUGUUGUGUGUGCUCUGGUCUGAAAGUUUGUGCUUGGAAGGAGUGGCAACAUCUUCAGGUGGAAGGAGUGGCAGUUCAAGGACAUCUUCAGCAGUGGUCUGAAUUGAUUCAGGUGAUUCCUGAAUUGCUGCAUUUUAAACUGCACUAAACAACUGCAUUUUCAACUGCUGAAUUAGACUGAAUGUUCCUCCUGUAUAAUGUCACAACUAAACAUUUGCACUUCUAGAAUUAGUGUGCACUUAUAGAACUAGUCUGCACUUAUAAAAUGGCACAAUAGUGUACAGGAGUAAUCUGUCAUGUGACAGUAGUCAUGAUUAAUCAUCUUGAGCUUUUUCCAUUUAAUUUUUGAAUCGCAGCAUCAUUUAAAUUUGUUUUUAAACUUGUUUCAUGCAUCCAUGGCCGCACCAUAGCAGCGAGUACUGCUUGUUGAGAUACUACUGCUCCUGUCAAUAGCAUACUGAAUACUCCUGUCAAUAAACUGAAUGGCACAGUACUGUACAUGAGUAUUUAGACAGUUCAGUGUUGACGUAUAAACUGAAUGUUUAGACAGAGUUCUUAUUCAUGUGCUCCUGUCAAUAGAAUCAAAACUGAUUUAUUACCUUUCCAAGUUUGUUUCUGAACAGUAGUGACCUGGAGUAGUGUAGUGGUCCUGUAGUGACCAAAUUUUCAAAUACUCUCUCUAAAUUGGUGAAAAUACCCCUUAUACUUCAUGCUCAAGAUGUUUUUUGCAGAAAAUGCUGCCAUACUCAAGUUUUUUUGCUGAAAAUACUCCAUGUUCAAGUUGAAUGCAUCCAAAAAUUUUGUGUUGUCAGCGAGGGACUGAAGAAAAUGUGUUCUCAAAUUUAUUUACUGUAGAUCCAGUAGAACAAAUUGUGUUGGCAAAUUUCAAAUUGUGUCUCAGACAAUGGCCUGGAGUACUCAUCAUGGAGUAGUUCUGGUAGAUUUCUUGGACUUAAGAUUUCAAGAUCAUGGAGUAGUUCUGGCAUGGAGUAGUUAUGGCAGAUUGAUGUAUUAAUAUAGGAGUACUCUGUUUAGAACAUGGAGCAAAUUCAGUAGACAUUUUUAACUGAAUGCAUCUUUAACUGAAUUUGCUAAGUUAAGUGUCAUACACAGGAAUUCUGCACGCCAUCCAAAUUGAUUUACUAAAUAUUGGAUGUUCAGCACUGUAAGUCAAUUUUCUUCCUUUGAUAAACUUUACUCCAUUCUUUGUAUCUAAUCUAUCCACGCUAUGGCUGCAUAUUUAUUUACUGUACCAAACAUGUCCACUGAAAAUCUGUUUUUGCUAUGCCAAUCAUUUCAGUAAAUUAGAAUAUACAGUAGUAUUUCUUGCAAAUUGUUUUGUGACUAUUCUUGAGAUGGUCUUUCUUACUUUAGCUGAUCCAUCCCAUGUGAUAUGCUAGAUUUUAGCAUCUGUAUUGAUGAACCUUUGAUGAAACUAAAGAAAAACUGGAAGUGUCCUUGAUAGCAUGAAAUGGACCUCUUAACUAAAUAGAAGCGAUUUCUUGUCAUCCACAGUCCUUUUUUAUUUGUUCCAUGCUGAUAGCUUUGCUGAUUUAACAUUAAUAAGAAAACCAUAUUGAUUUUAAAUUUUACAUGCAGCUCCUGAGGUGAAUAAUGUAUUGAAAGAGAUGUCAUCAUCAGAGGAUGAGCAAGUUGAACACGGCACUGUAGAACAUGAAUUGUUUUCCAUGCCAUCUGAUGCCAUGGAGCAUGGAACAAAAUUGUUUUCCAUGCCAUCUGAUGCCAUGGAGCAUGGAACAAAUAGCAGCAGCAGCACAUAGCAGCAGAUCAAUCUACAGGCAACUGCACCUUCUUCAGAGUGCAAAUAGCAGCAGCAGCAACACGGCGCAGUCACUUGGACCAGCAGCAGCAGCAACACGGCAUGUUCACUUGGAUCAGCAGCAGCAGCACAGGCAGAGGAGCAGCAGCAUCAACACGGGCAGAGGAGCAGCAGCAGCACGGGCUAGCUCCACCGGCGGCAGGGGAGAAGCAGAGGAGAAACAGAGCAGCAGCAGGCACGCGGCCAGAUGAGAAGGAGCAGCACGGCAGCCGGUGGGAGCUCGACGAGGACUUGCGGGAGAUAGAGGAGGACGCGCGCAAGCUCUUGUCCACCGGAUCGUGGAGGCCGGUUCCGGCGAUGCCCGUAGGAGAUCACGGCGGGAGGGAUCGCGGCGGCACACGGGAGGCAGCUCAAGGUGAGAGGAGGACUCGCGGUAGCUCGAGGAAGAUGAGAGGGAGCUCCUGCUCCGCCGGAUCGUGGUGGGAAAUUCCGGCGACGUCCGCAGGUAAUCCGGCGAGUGGGGAUCGCUGCGGCACAGGUUCGGGCGGCGGUGGCGGAGCAGGUACUUGGCACGGCGGCGGCGGCGAAGGUACGUGGUGACGGAGGCGGAGCACUUCCUGAUGGGCGCCAAAUCACGCAGCUUGGCGGCGCCGGCCCCUAGCGACGCACGGGCGACGGCGGAGGAAGAAGACGGGGGUGGAGGGACUUGUUUGCGACGGUUUGGAAACUACGAGUUUUUUUUGCAAAAUCACCAAUGAACUACGGGCACGACAUGUUUUUCGGGACGGAGGGAGUACUAACCUGGCAAUCUAUCACGACAAAAUCAAGUUCAUAGACUGCAUCAUUAUCUGAGUUUCUGACUCCCAGAUACUUGCAAACCACAUCAUAAUUUCGCACUUAUAAGAUUGCCUAGAAUAUAGCUCAUAUUGAUGCACCCCAACCUACAACAUCAGCAACAUUCAUUAGAGGAUACAAUGAAAAUUAAGAAUAAAAAUACUGUUGAUAUUAAGGGAAAACAUGGCAGACCAGCAAAUCUUGUGCCAGUAAAAAAUUUGAGCUAAUAGAAGAUGAUGAACAAACAAAUAUAGUCAAGCUACUUUCUUCACCAUGAGAUCCCAUGUAUUGAAGUAACUACUAAAUAUGUCAUUUUCAGUUUAGUAGCCUAAAUGUACCCUCACUCAUGGUGCAAUGCCAUGAUGCAUAGAAGAUUUUUUACGAAAAAAUUGCAACCUAUAUUAACAUAUGGGAAGAUUGUUUCAUGUAUAGGGGAGAUCUAGUGGCUUACCAACCAACCGGACAAUGAGAGCAAGAUGUACCAUACAACUCACGGCUUCAGCUGUUGUACCCCGUGUGCUUGUCAAUCAGCAAGUGCACACAACCUAAGUGCCAGCAGGUAACGCCCUGUUCACAAACCUGAGCAAGAAUUGUGAGUUUGCUCUUACGAAAAAUUAAUGACCUGUGAACCAGGUGCUUGAUCGCUUACCAGAUCCUGUCGGUAUAUCUGGUGCCAGCGCCAUCCGCCGGCAUGGACCUCACGUACCCACAGAGUGCCAGCGUUCAACGCGUCCGCCCUCCUCGUGCAGUUGCCUGGGUGUGUCUACUCGUGUUCAGGCUGUCGCAAAAGCGCAACUGAAGAUCGUUGGCGCCGACUGUCUCCUCCAGAACCGCUUGUACCAGGGCUGACCCCAUGGAGGCAGGAGGCUUACCGCGCAGGCUAGGACACAAAGAGGCUGGCGGUGGCAAAGCCCACAAGAGGCCAUCGAUGAUCUCGAGCAGCUCCCCACUGGAAGCGAUAGGAAGGCCCGAUAGGACGCGCAUCUUCCAGACCAUGCAUACGCCGCCAUCCUGUGCAAGAGCAAGCAGCCAAUUCACAGGUCAGGCCCAAUAUUCAGCACACAAACUUAUGUAAAAUACAAAGAAAUUUACCAAGGUCAGGCCCUCUUUAUACUCCGUAUACCACAAGAAUGGUAUUUCACAAACAGAGCUAGUAAUUCGUGGCAGACAAAUUUCUAGAAAGAAAAGGGAUUGCAUUCACAAAACAAAAGGAUAGAAAAAUUGGUAGAUUAUUCUUCAUGAAGAAGAGUAGAGCCUGACAACCAGAGACAUUUGAUCAAAUAAUGACAAAUACAUGGGAAUAGUAAACAUGUCAGCAGAAGAUGUUUUUGGCUGAUACGAACAUCAGAUUAUGUAACAAAAGAAGAUAUAUCAUCGGAAGUGAAUUGAGAAGAAAGGCCAUCUGAGUUUAAGAAAAUUACCAUGGGUUAAUCAAUAUUUUCAAUGCGUCCCAUAGGAGAACACGUACAUGUAUAAAAUGAUAUAACAUCAUCUUUUCAUCAUCACCAACGAAAAUCUCAUGCUGAACAUAAAUUGUUGGAAGUCCACAGCAUUAUUGCAAAACAAAUUCAGGGUUAAAAUUCAGUUGUUAGAUUGGUUCAUGGUUGAAGAAAAGUUGCAGCCCUGUACUACCACAUAUGGUCGCUUAUAAUGAAGGAAGCACAGUUGUGGAACUGCACAAAAAGAACAAUUCUUCUACAUGAUUCAGUUAUUGAUUUUAGCCAGAUUGGAUCAUCAUGCCAAUGGCAGCUAUAAAUCACAUGGGUUUGUAUAGGAAGAAGAGGUUACCAUAGUCAGGAUGGGGUUGCAGCCAUCGGCGAAGUCGGGGAGGCUGACAGCGAGGUGAAGAUGGCCAAGGCGAGGCGUUAGAAUCGGGGGAUUGGAAAGACAGCUGAGGCAAGGGAAAGUCGCCAAGGCGAGGUCGGCGAGGGGAGGCAGCGAGGCUAGCUGCUCAGAGAGGGUGCGGUGUUGUUGGGGGUCGGGGGAGGUGGGGAGAGGGAGCGCUGCCGCACUACCGACGUCUAGCUUUGACAGAGGCUCCUCCCACAAGUUCCCGAGGGAUCUCCAGGGCCUCCAUCCCCAACUGAUCUUCGGCAAAAGCGGCGUCCGAGCCAAGGAUCGGCGGUGGGCGGCGGCGGCCUGCCCCCACCUUCCGGUGGAUGCUCACGGGACGCAGCUUCAGUGACUUCACGAAGCUAAGUCUCACAGUAACUUAGCCCCCUCUAUCAGCCAUCCAUUUCAGAUCCGACGGACCAGAUUGAUCCAUAUUUUAAAUGAAUUUUUUUUAAGUGUUCAGAAAAUUUUGAAAAAAUUCCAAUAGAUCGUAAAUGUUUCGUUUAGUAGUCUGUGAAAAUUUCAACCCAUUUGAAUGUAGAGUUUGCGAAUACACAUUUUUACUUAUUUGAGCUCAAAAAGCUAUUUAAUCACAAACCAUACAUCCAAAUGGGUUGAAAAUUUCCAAGAAUACAAAACGAAACAUUUAUGAUUUAUUGGAUUUUUUUCAAUUUUUUUUGAACACUUUAAAAUUUUAGUAUGGAAAAUAGGUCAAUUUGGAACGUUGGAUCUUUAACGGACGACUGAUAAUGGGGGCUAAGUUACGGUGAGACUUGGCUUCAUAAAGUCAUUGAAGCUGCGUCCAGGUGGCAGAGGAGAGGAGCAGGUCAGCCGGGGCAGUGUCCAAUUUUCUUGGGGAAGGGGAGGGUCGGACGAUAUUCCCUUUUUACAAGGAGAGGUAAACCGGUGGCUAUCCACGUCCUCUGCUCUCUCCGUGUCGGUAAAAAAAAGAGAGGGAUGGAUCGAUCGACAAAACCCUCAAGCAUUUAGAGCAUAUAAAAAAGCAUCACCAAUAGAAGAUGUAGACAUAAAAAUAACUAAUUUUUUCUUCUCUGAGGCCUAAAAACACAUCUCUAAGAGAUGAUGUAAUUGCAAAAAGAAAUUACAUCUCCACCUUCCAAAAGUAUAAAUACAAUGCCUCGUGUUGCAAAUUUACAUUUCCAACCGCCCGAGAUGUAAACCCAGAUGUAAACGGCCAGCCGUGUGCAAACCCCAACUACCCUGAAAUUCCCUUCCUCUCCCCCAACCGGGCGCCUACCUCAAUCCACCGCUGCGCAGUCGACCCGCCGCGCCCCUCCGCCGAAAAAUUCGGCCUCCCCACCCCCGCUGCCGCCCUUUCCAUCGGCGCUCCGCCGCAUUUCAGCCGGACUCCGCCUGCAAAGCGGCCGCAAAUGCCGCUUUUCCGUCGCACCGUCGUCAUUGUGUCACCGCCCGAUUCGAGCUCCACUGCACUGCCCCGCCUCAGUUCCACCCUUGCUGCCCUAUUUGAAGCUCAGUCGCGCCUUCCCGCCGCAUUUCUAGCUCAACCGCCGCCUGAUUCGACCUCCGCCGCGCUGCCCCGCCUCAGUUCCGCCCCUGCUGCACGAUUUUGAAGCUCGGCCGCCCCUUCCUGCCGCACUGAAGCUCGGCCGCCGCCCGAUUCAAGCACCGCUGCUGCCCUGCCCGCUCCUCCUCUCGACUCCGCGCUCGGCCGCCGACGUUCGAUCCACAUCCGCGUCGCCCCACAGUCUCAAAGCUCGGCCGCCGCUGGUCGAUCCGCGACCGCGCCUCCGCCAUGCCACCAAUGCUCGGCCGCCGCCGCUUCGAGUAGUAUUUUUACAUCUUCAAAUAUGUAUCAUCUGUUGGACCACUACUUUUACAUUUUCAAUAUACAUCAUCUGUUGGAGUUGGCUCUUUUUUUGAGAUGUAAAAAACACUUUUUGGAGAUGUAAUUUUUUACAUCUCAUGUCUUACAUCUUCAAAUUUGCAUCUUCUAUUGAAGAUGCUCUUAUUAUAGAUCUGGUAUACCCGUCUCGCAAAAUUCGAUUUAUAGGAUAGCGCAAAAUAUUUUUUCAUGAUUUUACGUAUGACUUUUGUUUCACCGGAACGGAUCCUGUAAAAAAUGAUGCUCCCAACAAAAUUACAUAAACCCCCUAAGCAUAAUCUGAAUUACAAUUGGGUCUUUUGAUCCCACGCCGGCCGAGCAUUUGCUGUCACGCCCUCGCCGCAGGCUCCUCGCCACCGCUGUUGACGCGCACCUGUAGGAUCGAAAGUAUGUCUAGAGGGGUUGAUUAGACUACUUGACCAAAUAAAAUAUAAUAUUUUCUCAAUUUUAGUUGUAGACAGAUUUUAGCAAUUAUAGGAAGUCAAGCAACACCCUACACAUGCAAUUUUAAGAGUAUAGAAGUGGAAAGUGAGACCCUGCACAUCUAAGUAAAAGGAGGGGUUUGGAAAAGGCGAACGCAAUGGGGACACGAUGAUUUUUGGCGUGAUUCCGAUAGGUGGCGCUAUCAUACGUCCACGUUGAUGAAGACUUCAACCCACGAAGGGCAAUGACCGCACGAGUCCACGGAGGGCUCCAUCCACAAAGGGUCCACGAAGAAGCAACCUUAUCUAUCCCACCAUGGUCAUCGUCCACGAAGGACUUGCCUCACUCGGGUAGAUCUUCACAAAGUAGGCGAUCUCCUUGCCCUUACAAACUUCUUGGUCAACUCCACAUCACGUAGGAGGCUCCCAAACAACACCUAACAAAUCUAGGAGACAUCACUCUCCAAAAGGUAAUAGAUGGUGUGUAGAUGAUGAACUCCUUGCUCUUGUGCUUCAAAUGAUAGUCUCCCCAACACUCAACUCUCUCUCAUAGAUUUGGCUAUGAUGGAAGAAGGAUUUGAGUGUAAAGCAACUUAGAGAAAGCUAGAAAUCAAGAUUCACAUGAUAGGAUUGGAAUCUCUUGAUCUCAACACAUGAGCAUGUGGUUCUCUCUCUCAGAAAGUGAAUGGUGGAAGCGUAGUCACGUUCUAAUGGUUCUCUUACUAAGUAAGAGGGGGUGGAGGGGUAUAUAUAGCAUCCACAUGAAAUCCAACCGUUACACACAUUUGACCCAACUCGGUGGCACCGAUCAGAAUUCUCGGUGGCACGGACCUGUGUAAAAAAUAUGAAUGUUGGAGGUCUCGGUGGGACCAAAUGGAAACAUCUCGGAGCGACCGAUGUGCAAUGGUAAGGCAAACCUCGCUUCGGUGACACCAAUUGCAUCAUCUCGGUAAGACUGAUGUGAAGCAAUAAGGCAACAUAAGGCUGACAAGCCAUCUCGAUGGCACCGAUUGCAAAACUUGGUAAGACCGAAAUAAUUGCAACAUAUGACAGAGUGUUGGCAAGGCACCGAGAGCCAUAUCGACGGAUCCAAUUUGUUAGGGUUUGACUUUCGUAGUGUCCAGAUGAACUCGGUGGGUCCGGAUAGGUAGGAUUCGGUGGGACCGAGUUGGCUUGUAAGGUUUUGGACAUAUUUGGAUAGAGAAAGUGGCUGUGGGUUUUGGAGCAAUAUCACUAAGCACUUGAGCAACCUGAUCAUCAUCAAAAUCUCAUCCCCUUUUAAUAGUAUUGGUUUUCCUAUGGACUUGAUGUGAUCUUGUCUCACUUAACCAAAAAUGCAGAGUCUUGAGCUUUCGCCAAUCCAAGUCCCUAGAAUUUUGAGGGGUCCACAUUCACUACUCCUUGCAAUGCCAAUCAUUGAACUUCCUGAAAUCUUUAACUUGAAUGGAUAUUAGUCCAAUGAGGUAUAUGUUGUUAUUAAUUACCAAGUCCACUCGGAGAUUAGUUGCACUUUCAAUCUCCCUUUUUUGGUAAUUGACAACAACAUAUAGAUCAAAGCUUUGACAAUGAUUAAAUAUGAAUGAGAUACAUCAUCGCUUUGAGAAGUAUGUGAUAAGAAAGAGCUCCCCCUAAAUUUGUGCAUUAUUAAAAAUUUGCGUUAGAAUGCAAAUGCACAAUUGAUUAGGAUCAUGGGUCACUCUUCCAUGUCACAUACAACUUGGUGGAGCGCACAAAAAGAUAUGAUCGGAAUAAUAAGCACGCAUCACCAAAAGCACAAGUGAAUGAUCAUACAUAGAUAAUGAUAAUGAUAAGCAAUGUGCAUAACAUGAAGCACCGUAUGAUCAAGCACAAAAACAACCAACAUAGUAUCUCGCAAACACAACGAACAAAGUAGCACAAAUCAAAUAGUAGCGAUAACUCAAGGAAAAUCAAACGAGCGAAAGCAAGACUCUCUCUCUCUCUCUCAGCCUAAUGAUCUCUACAAAUUCUCCCCCUUUGGCAACAAGUACCAACAAGCUUGAAUAGGUAUAUAGUUAUGCGUCACUCUAGGCAUGAUCUUCGGCAGUGAUACAUCUCCAACGUAUCUGUAAUUUUUGAUUGUUCCAUGCUAUUAUAGUAUCUAUAUUGGAUGUUUUAUAUGCAUUUACAAAUGAUUAUAUAUCAUUUUUUGGGGAUUAACCUAUUAACUUAGUGCCUAGUGACAGUUGCUGUUUUUUGCCUGUUUUUCGUUUUUCAGAAUAUCAGUACUAAACGAAGUCCAAAUGCCACAAAUUUUUUUGGAGAUAGCUAUGCAAUGGAAUUACAUCCUACUUGUGGUGCAUUUUCGGUGUUUGUUAUGCUUAAUGCUCGUUUAUGAGAAUUUUUGUUUCUUGGUUGGUUGCUACUCAAUCUAUUUGCUAGCCUCCAUUUGCACUAAGUGGGAAUACGACUUGUGCAUCCAAAAUCCUUAAACCCAGUUUUGCCAUAUGAGUCCACCAUACCUACCUAUAUGCGGUAUUUCUUUGACGUUAUAAGUAAAUUUGUAUGUACCAACUCUAAUUUUUAAAAUGAAUUUCCUUUUUGUGUGCCCGUACCGCUCAUGAAGCGGCAGGGGGUGGCCAAUAUUUCUCCAUGCUAGAUCUAUUAUCUCAAGAUGAGUGUUUAUUCACUUGUCAUUGCACGAGAGUGUGGCGGUAAUAGGGAUGCCCAAUCCCGAAAUGAAAAAGAAAUUUACUUUAUGUUGUCAAAUAAUAAAUGUUGGGGAACGUAGCAUGCAAUUUCAAAAAAAUUCCUCCGCUCACGCAAGAUCUAUCUAGGAGAUGCAUAGCAACGAGAGGGGGAGAGUGUGUCCAUAUACCCUCGUAGACCGAAAACGGAAGCGUUUGACAACGCGGUUGAUGUAGUCGAACUUCUUCUCGUUCUGACCGAUCAAGCACCGAACGUACGACACCUCCGAGUUCUGCACACGUUCAGCUUGAUGACGUCCCUCGAACUCUUGAUCCAGCAAAGUGUCGAGGGAGAGUUUUGUCAGCACGAUGGCGUGGUGACGGUGAUGGUGAAGUGAACCGUGUAGGGCUUCGCCUAAGCACUACAACAAUAUGACCGGAGGCGUAAACUGUGGAGGGGGCGCCACACACGGCUAACAGAUGUUUGUGUGUCUUCUAGGCGCCCCCUCCCCACAUAUAUAUAGGUUUGAGGGGGAAGAGGCAGCCAGGGGGGGCGCCCAAGUAGGCCGAAUCCUACUUGGGCUCCCACCCUAGUUCGCCCCCCUUCCUUGUUUUGGCACUAGGAAAAGGAAGGAGGAGGUGCCCCCCCUUUCCCUUCUCCCUUGAGAAGGGGAAGGAAAGAGGGGCUAGCCCUCCUCCCUUGCCUUCCCUAGGGCUAGCCGGCCUGGUGGAGGGGUGGACCAGCCCCCUGUGGGCUGGUCUGUCCCUCCCUAGGACCAUUAAGCCCAUAUAGCUUGCCGGGGGUUGCCCGAAACCCCUUCCGGUGCCCCGAUGCGUACCCGGUACCCCAAGAACACUUCCGGUGUCCAAAUACUAUCGUACUAUAUAUGAAUCUUUACCUCUCGACCAUUUUAAGGCUCCUCGUUAUGUCCGUGAUCUCAUCCGGGACUCCGAACAACAUUCGGUCACCAAAUCACAUAACUCAUAUAAUACAAAUCGUCAUUGAACGUUAAGCAUACGAACCCUAUGGGUUCGAGAACUAUGUAGACAUGACCUAGACACCUUUCCGGUCAAUAACCAACAGCAGAACCUGGAUGCUCAUAUUGGUUCCUUCAUAUUCUACGAAGAUCUUUUUUGGUCAAACCGUAAUGACAACAUACGUUAUUCCCUUUGUCAUCGGUAUGUUACUUGCCCGAGAUUCGACCGUCGGUAUCUUCAUACCUAGUUCAAUCUCGUUACCAGCAAGUCUCUUUACUCAUUUUGUAAUGCAUCAUCCCGCAACUAACUCAUUAAUCACAUUGCUUGCAAGGCUUAUCAUGAUGUGCAUUACCGAGAGGGCCCAGAGAUACCUCUCUGAUACUCGGAGUGACAAAUCCUAAUCUCGAUCUAUGCCAACCCAACAAUCACCUUCAGAGAUACCUGUAGAGCAUCUUUAUAAUCACCCAGUUAUGUUGUGACAUUUGAUAGCACACAAGGUAUUCCUCCGGUAUCCGGGAGUUGCAUAAUCUCAUAGUCAAAGGAAUAUGUAUAAGUCAUGAAGAAAGCAAUUAACGAUCAACAUGCCAAGCUAACGGAUGGGUCUUGUCCAUCACAUCAUUCUCCUAAUGAUGUGAUCCCGUUAUCAAAUGACAACACAUGUCUAUGGUUAGGAAACUUGACCAUCUUUGAUUAACGAGCUAGUCUAGUAGAGGCUUACUAGGGACACGGUGUUUUGUCUAUGUAUCCACAUAUGUAUCAAGUUUCCGUUUAAUACAAUUCGAGCAUGAAUAAUAAACAUUUAUCAUGAUAUAAGGAAAUAUAAAAUAACAACUUUAUUAUUGCCUCUAGGGCAUAUUUCCUUCAGUCUCCCACUUGCACUAGAGUCAAUAAUCUAGUUCACAUCACCAUGUGGUUUAACACCAAUAGUUCACAUCUUUAUGUGAUUAACACCCAUAGUUCACAUCGCCAUGUGACCAACACCCAGAGGGUUUACUAAAGUCAAUAAUCUAGUUCACAUCGCUAUGUGAUUAAGACCCAAAGAGUACUAAUGUGUGACCAUGUUUUGCUUGUGAGAGAAGUUUAGUCAACGGGUCUGCCACAUUCCGAUCCAUAUGUAUUUUGCAAAUUUCUAUGUCUACAAUGCUCUACAUGGAGAUACUCUAGCUAAUUGCUCCUACGUUCAAUAUGUAUCUGGAUUGAGACUUAGAGUCAUCUAGAUCAAUGUCAAAGCUUGCAUCGACGUAACUCUUUACGACGACCUCUUUAUCACCUCCAUAACCGAUAAACAUUUCCUUAGUCCUGUUUAAGGUAACUAAGGAUAAUUUUGACCGCUGUCCAGUGAUCUAGUCCUGGAUCACUAUUGUACCCCCUUGCCAAACUCAUGGCAGCAUGGCAUACUUUAAACCUAUGGCUGAGGCAUAGGGAAUGACUUUCAUUCUCUCUUUAUAUUCUGCCGUGGUCGGGUUUGGAGUCUUUACUCAACUUCACACCUUACAAUACAGGCAAGAACUCCUUCUUUGACCGACCCAUUUUGAACUCCUUCAAAAUCUUUUCAAGGUAUGUACUCAUUGAAAGUCUUAUCAAUCGUCUUGAUCUAUCUCUAUAUAUCUUGAUGCCCAAUAUGUAAGCAGCUUUGAUACGUCUCCAACGUAUCUAUAAUUUUUGAUUGUUCCAUGCUGUUAUAUUAUCAAUCUUGGAUGUUUUAUAAUCAUUUUAUAUCUUUUUUUGGUACUAACCUAUUGACAUAGUGCCAAGUGCCAGUUGCUGUUUUUUCCAUGUUUUUUUACAUCGCAGAAAAUCAAUAUCAGACGGAGUCCAAAUGCCCCAAAACUUUACAGAGAAUUUUUAUGGGCCAGAAGGAACACAACGGGCCCUGGCUGCGCCUGGGGGGUGCCCCGAGGGAGGCACAACCCACCAGGGCACGCCAGGAGGCCCAUACGCGCCCUGGUGGGUUGUGCCCACCUCGGGUGCCCCCCGGACCGCCUCUUUGCUCUAUAAAUACCCCAAUAUUCCAGAAACCCUAGGCACUUCAACGAAAUAUUCAUCCAGCCGCCGCAGAGUCCAGAACCACCAGAUCGAAUCUACACACCAUCUCGGAUGGGGUUCACCACCUCCAUUGGUUCCUCUCCGAUGAUGCGUGAGUAGUUCUUUGUAGACCUUCGGGUCCAUAGUUAGUAGCUAGAUGGCUAUCUCUCUCUCUGAAUUCUCAAUACAAUGGUCUCUUGGAGAUCCAUAUGAUGUAACUCUUUUGCGGUGUGUUUGUUGGGAUCGAUGAACAUUGAGUGUAUGAUCAGAUCUAUCUUUUUAUAUCCAUGAAAGUAAAUGAGUUUCUUUGAUCUCUUUUAUGCAUGAUCUUUUAUAGCCUCGUAUUUCUUCUCCGAUAUUUGGGUUUUGUUUGGCCAACUUGAUAUAUUUAUCUUGCAAUGGGAAGAGGUGCUUUGUAGUGGGUUCGAUCUUACGGUGCUUGAUCCCAGUGAAAGAAAGGGAACCGACAUGUAUGUAUCGUUGCUACUAAGGAUAAAACGAUGGGGUCUAUCUCUACAUAGAUAGAUCUUGUCUACAUCAUGUCAUCGUUCUUAUUGCAUUGCUCCGUUUCUCCAUGAACUUAAUACACUAGAUGCCUGUUGGGUAGCGGUCGAUGUGUGGAGUAAUAGUAGUAGAUGCAGGCAGGAGUCGGUCUACUAAUCUUGGACGUGAUGCCUAUAUAAUGAUCAUUGCCUGGAUAUCGUCAUGAGUAUUUGAAGUUCUAUAAAUUGCCCAACAGUAAUUUGUUCACCCACCAUUUGCUAUUUUUCUCGAGAGAAGCCACUAGUGAAACCUACGGCCCCGGGGUCUCUUUCUCAUAUAUUUGCCUUGAGAUCUACUUUUCGUUUGCAUUCAUUUUUAGAUCUAUUAAACUAAAAAUACAAAAAUACCUUGCUGCAAAUUAUUCUGAUUUAUUUUAUUUGGCGUUCGAUCUAUCAAUUUACUACAAAUUUACCUCACGUCCGUUUGCCUACUUGAGGCGCCGUACCCCGGAAGGGAUUGUCAACCCCUUUAACACGUCGGGUUGCGAGGAUUUGUUAUCUGUGUGAAGGAGCUAUUUACGUUGUGUUGCUUGGUUCUCCUACUAGUUCGAUAACCUUCGUUUCAUAUCUGAAGGAAAUACCUACCGCCGCUGUGCUGCAUCAUUCCUUCCUCGUGGAGGAAAUACCAAGUAGCUUCAAGCAACAUCCAAAGGAAUUUCUGGCGCCGUUGCCGGGGAGGAUCUUCAACAUAUACCAGGUUCCUAGUCAAAAAUCUCAUCUCCUCGCAAUUUAUAUUAUUUGCCAUUUCCCUCUUGUUUUCCUCUCCCCCACUUCACAAAAAUUUGCCGUUUUAUUCGUCUCUCUUUUUCCCGUUCGCCAUUUUCUUGUCGCAUCUAUCCUUUUCUUGCAAUCAUGAGUGAUUUCGGCAUGGUACCAACAGAUGUGGCCUAACUCCUAAGAUUGGACGUACGGACAAUCUGGAUGCUAAAACUUUUAUCUUGGGGCAAGGGAAUGUUAUGGGAAAAGAACGUAUCCAAGAAUUUGUCAAUUGUGUGGGAAAUUUGAGUCUUGAUGAUGCCCCUAUACUUAAAGCUACUAGAUCAUAUGCAGAUGCUAUUUCAGCACUAGUUCUGAAACUUGAAAGUAAAUUUAUUCGUAUCCAUCCUACUUUACAAAGAUUGUUUUUUGAGCUUCCCGUUAUAAAGAAUCCUAGGGCUAAAAAGUUGGCCACUCUCGUUCUUAUGAAUGAGUUUGACUACAUAAUACAGGAAGCAAGGGAAAUCUUUGAUUUUUAUGGUAUGAAUCGUGAAAAACCUGUGAUAGAUGAAAUUCUUUACAAUAGUGACUAUGCUUUAAGACAUUUGCUUGGGGAUAAUAAAAUCUUUGAUGAGAAUCUUAAAAAGGAAGUCCCUGUUUUAGAUAUAAUCCAACAGGUUUUCAAUAAUGUUAAUCAACAUUAUUCUUGGAUUGUUGCGGGGAAUCAAAAAGGUUAUGAUGAACACCAACUUAGGAACGCUAAGGUUUCCAUGGAUAAUAUGUUUUAUGUUGUGUUCACAAAACCCAUGAUGAAAAUACCUCUAAGAAAGUUAAGAACAAGGAUGACAAAACUUAGACCCUUGCUUUGUGCCUAGCUAAGGGCGUAAAACUAUAACGCUUCUUCUGAGGCAACCCAAUGAAUAAAAUUUAUUUUUUUCUUUUUUGCUUUCUGUUCUUGAGUGUUUACACAAUUAUGCUACUGUUAUGAUUGUGUUUUUGUGUUUUAAUUAGUGUUUGUGCCAAGUAAAGCCUUUAGGAUCUUCAUGGGUGAUAGUUGUUUGAUCUUGCUGAAAAACAGAGACUUUUGCGCUCACGAAAACAAUUCUCAUUUCUUUACCAGAGCGUGAUAAAAUACCAAUUCCAAUUGCAGUAGAUUAGUAUACAAAUUUCUCAGGUCGUCCUAAUUUUUCAGAAUUUUUGGAGUUCCAGAAGUUUUCGAAAUAGUCAGAUUGCUACAGACUGUUCUGUUUUGACAGAUUCUGUUUUCUUUGCGUUGUGUGCUUAUUUUGAUGGCUCUAUGGUUUUGUUUGAUGAGUUUCUGCCAUAGAAAAGUUGGAAUACAGUAGAUAUAAUGCAAAAACAAAAUAUGAAUUGUUUUGGUACAGUACUUACAGUAGUGAUUUGCUUUCUUUUACUAACAGAUCUCACGAAGGUUUUGUUGAGUUUUGUGUGAUUGAAGUUUUCAAGUUUUGGGUUAUCUUACAAUGGAUAAAGGAAUAAAGGAUAGAAGAGCCUAAGCUUGGGGAUGCCCCAGCAUCCCAAGCUAUUAUCCAAAGAUCAGCAACCAACUAAUCUUGGGGAUGCCCCCGAGUGGCAUCCCCUCUUUCUUCUAACGACCAUCGGUAUUUUACUCGAAGCUAUAUUUUUAUUCGUCACAUAAUACAUGUUUUGCUUGGAGCGUCUUGUAUGAUAUGAGUCGUUGCUUGUUUUAUUUUGUGUUUUAAGUCUUGAUCCCUUGCUGGACACACCUAUUUGAGACAGCAAAUUUAUGUCAUGACUUCUUAGAAUUGCUCUCUAUGCUUCACUUAAAUUUUUAUGAGCAAUGGACUUGCUCUAGUGCUUCACUUAUAUCUUUUUGAGCAUGGUGUGCUUAGUAUUUUUGAAGAAAUGCUCUCUUGCUUCACUUAGAUUUAUUUGAGAGUUAGUAAAAUUUUCAGGAAAUUCCUCUUGCUUCACUUAAAUUAAUUUGAGAGAAAGAAAGAAAUUUUAUGCUCAUGAUCUUUACUUAUAUUUGUUGAGCUUAUGAAAAGCAACACAUGAAAAUUAGUCCCAAAGUGAUAGAUAUCCAAGAAAGAUAUAAUAAAAACUUUCAUGAAGACCAUUGGACAAAAUAAACUUGAUUCUUAGUAAUAGUUUUGAGAUAUGAUGAUGUGAUAUGUGAGUUAUGUUGAUGAGUAGUUAUGCUUUAGUAAGAAUAUUGGUGUUAAGGUUUGUGAUUCCCUAUGCAAGUAUGAAAGUCAAUAGUCAUGAAAUGAAAUUAUAUCCUACUUGUGGUGCAUUAUUCGGUGUUAUUUAUGCUUAAUGCUUGCUUAUGAGAUUAUUCGUUUCUUGGUUGGUCGCUUCUCAAUCUUUUGCUAGCCUUCAUUUUGCACCAAGUAUGAUCUCUACUUGUGCAUCCAAAAACCCUUAAACCAGUUUUGCCACAUGAGUCCACUAUAUCUACCUAUAUGCGGUGUUCUUUUGCCGUUCUGGGCAAAUUUGUAUGUGCUAUCUCUAAUUUUCAAAAUAAACUUCUCUUUUGUGUGUUUGUUUCGCUCGCGGAGCGGUGAGGGGUGGCUAAUAUUUUCCAUGCUAGAUGUGUUAUUCUCAAGAUGAGUGUUUAUUCACUUGUCAUUGCACGAGAGUAAGGCAAAGGUAUUAGGGAUGCCCAGUCCCGAAAUGAAAAAUGAAUUUACUUUAUGUUGUCAAAUAAUAAAUUCCUUGGAAAGUGUUGGUAUGGAGGGCAACCGUGGAUACGGCUAGCCAUGGAAAGUGAAAGUAUGGUUGAAAAAGGAAUAAACUUUAUUUUCUGUUUGGGAACCGCCUAUGAUAUAUCUAGCAUGGAAAGUGUUGGGAAAUCUAAGUCGUUUUCGUUGGUGGGAUGGAUACACCUCCCAAAAUGUUUUUAUAUCUAAGUUUUUUGCUUUGAGCUCUGGCACCUCUACAAAUCCCUACUUCCCUCUGCGAAGGGCCUUUCUUUUACUUUAUGCAAUUUUUAUUUUUGAAUUUGAGUCUCCAUCUUCUCUUACAAAAGCACCAACUAGGAGGCUAUAUGAUCGUACUUAAGUAUAGGGUGUAACUAAUAUUCGAGUGUGUUUCAUGAAUGGAUCAAUGGUUGAGCAUGAUGGGCUAGGGAUAACUUAUUUUAGCAUUGAUAUUUUGAAAGACAUGGUUGCUUGUUGAUAUGCUUGAGUAUUUAAAUUAUCAUGUCAAAACUAGACUAUUGUUUUGAACAAUAUAAAAGUCCAAAUGUCCAUGCUAUAAAUAAAGAAAUAUGAUAUGACAUGAUAGGCAGCAUCCCACAUCAAAAAUUCUGUUUUUAUCACUUCCCUACUCGAGGACGAGUAGGAGUUAAGCUUGGGGAUGUUGAUACGUCUCCAACGUAUCUAUAAUUUUUGAUUGUUCCAUGCUGUUAUAUUAUCAAUCUUGGAUGUUUUAUAAUCAUUUUAUAUCAUUUUUUUGUACUAACCUAUUGACAUAGUGCCAAGUGCCAGUUGCCAUUUUUCCAUUUUUUUUACAUCGCAGAAAAUCAAUAUCAGACGGAGUCCAAAUACCCCGAAACUUUACGGAGAAUUUUUAUGGCCAGAAGAAACACAACGGGCUCUGGCUGCACCUGGGGGGUGCCCCGAGGGAGGCACAACCCACCAGGGCGCGCCAGGAGGCCCAGGCGCGCCCUGGUGGGUUCUGCCCACCUCGGGUGCCCCCCGGACCGCCUCUUUGCUCUAUAAGUACCCCAAUAUUCCAAAAACCCUAGGCACGUCAACGAAAUAUUCAUCCAGCCGCCGCAGAGUCCAGAACCACUAGAUCCAAUCUAGACACCAUCUCGGAUGGGGUUCACCACCUCCAUUGGUGCUUCUCCGAUGAUGCGCUAGUAGUUCUAUGUAGACCUUCGGGUCCGUAGUUAGUAGCUAGAUGGCUAUCUCUCUCUGAAUUCUCAAUACAAUGGUCUCUUGGAGAUCCAUAUGAUGUAACUCUUUUGCGGUGUGUUUGUUGGGAUUGAUGAACUUUGAGUUUAUGAUCAGAUCUAUCUUUUUAUAUCCAUGAAAGUAUUUGAGUUUCUUUGAUCUCUUUUAUGCAUGAUCUCUUAUAGCCUCGUAUUUCUUCUCCGAUAUUUGGGUUUUGUUUGGCCAACUUGAUCUAUUUAUCUUGCAAUGGGAAGAGGUGCUCUUUAGUGGGUUCGAUCUUACGGUGCUUGAUCCCAGUGACAGAAUGGGAACCGACAUGUAUGUAUCGUUGCUACUAAGGAUAAAACGAUGGGGUCUAUCUCUACAUAGAUAGAUCUUGUCUACAUCAUGUCAUUGUUCUUAUUGCAUUACUCUGUUUUUCCAUGAACUUAAUACACUAGAUGCAUGCUGGAUAGCGGUCGAUGUGUGGAGUAAUAGUAGUAGAUGCAGGCACGAGUCGGUCUACUAAUCUUGGACGUGAUGCCUAUAUAAUGAUCAUUGCCUGGAUAUCGUCAUGAGUAUUUGAAGUUCUAUCAAUUGCCCAACAGUAAUUUGUUCACCCACCAUUUGCUAUUGUUCUCGAGAGAAGCCACUAGUGAAACCUACGGCCCCCGGGUCUCUUUCUCAUAUAUUUGCCUUUGCGAUCUACUUUUCCUUUGCAUUUAUUUUCAGAUCUAUUAAACUAAAAAUACAAAAAUAGCUUGCUGCAAUUUAUUCUUAUUUUUUAUUUGGCGUUCUCUCUAUUAAUUUACUACAAAUUUAUCUCACGUCCAUUUGCCUACUUGAGGCGCCGUACCCCGGAAGGGAUUGACAACCCCUUUAACACGUCGGCUUGCGAGGAUUUGUUAUCUGUGUGCACGAGCUGUUUACGCUGUGUUGCUUGGUUCUCCUACUGGUUCGAUAACCUUGGUUUCAUAUCUGAGGGAAAUACCUGCCACCGCUAUGCUACAUCAUCCCUUCCUCUUUGGGGAAAUACCGACGUAGCUUCAAGCGACAUCAAAAGGAAUUUCUGGCGCCAUUGCCGGGGAGGAUCAAGUCAAGAUAGUCUCCCGGCCACGUGCCAAUUUCUGGCGCCGUUGCAGGGGAGGAUGUAACGCCCCGAGUCCGAUGCACCAGGUCUCUUCCAGUUAUUCGCUGUCGUUGCCAUGUCAUCUGAUUGCGUGUUGCAUUUUUCCAUGUCAUCAUAUGCAUUUCAUCUGCAUGUUUUUCAAAACUUGCAUCCGUCCGGGUCUCCCAGUUCUCUCUGUUGUCCGUUCUGAAUCCAACCACACUCGCACGCGCCCGCGCCACGUCCGAAAUAUUAUUUUAUAAGUGGCAUAAAAAUGCUCUCUAAAUGGGAUGAAAGUUGGUGUGCGGUCUUAUUAUAGUGUAGAUAGACCGCCUGUCAAGUUUCGUCGCAUUUAGAGCUUGUUUGAUAGCCCAACCGUUAAACAUAUAGCGGCAUUAUAGCCGGUCUAACGUCGGACGUUUUCGGUCUCCGGAAAUCGUGCCGGGCUGCACUUCUCUUCUCUUCCCCCAGCCCAAGUCAUUCUACACCACCCACCUGCAGCCCACUAGGCCUGUCUAACCCCUCCUUGCGUCCGAAGCCGUUCGAUCGAGAUCAAACGGUCCAAAAACGACCUCAAACCCCAAAAUCCUAGCCCCCUAUAUAAACACCCCCACAUGCCAUUUUUGGCCUCCACCUACCUCCCUCCUCGGGAUCCGCGCCACCAGCCUCCCACAAUCGCGCCGCCGUCUUCCCCUCCAGAUCCGGCGCAACCCAGCCCGAGCACGACACGUGGCGCCAGCCCAGUGGCCAGCCGCCUGCAGCCACCCAGGAGGCGCCACGCGUCCCCAGCAGCCUCCCCGCCGCCGCGGCCCUUGGAGCCCAUCUAAAGCCCGCCCGAGCCCAUCAAGGCCCGAGCCAGCCCGCGUGUGCCGCCGCGGCCCAUCGCCCGAGCGCCUCCCUCGCUCUGGAUCGGGGAGGGCCGAUCCCCUCGGAGCGCCCCGCCGCCUCACCGCCCGCCGGCGACCAAGGCCGCCGGAGCAAGCUCGUCGCCGGCCACCUCGACCCUCCAGGCCGGCCUCGCACCGCCCCUCCUCCUUUGUCCCGAGUCCUCCCUGUCCCUGAUCUUCUUUUCUCCCUCUCCCUCUCUCUGUCUCACGAUCUCUCUCUCUCCCUCGAACGAUGCAGGACGGCGCCGCCCAUGGAGCUCGCCGGCAGCCACGUUCUUCGCUCGAUCCGGCCGCGAUCCACCGGAUCCGGCCACCCUCGGCCCAUUCUCGGCCGUCCCAAGCCCGGCCGGAGUCCCAGCUCGCCGCCCGCUGCCAUUCCUCUUCUUCAACCCCCGACCUGGACCACCCCCCUCGAGGUCCAGAUUUUCCCCAAGUCCCCGAACUUCAACUUUAUGUGUGCAUGUUGUGUGGGCCCUAACUACGUGCAUAGUUGUUUGUUUGAGAUGAACUUCAUAUGAAUUUGUUGAGCUCAGUGAGCUCUACAUGUUGGCAUAGUUUGCAUUCAUGCUAUUAUUGAUCUUGAUGCCUUUAUCAUUGUUGCAGAAGUGCUACAUGAUAUAAACUACUGAAAACUGUUGUAACUUGCUGAUUUGUCUUUUUCAUAGCAUUUUGUGUGUUCAUCUUUUGAACAUAAUGUCAACAUGUUUUAGGAGCAUCUUCAUGCCAUCUGUACAGUGGUGCCAUCCAUGUAUUUUUAUGUGCCUUGUGGUGAGUGCAUCAAGCUCGUGAAGUGUGCUACUUGAUGUUUGCUGUUUUCUGAGACGGUGAUAUUUGCCAAGUUUGUAACUGUUACUUGACGUUGCCAUGUUAAUUUGGUGCUACCAUCAAUUCCGUGCAUAAUCUGGAGAUGCCUAGUUGACAUGUUUUGAUGUCCAUGUUAUUCUCUAUCAUGCCAUGCCAUUUGAUUCCUCAUAUAUGUCCUGUAGCAUAAGUUUUCAUUGCCAUGAACAUGCCUAAAUGAUGUUCCAGUUUUCUGUUAACUUCAUGAUGCCAUGUUGUGAGCUUGUUAUUAAUUAAUCUAUGUCUCUUUUGGAGAUUCGCCAAUUACAUGAAUUGAAGUAUGGUAUGAGUGCUUUGUACACAUGCCAAGUUUGAUAAUUUUGGACUUCGUAUGACCUCUGUUGCAAGCUUGCAAACAUGCCUACUUGUUGUUGUUCCUGCCAUGUUCACUAAAGUUUGCUAAGUCUGUGAAACUGUUAUCAUUUGCAGUUUUGUCUUGAUUAAUGCUAUUCAUCUAUAGGUUAUAUGGAGAUGCUUAGUAAUCAUGUUUUGCCAUGUUUAACCUGUACUUUGAUGCCAUGCUUUUGUUUGCCAUGAUCUUGCCAUGUAGCAUGUUUUUUUCAGGCUCCAACACGUUAACAUGUUAUUUCCGCUCACAUGUAUGCCCUGUUUGAUGCCAUGCUUUUGUUUGCCAUGAUCUUUCCAUGUAGCAUGUUUUUUUCAGGCCUCCAACAUGUCAACAUGUUAUUUCUGCUCACAUGUAUGCCCUGUUUUUCACUAAGUCAUAAUCUGUGUUGUUAAGUUGCUUCUUGCAUUGAUCAUAUUGGAUUAAUCCUGAUGCCUAUGAACUUGAACCUUGAUGUUAUUUGAAGCAGGUAAUCUAUAAUUUAGUGAAUAUCAAGUUUGUGUCCAUAUGCUUCAUGUAGCAUGUUGUUUCGUUGAUUGCAAAGUGCUUAGUUGCUGUUUUGGGCAGAUUGUGUUUGAAACUUGUAUUGAGUGUAUGUGUUGAACCGUUGCUCCGUUUUGAGCAUGCUCUAUAUGAAACUUGCUUGGUUUUGCAUGUAGUUUCAUGUUGCCUUGUUGAAUUCUUGUUUUGGAGUGUUUGUGAUGUUGUUUUGCUUGCAUUUGAAUCAAUGCCAUGUUUAACUUAUUUUGCUCAUAUCUUCUGGGCCGUAGCUCCGAAUUAAAUGAACUUUAUAUAUAACUUGACUAGAAAAACGCAUAAAUCAUCUUGGUGCACUUUAACUUGCUAUUUAACCACUUUAACAUAAUGUUUUGUUCAGAUCUGGACCAAUUUCGAAAUUUGCAUAUGGGGAGUUACCGGAAUUGUUAUAUGUUGUUUCCGGCCUCAUUUCAACUUGCUUUGAUGUGUUGCUCUUGUAUGCAUCAUCUCUUGCCAUGAGUAGCAUCAUGUAGCCUUGUCAUGCAUCAUACUUGGUUGACCAUCAUGUCAUGUUUAUGUGUUGUGUGUUUAUCAUGUUGUUUGCUUCUUUCCAGUUGUGCUCCUUCUCGAUAGUUCCUGUUUCGUUGCGAUUGUGAGGAUUCAUUCGACUACGUGGGAUCGUCUUCUUCAUGGACUCGUUCUUCUUCCUAGCGGGAUUUCAGGAAAGAUGACCAUCACCUUGGAUAUCACUACUAUCUUUGCUAUGCUAGUUAUCUCGAUGCUAUCGCUAUGUCGCGCUACCUACCACUUGUUUAUCAAGCCUCCCAAAUUUCCAUGAUAGCCUCUAACCUUCUCACCCUUCCUAGCAAACCGUUGUUUGGCUAUGUUACCACUUUUCUCAGCCCCUAUUAUAGCAUUGCUAGUUGCAGGUGUAGUUCCAGGUUGUUCCAUGUUAGGACAUGGAUAUCAUGGAUAUCAUGGGAUAUCACAAUAUCUCUUAUUUAAUUAAUGCAUCUAUAUACUUGGUAAAGGGUGGAAGGCUCGACCUUAUGCCUGGUGUUUUGUUCCACUCUUGCCGCCCUAGUUUCCGUCAUACCGGUGUUAUGUUCCUUGAUUUUGCGUCCCUAACAUGGUGAGGGUUUAUGGGCCCCUCUUGACAGUUCGCUUUGAAUAAAACUCUUCCAGCAAGGCCCAACAUUGGUUUUAAAUUUUUCCAUAAUAGUACUUGAACCUAAUAAUUAAUUGGCAUAGGGCAUCAUGAACCCGAGGAUUCUUUUCUACAUACAGGGAGGGGCCAGUGCUGAUGGUGUUGGUCCCAAAUGGGCAGCCUGCGGGGCCACCUCGGGGAAAUUCGAGGGCUGGUUUUACUCGUAGCUUGUCCCAUCCGGUCGUGGCCUGAGACGAGAUAUGCGCGGCUACUAUCAGGGUGUCGGCACGCCGGGAGGUCUUGCUGGAUUUGUUUUACCAUUGUCGAAAUGUCUUGUGCACCGGGAUUCCGAGUCUGAUUGGAGGGUCCCGCGAUGGCGGAUUGUCUCCGUCGAUCGUGAGCUUGUCAUGGGUAAGUUGGGACACCCUUGCAGGGUUUAAACUUUCGAGAGUCGUGCCCACGGUUAUGUGGCAGAUGGGAAUUUGUUAAUAUCCGGUUGUAGUGAAUUUGAAGUAAACUCAAUUAAAAUACACCAACCGUGUGCGUAACCAUGACUGUCUCUUUUUGGGGAAGUUCGAGAGGAUAACACGGUUGGGUUAUGUUUGAACGUAAGUAGUUCAGGAUCACUUAUUGAUCAUUACUAGUUUGCGACCGUUUGCGUAGAUUCUCAUCUUACUCUUGUACUCGUAAGUUAGCCACCAUACAAUGCUUAGUCGCUUGCUGCAACCUCACCACCUUACCCUUUCCUACCCAUUAAGCUUUGCUAGUCUUGAUACCCAUGGUAAUGGGAUUGCUGAGUCCUCGUGGCUCACAAAUUACUACACCAACAGUUGCAGGUACAGGUAAUGCGAUGAUCAUGACGUGAGAGCGAUGUUUACUUGUCUUGGAGUUCUUCUUCUUCUUCGUCGAUCUUGGGUUAGGUUCCUAGUCGGCAAGCUGGGCUAGCAGGGUGGAUGUCGUUUCAGUCUCUGUUUGUGUUUCAUCCGUAGUCGGAUGUUGUUGUUAUGUAUGAUUUUGAUGUAUUCAUGUGGCAUUUGUAUGCCUUGUAUGUAUCCCCAACUAUUAUGUAAUGGUACGAUGUAAUGAUAUCCACCUUGAAAAAGCGUGUCAAUAUCAAUAUGCGGUUCUAUCCUUGGUGGGACCUUAGAGUUCCUUUAGGAUAGAGUCAUAUACUGGGCGUGAUCGAGGAUCUUCAACAUAUACCAGGUUCCUAAUCACAAAUCUCAUCUCCUCACGAUUUACAUUAUUUGCCAUUUGCCUCUCGUUUUCCUCUCCCCCACUUCACAAAAAUUUGCCGUUUUAUUCAUCUCUCUUUUUCCCGUUCACCGGUUUCUUGUCGGAUCCAUCCUUUGCUUGCAAUCAUGAGUGAUUUCGGUAUGGCACCAACAGAUGAUGUCCUAACUCCUAAGAUUGGACAUACGGACAAUCUGGAUGCUAAAACGUUUAUCUUGGGGCAAGGGAAUGUUAUGGGAAAAGAACCUAUCUAAGAAUUUUUCAAUUGUGUGGGAAAUUUGAGUCUUGAUGAUGUCCCUAUACUUAAAACUACUAGAUCUUAUGCAAAUGCUAUUUCAGCACUAGUUCUGAAAUUUGAAAUUAAAUUUAUUCAUAUCCAUCCUACUUUACAAAGAUUGUUUUUUGAGCUUCCCGUUAUAAAGAAUCCUAGGGCUAAAAAGUUGGCCACUCUUGUUCUAAUGAAUGAGUUUGACUACAUAAUACGGGAAGCAAGGGAAAUCUUUGAUUUUUAUGGUAUGAAUCGUGUAAAACCUGUGAUAGAUGAAAUUCUUUACAAUAGUGACUAUGCUUUAAGACAUUUGCUUGGGGAUAAUAAAAUCUUUGAUGAGAAUCUUAAAAAGGAAGUCCCUGUUUUAGAUAUAAUCCAACAAGUUUUCAAUAAUGUUAAUCAACAUUAUUCUUGGAUUGUUGCGGGGAAUCAAAAAGGUUAUGAUGAACACCAACUUAGGAACGCUAAGGUUUCCAUGGAUAAUAUGUUUUAUGUUGUGUUCACAAAACCCCAUGAUGAAAAUACCUCCAAGAAAGUUAAGAACAAGGAUGACAAAACUUAGAUUCUUGCUUUGUGCCUAGCUAAGGGCGUAAAACUAUAACGCUUGUUGGGAGGUAACCCAAUGAAUAAAAUUUAUUUUUGCUUUUUUCUUUCUGUUCUUGAGUGUUUACACAAUUAUUAUACUAUUAUGAUUGUGUUUUUUGUGUUUUAAUUAGUGUUUGUGCCAAGUAAAGCCUUUAGGAUCUUCUUGGGUGAUAGUUGUUUGAUCUUGCUGAAAAAUAGAAACUUUUGCGCUCACGAAAACAAUUCUCAUUUUUUACCAAAGCGUGAUAAAAUACCAAUUCCAAUUGCAGUAGAUCAAUAUACAAAUUGCUCAGGUCGUCCUAAUUUUUCAGAAUUUUUGGAGUUCCAGAAGUUUUCAAAAUUGUCAGAUUGCUACAGACUGUUCUGUUUUGACAGAUUCUGUUUUCUUUCCGUUGUGUGCUUAUUUUGAUGGCUCUAUGGUUUUGUUUGAUGAGUUUUUGCCAUAGAAAAGUUGGAAUACAGUAGAUAUAAUGCAAAAAAUAUGAAUUUUUUUGGUACAGUACUUAUAGUAGUGAUUUGCUUUCUUUUACUAAUGGAUCUCAUAAAGGUUUUGUUGAGUUCUGUGUGAUUGAAGUUUCCAAGUUUUGGGUUAUCUUACGAAGGAUGAAGGAAUAAAGGAUAGAAGAGCCUAAGAUUGGGGAUGCCCCGAUAUCCCAAGCUAUUAUCCAAAAAUGAGCAACCAAUUAAGCUUGGGGAUGCCCCCGAGUGGCAUCCCCUCUUUCUUCUAACGACCAUCGGUAUUUUACUCGAAGCUAUAUUUUUAUUCGUCACAUAAUAUGUGUUUUGCUUGGAGCGUCUUGUAUGAUAUGAGUCUUUGCUUGUUUUAUUUUGUGUUUUAAGUCUUGAUCCCUUGCUGGACACACCUAUUUGAGAGAGCCAAAUUUAUGUCAUGACUUGUUGGAAUUGCUCUCUCUAUGCUUCACUUAAAUUUCUAUGAGCAAUGGACUUGCUCUAGUGCUUCACUUAUAUCUUUUUGAGCAUGGUGUGCUUAGUAUUUUGAAGAUAUGCUCUCUUGCUUCACUUAGAUUUAUUUGAGAGUUAGUAAAAUUUUCAAGAAAUUCCCUCUUGCUUCACUUAAAUUAAUUUGAGAGAAAGAAAGAAAUUUUAUGCUCAUGAUCUUCACUUAUAUUUGUUGAGCUUAUGAAAAGCAACACAUGAAAAUUAGUCCCAAAGUGAUAGAUAUCCAAGAAGGAUAUAAUAAAAAAAUUCAUGAAGAUCAUUGGACAAAAUAAAUUUGAUUCUUAGUAAUAGUUUUGACAUAUGAUGAUGUGAUAUGUGAGUUAUGUUGAUGAGUAAUUAUGCUUUAGUAAGAAUAUUGGUGUUAAGGUUUGUGAUUUCCUAUGCAAGUACGAAAGUCAAUAGUCAUGCAAUGAAAUUAUAUCCUACUUGUGGUGCAUUAUUCGGUGUUAUUUAUGCUUAAUGCUUGCUUAUGAGAUUAUUCGUUUCUUGGUUGGUCACUUCUCGAUCUUUUGCUAGCCUUCAUUUUGCACCAAGUAUGAUCUCUACUUGUGCAGCCAAAAACCCUUAAAACCAGUUUUGCCACAUGAGUCCACUAUAUCUACCUAUAUGCGGUAUUCUUUUGCCGUUCUAAGCAAAUUUGUAUGUGCCACCUCUAAUUUUCAACCAUCAACACUUGAUGUUAUUUCUUGAUUUCUACCUUCGCGGAUUUCAGCAUCGCGAAGAGCUUGGGAAUCGUUUUCGUCAUCCCUUGCAUAUUAUAGUUCAUCACAAAGUUCUAAUAACUUGGUAAUAGUGAUUAGAGAACUCUGUCGAUCACUAUCUUAUCUGGAAGAUUAACUCCCACUUUAUUUAAGCGAUUGUAGUACCCAGACAUUCUGAGCACAUGCUCACUGCCUGAGCUAUUCUCCUCCAUCUUGUAGGCAAAGUACUUGUCAGAGGUCUCAUACCUCUCGACACGGGCAUGAGUUUGAAAUACCAAUUUCAGCUCUUGGAACAUCUCAUAUGCUCCGUGGCGUUCAGAACGUUUUUGAAGUCUCAGUUCUAAGUCAGUAAGCAUGGCAUACAAACUAUCAAGUAGUCAUCAUACCGAGCAUGUCAAACGUUCAUAACCUCUGCUUCUGCACCUGCAAUAGAUCUGUCACUUAGCGGUGCAUCAAGCACAUAAUUCUUCUGUGCAGCAAUGAGGAUAAUCAUCAGAUCACGGACCCAGUCCGCAUCAUUGCUACUAUCAUCUUUCAACUUAGUUUUCUCUAGGAACAUAUCAAAAAUAUAUAGGAGCUAUAUUGCGAGCUAUUGAUCUACAACAUAGAUAUGCAAAACUAUCAGGACUAAGUUCAUGAUAAAUUAAGUUCAAUUAAUCAUAUUACUUCAGAACUCCCACUUAGAUAGACAUCCCUCAAGUCAUCUAAAUGAUACGUGAUCCAAAUCAACUAAACCAUGUCCGAUCAUCACGUGAGAUGGAGUAGUCAUCAAUGGUGAACAUCUCUAUGUUGAUCAUAUCUACUAUAUGAUUCACACCCUUUCGGUCUUGUCAGGACCCUAAUUCCAAGUCACAUCGAUCUAGCCGGUAACACCUCAUAUCACUUUGCGGCCUCACGCACGGUAUUCCCACGGGUGUCGCCUUACCAUGUCCCGGGACCAUUUGCGCCUUUUGGCUCACGUAUAUGAUAGUGUCACUAGCAUCCAUAUGACAGAGAACCCGGGCCGACAUGACUAGUCGUGAACCCAAAGUGGCACUAACUUAUGGGGACAGACAUACAUGAAUCAACAUCGAGCAUGUCGGUCAGCAGCGUGUGAAUCCGGGCUGUAGCACUAGGCUAACAGGACUGCGGUGAACCGGGCUGUAGCAGGCUAGGCAGGACUCCGGAUGUCACCGCGUGACAUUUCCCCGAAGGGACAGACACAGGAACGAAGUGAAUCACAUGCCGGCCAGUCAAGUGUUCCGGAGCAGUAGUGCUAGGCUAGCAGGACUCCGGUGAACCGGGCUGUAGCGGACUACUAUAGCUCAUAGAAGCACAAGACUACAUUUCCCCAUAAGAGAGGCUACCAAGGAUAAAAAACUAGGUUGUCGGAUCCCACACAUACCAAGCAUUUCAAUCAUACACACAAUAUGCUCGAUAUGUGUAAAUACAACAUGGCAUCACAACAUAACUCUACGACUUAAGUAUUUAUUCAUUAGGCUCCGAGAAACCAAGUAUUACAAACAUGGUCUCAUGACCCAACAUACAGAGCAUACAAGCAACAAGCACAUGCGGAAGCUUAACAUGUCUGAGUACAGACAUCUACAAAUGAAAAAGGCUGAGAAGCCUGACUAUCUACAAGAUCCUACUGAGGGCACAAGAUCGUAGCUGAGGUAACAAGCUAAACGUCGAAGUCCACAUGGAACUACUAGCAAGACUGACGUCUCUCUGCAAAACAUAAAAUAGGCAAACAUGAGUACAAAUGUACCCAGCAAGACUUACAUCAGAACUAUCUACAUAUGCAUCAGUAUCAAAAGGGGGUGGUGGAGUUUAACUACAGCAAGCCAGCUUUGACUCGGUGGCUAUCCUGAACUACGAAUGCUGGUAACUCUUUUGAGGUGGCGCACACGAGUCCACAUAUUCACCAUAUCAAUACACCACUAUGGAUCCGCUCCCUUCUCCCUACGAGAAGGCCAUCCAUAGCACUCACGCUUAUCUUGCGAGUUUUAGAGUAUCCACUUUCACUUGUCUAUGAACUGUACAGGCAACCCAGAAGUCCUUUACCGCGGACACGGCUAUUCGAAUAGAUGAUGUUAACCCUGCAGGGGUGUACUUCUUCACACACGCUCCCACCACUUACCGUCGUUUACACGACAUGUACUCGGCAACCUUCAAGCGGAAGCCCAACGCGGGUGUCGGCCACGGCCUACCUAAACACUCAAGUCUCUAGUCCAGGUUUAUCGCCUAUUCAGGUUCCAUCCGCAGGGAGUCCGGCCGAGGUUUCCACAUACGGCCCCGAACGAUGUGUACAGGGUUCCGCGACACCAAACGGGCGCCCGGUAUACCCGGCCACGUGCCUACCGCAUCACAGCCCACCCCUCGGGUCAGCGCUGCGCACGGCCUCCAGCAUACUACAAACACCAGAAACUACUUGCAACUCCUGGACAGAGGACAAGGGUGGUUAAGAAGCCGAGAGGGUCCAUUGGUUUUGGGCCCAAUGCAUGGUAGUAGUUGUUCAUGGAUCACAAACACAGAACUCAGUUCCUGAGGAUGGUUUCAAUGAGACAACCCACCAUGUACUCCUACAUGGCCUCUCACCGCUACCUUUACCAAAUUGUGUUCACACACUUAGCUCACACACAGUAGGACAUGUUCAUCACCAUUCCAAUUCAUCCCCGAUGAAUCAGACCUGACUCAACUCAAGCAGUAGCAGGCAUGACAAACAAGCAUGAAUGAGUAGGCACAUCAGGGCUCAAACAACUCCUACUCAUGCUAGUGGGUUUCAUCUAUUUACUGUGGCAAUGACAUGUCAUGCAGAGGAAAAGGGGUUCAACUACCGCAGCAAGUAACAGAUGAAUCAUUGUUGUCCUAAUGCAGUAAAAGAGAGCAGGAGCGAGAGAGUGGGAUUGUAUCGGAAUGAACAAGGGGGUUUUGCUUGCCUGGCACUUCUGAAGAUAGUAUAGUUCUUCAUCGGUGUCAUCGAUCUCAUCGACGAAACCACGUCUAUCGAGAGGGGACAAAUACCGGCAACAGAGAAAGAAACACAAUCAAUGCAAUGCACAAUAUGAUGCAUGAUCAUGACAUGGUAAAAUGAGUGUGUUGGGCUAAUGCAACUACAACCAGAUGGGUUUGAGCUAUUUUGAACCAAAGAUUCAAAGUUCAAACUCAUUUGUGAUCUUAAAUAGUGCUUUAUCAUGUUUUGCACUAAACAUCAAGUUAACUUGUUUAAACAUGCAUGAAACCAGUACAAAAGGAUAGAUUGGAUUUUUCUGAUAAUUUUUCAUAUAUAACUUAUUUCAUUCUGAGCUACGGUUGAAUUUCUAUGAUUUUUAAAAGUUAGCACUAUUUUCUGGAAUUUCCUGGAUAAACUUAAAUCCAGAAAAUACUUUACUGCGUCAGCAUGACAUCAACAUGACGUCAGCGGGUCAACGGGGCUAGUCUAGGUCAAACCUGACCAGUAGGGCCCACUGGUCAGUGGCACAGAGUAAUCUACAGAGGCUGACACGUGGGACCAGGUCAAUGCUGACGUGGCUAGGUCAAACUGACCUGUGGGGCCACGGGCAUUAGCUUAAUCUAAGCAGGGGAUAAACCUGUGAUUAAUUAAGGGCGCGGGGCCCAUUUGUCAGUGGCAGAGGAUGUUAGUUAGCCCCGUCAUUAGUACUAAUGACGAUGCCACGUCGGCUGCCGCCGGGGUUGGUCGCCGGCGAGCACGCAGCACGGCGGAGGGCUUCGGGUUCGCGCUAUAGGGCACGGAUCGACGAGCGGUUUGUGGCUACGGGUUGCUGGCGCUUGCGCGCAUCCAUCGGAGUAGGCGGUUGGGCGAGAGGAGGCCGGAAACGACGGCUGCAACGAUGGCAGGCGGCGGCCGGAGUUCGGUUGCGCUCGGAACCGGCGUUGUGGUGCACGGUAGGUCGAGCGGUGGGGUGCUAGGUGCUCCUGCAAACGUGCUGAGGACGGUGACGCUCUCAGAUGCGGCGGAGGUGGGCUCUAGCCACAGCGGCGACGAAGCGCAACGGCGGCGAGCUUCGGUCGGGGUGGCCAAAGGGGCUAGUGGAGGAAAUCGACAGAGGGGAGAGAGGGGUUGGGAGCAGGGGCUCACGGCGAUGCCGAAGAGGAGGUCAGCGAGCCCGGGGAGGUCCUGGCGGCGCCGAAUCGACCGGAGGGAGCUCGGGUGCCCGAGGUUGAAGACGAGGCAGAAACGUCACUGUGGUGCUCUCGCGGUCGAACGGACUGGUGUAGACGACGAAGGAGACGACGCCAGUCCUUCUGGAUGCUUCGGCAAGGCGAUGGGUGGAUGGUGGCCACGGUGGUAGUGAACGGUGGCGACGGGCUCGCUUGGGUGGCUACGGGCGCGAGCGCUGGGGGGAGAGGGAGGAACCAGAGAGGGGGGAGAUGCAGGGGGUAUCGUGGCGCUCUUGGCGCCCUCCAGCAGCAGCGGCGGCAAGCAGGAGGUGGCCAGGCGCGUGGGCGCGCGCGGCAGGCCCACGCCCCUCGUCCUUCUGGCGAGAGGAGGGAGACGACUGGCAUCGGCCAGCUGGGCUGGGCCGGCUCCUGGGCCGCACAGGUAAGUGGCCCAGGUACUAACUCUCUCUCUCUCUCUCUCUGUGUUAUUUAAUUUGUUCUGUUUUUCUAUUUUUGCUAUUAUGUUUUGAUUUAGUUCAAAGACCAAACCAUUUUCAAAAUUCAUGAAAAUAAUUGUGUCAACUAAAUGGACUUAUCCAAAGCUACACAACAAUUUCCAGAAUUAUUGAACAUAUAUUUAUUAUAUAACAAAUAUAGAUCCAAUUCAAAUAUUUAUUGGAUUAAUUCAAAGGCCCAAAGUAAUUGUUUAUGAGAUUCUAGAAAUAUUGGUUUGAAUUUUAUCCCUUGCCAAUAUUUCCAGAGUUUAACAGGAACAUUUUCUUGGACUCAUUUGAUGAGAUUUAGAUGUUGGUCAUUUUUAGAGGUCUUCUGAGGCUUUUGAAAAUUCCUCAAUUCAAAUUUCAUUUGAAUUUAAACAUGAUGCUCACAUGAAGGGCUAGCCUAGUGUAUACGAGAACUAGGGAUGUGACAGCUCACCCCUACUAAACAAGAAUCUUGUCCCGAGAUUCAAGUCGCGAGGUAAGAAGACAGAGGGACACAAGCUACCACAAUCUUCACGAUCCAUAUGUCUUUCUCGAGGAUGUUGAUUCAUUGCAUCACCUUGAUCUCGACGUCUUGCUUUGAGAACUACAUCCAACAUGACAACGAGUAGAAAGGGAGAAUUUUAGAAGAAUCGAUCUUCCUGAGGUUGGAGCAACUUAGGAUCAUCUUAAUGAUCACAAGAUCAACUCAUGGAAUGAGACAUAGAAACAUCUCUGGAGCUGAGAGGCAAAACAUGCAUCAGGAGGGACGGAAGAAACAAUUUGACGAGGGUUUCAAAGUAGCGAGGAAAAAUUGCCAUGAUUUCAUAAUGGGGCACCUCACGAAAGGUGACUCGUGGAAUUAUUCCCUUAAGUGGCAAAAAGAAUUACUUUUGGUACAUAGAUCAUUGAAACCCUUUAUACCUGCCUAAGGCAAUCACAAUCGAUCGUUUGGUGGAGUUCGAAUGGAUGAUGUGGACUACCUAGUUGAAGACAACCCGAUGGAUGAUUUCUGCUUAUCAUCAGAAAUGGAAGGGACCCAUGGCAGACUAACACAAUCACGGGUGCAAGCUGGGAACAAAAUGCAAAUACUGGGAAUGACCCAACCAUCAUAUCUGCCUGAGAUUCAGAUCUGGUUGGUAACGGGAUAUUUCAAACAUCAUGUCUGGAGAAGAAAGUUUGCAACACAAACCAACGAGAUGACGUUGCGAGAUUCUCGGGAAAUGAACUACGAUAGCAAGCUCCAAAACAUGAGCUGGUUCUGCUACAAACCUGUGAACAUGCUGUCCAAAACAAGCAUGACCACGUAGUAGUCUUAUAAUAAAACACUACCGAGUUCAGGUGGGGAACCAUCAUCAAAGAUAUCGAAGUCCUUGUAUAAGCCCCGGGUCUUAAGAAGGAGCUUCUUUUCCUUGAACAAAUCAAUCAGUGGCUUGGUGUGCUACGGAAUACAUAUGGAGUGGAGGUAAUUAAUCUACCAAACCAUAGUAUACUUUGCACAUGCAUGACUGACUUGGGAUGGUACCAGAGGAAACAAAAACAAUCUUUCUCGAACUCACGGCGGCAACUUGCACCAAAUGCACAUGAAUUCGAGGAGGUCACUUCUUCCAUCCAAGUAUAAGCUUCAUGAACGGAACACGAAGGCAUUGCUUACAAAGUUUCCAACACUAGGUUGAUGUUCAACGUGAAUCUUGGGUGAGACAAAAUGCUGCUGAUGGACUCAAUAGCAACUCAUCGGAAUUUCCAUAUCACUGGACUUCCACCAUCAUGUGAACACGGUGAUAGUAUUGGUCAGACCAAAAGAUGUAAUGGUGUAUGCUCGAGGGAUCAACCACGAGUAAGACAACAUUACAUACACCGUUGUUCUGAUUUGACUUGACGAUAGCCCAUACUCAAGUCAAAGUUUUGACAAGACAAUAGAUCCAAUAACUGAUCACGAGGACCAAUUGGUGAAGAUAUCAUCUUUCUUCAACACACACACAAACACAAAGAUAUCCCUUCAAAAAGAACCAAAUUCGGCAAAGCUUUUUAUCUUCCAACUCUCCAGGUUGUUGUUUAGCUUAACCAACUAGCUCAGGGGUAUCCAACACAGAUUCUUGGAGAAGGGGUGGUUUAGAGGAAAACCAACUUGAUCACGAACUCAACAUAGCGGUCAGGUGACAACCUGGUAACACUUCCGAGAAGAUAUUCAGAAAAUUACGAACCACCGAUAUGUUACUAAGCUCGAGAACAAUCUUGCUUUUCAGAGCAAGACGAUAUGACCAAAUAAGCAAGGGAUUGAAUAAUCCUCACUCAUUGAUCGAGGAGUGCACCAGAAAUAAGGACUAGGUAGCACAAUCUAUCCUAGAACAGUGAUUCGAUAUCCAACACGAUAAGAAUGAGAGUAUUGUCCAUUAACUACCAAGCAAUGGACUUGCUAGGAGUAUUGAUUUCAUGCAUCACAGUUCACUUGUCGGCAUUCUGGUUACAAUAACACGGAACCGAGGAAUGAAGCAAUGAUGGCGAGAAGUAUCACCGUGUCAAGAAUCCAUAAGAGACGGUGCAAUUCCUAUGACAUUCUUGACAUAAAUAGGGUAAUACUCCAAUGUAGAACAGAACAAUAGCUGGAUUGGCAUUUUGAUCUGCAGAACACAACUACUUUGACCCAAUCCUGGAGUUUUUUUUCUCCUAGUCAUUCCGGAAUAGAAUGGCUUGACGGACCACAAGUAUAAUAGGCAUCGAUGAACACGAUCGCACACAUACUCUAGACUAUCGAUUGAUAGACAAUGGUCAGAAUACAAGUAAAGAGUAACAACUCAAGGAACAUAUAUCUUUCUGAGUUGUGGAUGCAUAGAUUAGUACGUCGAGAAAAACUCAACAUUUCUUCCGGAUAACCCGUGCAGAACGGUAGAACUGGCAGAUUCACAAUGUAGGAUGGAGAACUCGUUAAGAGCACUCUGGUUGUGAUCUUUUGGUUCAAAGAACUUCUGCCAUAAGCGGUUCAUGGUAAUUGGAAGAAGGAUGUACCACGAACCUCGAGGACUAUCGCAAAGGUUACUAAUAUCCUAAAGAAACUAGCAACACUAUCAACAUGAGGUAAGUAGGGUGAAUCUCGGGUUCAAGAACCCAGGAAUAGAAUACCUACUAACUAAUAACAUCACGGGAUGCUUUUGAGAAUGAUGGCCAUAAUCAUCACAUAGGGAACACAAAACAUGGUAGAUUACUAGGUGAUCCUGACACCUAGGGUCAUAAUAAUAGCUCCAACCUAUAUACUGAGGCAGUGAAGCACCUCAACUCACUGGUUUAAUGUGGUUGAUCUGGCCCAAAAGGACAUCGGGAACGGGGAGGAAGGCUUUGCAAAUGCAUCAGAUUGUUUAGAGACCUAGGAUGACUCGGACAGCAUAACGGCUGUAAAUGCUCAAAAAGAUUUGAGACAUCCUGCAAAAUAGCGGCAUGACCACUCAACAUCACAAUAUCAAGGUUCCGAGAUCAACUAUCAACACAUGGAAGUAGUAGAAACUAAACUGAGGCUUGAGACCAACAAUCCUACGAGUCUAUGGAUUAGUAACACGUGAUCCUGAUAGAAAGAUGAGAAGCCUAGUUCUUAAUCCCCGUAGAAGAGAAGAGGAUGACUCAGAUCAGAAGGGCAUAAGGUAAAGGAGUAAAAAGAGCAUUACGUUCCGUCCCACAAUCAAUUCCCCUACAUAUAACUAAAGCAUUUCUAGACUCAACUUCGACCAGUUUGGCUUGGUAAUCCUACAGGCAGUCAGGCUCUGAUACCAAAGCUGUCAGGACCCCGAUUCCAAGUCACAUCGAUCUAGCCGGUAACACCUCAUAUCACUUUGCGCCCUCACGCACGAUAUUCCCACGGGUGUCGCCUUACCAUGGCCCGGGACCGUUUGCGCCUUUUGGCUCACGUAUAUGAUAGUGUCGCUAGCAUCCAUAUGACAGAGAACCCGGGCCGACAUGACUAGUCGUGAACCCAAAGUGGCACUAACUUAUGGGGACAUGCAUACAUGAAUCAACAUCGAGCAUGUUGGUCAGCAGCGUGCGAAUCCGGGCUAUAGCACUGGGCUAACAGGACUCCGGUGAACCGGGCUGUAGCAGGCUAGGCAGGACUCCGGAUGUCACCGCGUGACAUUUUCCCGAAGGGACAGACACAGGAACGAAGUGAAUCACAUGCCAGCCAGUCAAGGGUUCCGGAGCAGUUGUGCUGGGCUAGCAGGACUGCGGUGAACCGGGCUGUAGCAGGCUAGGCAGGACUUCGGAUGUCACCGCGUGACAUUUCCCUGAAGGGACAGACACAGGAACGAAGUGAAUCACAUGCCGGCCAGUCAAGUGUUCCGGGGCAGUAGUGCUAGGCUAGCAGGACUCCGGUGAACCGGGCUGUAGCGGACUACUAUAGCUCAUGGAAGCACAAGACUACAUUUCCCCAUAAGAUAGGCUAUCAAGGAUAAACAACUAGGUUGUCGGAUCCCACACAUACCAAGCAUUUCAAUCAUACACACAAUAUGCUCGAUAUGUGUAAAUACAACAUGGCAUCACAACAUAACUCUACGACUCAAGUAUUUAUUCAUUAGGCUCCGAGAAGCCAAGUAUUACAAACAUGGUCUCACGACCCAACAUACAGAGCAUACAAGCAACAAGCACAUGCGGAAGCUUAACAUGUCUGAGUACAGACAUCUACAAAUGAAAAAGGCUGAGAAGCCUGACUAUCUACAAGAUCCUGCUGAGGGCACAAGAUCGCAGCUGAGGUAACAAGCUAAACGUCGAAGUCCACACGGAACUACUAGCGAGACUGACGUCUCUCUGCAAAACAUAAAAUAGGCAAACGUGAGUACAAAUGUACCCAGCAUGACUUACAUCAGAACUAUCUACAUAUGCAUCAGUAUCAAAAGGGGGUGGUGGAGUUUAACUACAGCAAGCCAGCUUUGACUCGGUGGCUAUCCUGAACUAUGAAUGCUGGUAACUCUUUUGAGGUGGCGCACACGAGUCCACAUAUUCACCAUAUCAAUACACCACUAUGGAUCCGCUCCCGUCUCCCUACGAGAAGGCCAUCCAUAGCACCCACGCUUAUCUUGCGAGUUUUAGAGUAUCCACUUUCACUUGUCUAUGAACUGUACAGGCAACCCAGAAGUCCUUUACGGCGGACACGGCUAUUCGAAUAGAUGAUGUUAACCCUGCAGGGGUGUACUUCUUCACACACGCUCUCACCACUUACCGCCAUUUACACGACAUGUACUCGGCAACCUUCAAGCGGAAGCCCAACGAGGGUGUCUGCCACGGCCUACCUAAACACUCAAGUCUCUAGUCCAGGUUUAUCGCCUAUUCAGGUUCCAUCCGCAGGGAGUCCGGCCGAGGUUUCCACAUACGGCCCCGAACGAUGUGUACAGGGUUCCGCGGCACCAAACGGGCGCCCGGUAUGCCCGACCACGUGCCUACCGCAUCACAGCCCACCCCUCGGGUCAGCGCUACGCACGGCUCCAGCAUACUACAAACACCAGAAACUACUUGCAACUCCUGGAUAGAGGACAAGGGUGGUUAAGAAGCCGAGAGGGUCCAUUGGUUUCGGGCCCAAUGCAUGGUAGUAGCUGUUCAUGGAUCACAAACACAGAACUCAGUUCCUGAGGAUGGUUUCAAUGAGACAACCCAACAUGUACUCCUACAUGGCCUCUCACCGCUACCUUUACCAAAUCGUAUUCACACACUUAGCUCACACACAGUAGGACAUGUUCAUCACCAUUCCAAUUCAUCCCCGAUGAAUCAGACCUGACUCAACUCAAGCAGUAGCAGGCAUGACAAACAAGCAUGAAUGAGUAGGCACAUCAGGGCUCAAACAACUCCUACUCAUGCUAGUGGGUUUCAUCUAUUUACUGUGGCAAUGACAGGUCAUGCAGAGGAAAAGGGGUUCAACUACCGCAGCAAGUAACAGAUGAAUCGUUGUUGUCCUAAUGCAGUAAAAGAGAGCAGGAGCGAGUGAGUGGGAUUGUAUCGGAAUGAACAAGGGGUUUUUGCUUGCCUGGCACUUCUGAAGAUAGUAUAGUUCUUCAUCAGUGUCAUCGAUCUCAUCGACGAAACCACGUCUAUCGAGAGGGGACAAAUACCGGCAACAGAGAAAGAAACACAAUCAAUGCAAUGCACAAUAUGAUGCAUGAUCAUGACAUGGUAAAAUGAGUGUGUUGGGCUAAUGCAACUACAACCAGAUGGGUUUGAGCUAUUUUGAACCAAAGAUUCAAUGUUCAAACUCAUUUGUGAUCUUAAAUAGUGUUUUCACAUGUUUUGCACUAAACAGCAAGUUAACUUGUUUAAACAUGCAUGAAACCGGUACAGAUGGAUAGAUUGGAUUUUUCUGAUAAUUUUUCAUAUAUAACUUAUUUCAUUCUGAGCUACGGUUGAAUUUCUAUGAUUUUUAGAAGUUAGCACUAUUUUCUGGAAUUUCCUGGAUAAACUUAAAUCCAGAAAAUGCUUUACUGCGUCAGCAUGACAUCAACAUGACGUCAGCGGGUCAACGGGGCUAGUCGAGGUCAAACCUGACCAGUAGGGCCCACUAGUCAGUGGCACAGAGUAAUCUGCAGAGGCUGACACGUGGGACCGGGUCAAUGCUGACGUGGCUAGGUCAAACUGACCUGUGGGGCCACGGGCAUUAGCUUAAUCUAAGCAGGGGAUAAACCUGUGAUUAAUUAAGGGCGUGGGGCCCAUUUGUCAGUGACAGAGGACGUUAGUUAGCCCCGUCAUUAGUACUAAUGACGAUGCCACAUCGGCUGCCACCGGGGUUGGUCGUCGGCGAGCACGCAGCACGGCGGAGGGCUUCGGGUUCGCGCUAUAGGGCACGGAUCGACGAGCGGUUUGUGGCUACGGGUUGCUGGCGCUUGCACGCAUCCAUCGGAGUAGGCGGUUGGGCGAGAGGAGGCCAGAAACGACGGCUACAACGAUGGCAGGCGGCGGCCGGAGUUCGGUUGCGCUCGGAACCGGCGUUGUGGUGCACGACAGGUCGAGCGGUGGGGUGCUAGGUGCUCCUGCAAAUGUGCUGAGGACGGUGACGCUCUCAUACGCGGCGGAGGUGGGCUCUAGCCACGGUGGCGACGAAGCACAACGGCGGCGAGCUUCGGUCGGGGUGGCCAAAGGGGCUAGAGGAGGAAAUCGAUAGAGGGGAGAGAGGGGUUGGGAGCAGGGGCUCACGGCGAUGCCGAAGAGGAGGUCAGCGAGCCCGGGGAGGUCCUGGCGGUGCCGAAUCGACCGGAGGAGAGCUCGGGUGCCCGAGGUUGAAGACGAGGCAGAAACGUCGCUGUGGUGCUACCGCGGUCGAACGAACUGGUGUAGACGACGAAGGAGACGACGCCAGUCCUUCUGGAUGCUUCGGCAAGGCGAUGGGUGGACGGUGGCCACAGUGGCAGUGAACAGCGGCGACGGGCUCGCUUGGGUGGCUGCGGGCGCGAGCGCUGGGGGGAGAGGGAGGAACCAGAGAGGGGGGAGAUGCAGGGGGUGUCGUGGCGCUCUUGGCGCGCUCCAGCAGCAGCAGCGGCAAGCAGUAGGUGGCCAGGCGCGUGGGCGCGCGCGGCGGGCACACGCCCCUCGUCCUUCUGGUGAGAGGAGGGAGACGACUGGCAUUGGCCAGCUGGGCUGGGCCGGCUCCUGGGCCGCACAGGUAAGUGGCCCAGGUACUAACUCUCUCUCUCUCUGUUAUUUAAUUUGUUCUGUUUUUCUAUUUUUGCUAUUAUGUUUUGAUUUAGUUCAAAGACCAAACCAUUUUGAAAAUUCAUGAAAAUAAUUGUGUCAACUAAAUGGACUUAUCCAAAGCUACACAACAAUUUCCAGAAUUACUGAACAUAUAUUUAUUAUAUAACAAAUAUAUAUCCAAUUCAAAUAUUUAUUGGAUUAAUUCAAAGGCCCAAAAUAAUUGUUUAUGAGAUUCUAGAAAUAUUGGUUUGAAUUUUAUCCCUUACCAAUAUUUCCAGAGAUUAACAGGAACAUUUUGUUGGACUCAUUUGAUGAGAUUUAGAUGUUGGUUAUUUUUAGAGGUCUUCUGAGGCUUUUGAAAAUUCCUCAAUUCAAAUUUCAUUUGAAUUUAAACAUGAUGCUCACAUGAAGGGCUAGCCUAGUGUAUACCAGAACUAGGGAUGUGACAGGUCUCCAGUGUUCCAAGGCCAUGUCUAUACAUGCCAGGCUCGUCAAGUUUAACCCGAGUAUUCCGCAUGUGCAAAACUGGCUUGCACCCGUUGUAUGUGAACGUAGAGCCUAUCACACCCGAUCAUCACGUGGUGUCUCAACACGACGAACUGUCGCAAUGGUGCAUACUCAGGGAAAACACUUAUACAUUGAAAUUUUGUUAAGGGAUAAUCUUAUAAUGCUACCGCCGUACUAAGCAAAAUAAGAUGCAUAGAAGAUAAACAUCACAUGCAAUCAAAAUAUGUGACAUGAUAUGGCCAUCAUCAUCUUGUGCCUUUGAUCUCCAUCUCCAAAGCACCGUCAUGGUCUCCAUCGUCACCUGUUUGACACCUUCAUCUCCAUCGUAGCAUCGUUGUCGUCUUGCCAACUAUUGCUUCUACAACUAUCGCUAACACAUAGUGAUAAAAUAAAACAAUUACAUGGCGUUUGCAUUUCAUACAAUAAAGCGACAACCAUAAGGUUCCUGCCAGUUGCCGAUAACUUUUACAAAACAUGAUCAUCUCAUACAAUAACGUAUAUCACAUCAUGUCUUGACCAUAUCACAUCGCAACAUGCCCUGCAAAAACAAGUUAGAUGUCCUCUACUUUGUUGUUGCAAGUUUUACGUGUCUGCUACGGGCUUCUAGUAAGAACCGUUCUUACCUACGCAUCAAAACCACAACGGUGAUUUAUCAAGUUUGCUGUUUUAACCUUCAACAAGGAUCGGCCGCAGUCAAAUUCGAUUCAACUAAACUUGGAGAAACAGACACCCGCCAGCCACCUUUAUGCAAAACUAGUUGCAUGUCUAUCGGUGGAACCGGUCUCAUGAAUGUGGUCAUGUAAGGUUGGUCCGGGCCGCUUCAUCCAACAAUACCGUCGAAUCAAAAUAAGACAUUAGUGGUAAGCAGUAUGACGAUCACCGCCCACAACUCUUUGUGUUCUACUCGUGCAUAUCAUCUACGCAUAGACCUAGCUCGGAUGCCACUGUUGGGGAAAGUAGCAUGCAAUUUCAAAAAAAUUCCUACGCUCACGCAAAAUCUAUCUAGGAGAUGCAUAGCAAUAAGAGGGGGAGAGUGUGUCCACAUACCCUCGUAGACCGAAAGCGGAAGUGUUUGACAACGCGGUUGAUGUAGUCGAACUUCUUAUCGUUCCGACCGAUCAAGCACUGAACGUACGACACCUCCAAGUUCUCUACACGUUCAGCUCGAUGACGUCCCCUCGAACUCUUGAUCUAGCAAAGUGUCGAGGUUGAGUUUCGUCAGCACGAUGGUAUGGUGACGGUGAUGGUGAAGUGAUCCGUGCAGGGCUUCGCCUAAGCACUACGACAAAUAUGACCGGAGGCGUAAACUGUGCAGGGGGCGCCACACACGGCUAACAGAUGUUUGUGUGUCUUCUAGGCGCCCCCUCCCCACAUAUACAUAGGUUUGAGAGGGGAAGAGGCAGCAGGGGGGCGUCCAAGUAGGCCAAAUCCUACUUGGGCUCCCACCCCAAUUCGCCCCCUCCUUGUUUUGGCACUAGGAGAAGGAAGGGGGAGGUGGCGCCCCCCUUUCCUUUCUCCCUUUAGAAGGGGAAGGAAAGAGGGGCUAGUCCUCCUCCCUUGCCUUCCCUAGGGCUGGCCGGCCUAGUGGAGGGGCGCACCAGCCCCCUGUGGGCUGGUCUGUCCCUCCCUAGGCCCAUUAAGCCCAUAUAGCUUGCCGGGGGUUGCCCCGAACCCCUUCCGGUGACCCGAUACGUACCCGGUACCCCCAGAACACUUCCAGUGUCCAAAUACUAUCGUCCUAUAUAUGAAUCUUUACCUCUUGACCAUUUCGAGACUCCUCGUCAUGUCCGUGAUCUCAUCCAGGACUCCGAACAACAUUCAGUCACCAAAUCACAUAACUCAUAUAAUACAAAUCGUCAUUGAACAUUAAGCGUGCGGACCCUACGGGUUCAAGAACUAUGUAGACAUGACCGAGACACCUCUCUGGUCAAUAACCAACAGUGGAACCUGGAUGCUUACAUAUUCUACGAAGAUCUUUAUCAGUCAAACCGUACUGACAACAUACGUUAUUCCCUUUGUCAUCGAUAUAUUACUUGCCCGAGAUUCGAUCAUCGGUAUCUUCAUACCUAGUUCAAUCUCGUUACCAGCAAGUCUCUUCACUCAUUCCGUAAUGCAUCAUCCCGCAACUAACUCAUUAGUCACAUUGCUUGCAAGGCUUAUCAUGAUGUGCAUUACCGAGAGGGCCCAGAGAUACCUCUCCGAUACUCGGAGUGAGAAAUCCUAAUCUCGAUCUAUGCCAACCCAAUAAACACCUUCGGAGAUACCUGUAGAGCAUCUUUAUAAUCACCCAGUUAUGUUGUGACGUUUGAUGGAACACAAGGUAUUCCUCCGGUAUUCGGGAGUUGCAUAAUCUCAUAGUCAAAGCAAUAUGUAUAAGUCAUGAAGAAAGCAAUAGCAAUAAAACUUAACGAUUAACAUGCUAAGCUAACAGAUGGGUCUUGUCCAUCACAUCAUUCUCCUAAUGAUGUGAUCCCGUUAUCAAAUGACAACACAUGUCUAUGGUUAGGAAACUUAACCAUCUUUGAUUAACGAGUUAGUCUAGUAGAGGCUUACUAGGGACUCGGUGUUUUGUCUAUGUAUCCACACAUGUAUCUAGUUUCCGGUUAAUACAAUUCUAGCAUGAAUAAUAAAUAUUUAUCAUGAUAUAAGGAAAUAUAAAAUAACAACUUUAUUGUUUCCUCUAGGGCAUAUUUCCUUCAAUAAAUUCCUUGGAAAGUGUUGGUUUGGAAGGCACCCGUCGAUAUGGCUAGCUAUGGAUUGAAAGAAUGGCGGAAAAAGGAAUAAACUUUAUUUAUGUUUGAGAAACACCUAUGAUGUAUCUAGCAUGGGAAGUAUUGGGAAUUACUUGAUCGUUUUGUUGACGGGAAAAGCAUGCCUCUCAAAAUAUUUUAUCUCUCAAUUUAAGCUUUGAGCUCUGGCACCUCUACAAAUGUCUGUUUCCUCUUCGAAGGGCCUAUCUAUUUCCUUUAUACAAUUUUUAUUUUUAAUUGAGUCUCCAUCUUCUCUUAUAAAGCACCAACUAGGGAGCACUAUGAUCAUACUUGUGCAUUGGAUGUAGCUAAUAUUCGAAUGUGUUUCGUGAAUGGAUCAAUGAUAGAGCAUGAUGGGCUAGGGAUAGCUUCCUUUAGUGUUGAUAUUUUGAAAGACGUAGUUGCUUAUUGUUAUGCUUGAGUAUUGAAGUCUUCAUGUCAAAUGUAGACUAUUGUCUUGAACCAUCUAAAAUUACAAAUGUCCAUGCUACAAAAGAAAAGAAUAUGUGAUGAACAUGUUAGGCAUCAUUCCACAUCAAAAAUUCUGUUUUUAUCAUUUACCUACUCGAGGACAAGCAUGAAUUAAGCUUGGGGAUGCUGAUAUGUCUCCAACGUAUCUAUUAUUUUUAUUGUUCCAUGCUGUUAUAUUAUCAUUCUUGGAUGUUUUACAAUCAUUUUAUAGCAACUUUAUAUCAUUUUUUGGGACUAACCUAUUGACAUAGUGCCCAGUGCCAGUUGCUGUUUGUUGCUUGGCUUUUACUUCGUAGAAUAUCAGUACCAAACGAAGUCCAAAUGCCAUGAAACUUUUUGGAGAUUUUCUUGGACCAGAAGACAACUUGGGAGGCAAGGAAGCACCUGAGGGAGGCCCAUGGGGCCCACCACCCACCAGGGCGCGCCAGAGGCCCCUGGCACACCUUGAUGGGUGGUGGGGCCUAUGGAGGUCUCCUCCAUCGCCUCUUAGCUCUAUAAAUACUCAGAUAUUCCAGAAAUCCUAGGGCCCUUUUCCGGCACUCAUCUCUAUAAAUACUCAGAUAUACGACGAAACACAAUUCAAGCCGCCGCAAGUUCUAGAACCACGAGAUCCAAUCUAGACCCCUUUUCCGGCGCUCCGCAGGAGGGGAACACGAUCACGGAGGGGUUCAUCAUCCUCAUUGGUUCUCCUCCGAUGAUGCGUGAGUAGUUCACCAUAGACCUACGAGUCUGUAGGCAGUAGCUAGAUGGCUUCUUGUCUCUUUUUUAUUCUCAAUACAAUGUUCUCCUCGAUGUUCUUGGAGAUCUAUUUGAUGUAAUGACUUUUUGCGGUGUGUUUGUUGGGAUCCGAUGAAGUUCGAGUUUAUGAUCAGAUCUAUCCAUGAAUAUUAUUUGAGUCUUCUUUGAUCUCUCAUAUGCAUGAUUGUUAUAGCCUCUUAUUUCUUCUCCAAAUCCUUGGUUUAGUUAGACCAACUAGAUUGAUUUUUCUUGCAAUGGGAAGAGGUGCUUUGUGAUGGGUUCGGUCUUGCGGUGUCCUCACCCAGUGACAGAAGGGGUAGUGUGGCACGCAUGUAUUGUUGCUAUUAAGGAUAAAAAGAUGGGGUCUAUUCCUACAUGAAUAGAUCUUGUCUACAUCAUGUCAUCGUUCUUAUUAUAUUAUUCCGUUUCUCCAUGAACUUAAUACACUAGAUGCAUGCUAGAUAGCGGUCGAUGUGUGGAGUAAUAGUAGUAGAUGCAUAAUCGUUUCGGUCUACUAAUCUUGGACGUGAUGCCUAUAUAGGCGAUCAUUGCCUUGGAUAUUGUCAUAGUUAUUUGUUCUUCUAUUAAUUUCCCAACAGUAAUUUGUUUACCCACCGUAUGCUAUUUUCUCGAGAGAAGCCACUAGUGAAAUCUACGGCCCCCGGGUCUAUCUUUUAUCAUUUUAUUUUCAGAUCUAUUAUUCCAAAAACCCAAAAAUAUCUUGAUGCACUUUUUCUUUAUUUAUUUUAUUUUUGUUUUACUCACAUCUAUUUAUCCAAUCUCAUACAAUUUAAUCUAUCUUUUUACCGAGGAGGGAUUGACAACCCCUCUUACGUGUUGGGUUGCAAGGAUUUGUUCUUUGUGUGAAGGUACCGUUUACGUAGUGUUGGUUGGUUCUCCUACUGAUUGAUAACCUUGGUUUCAUAACUAAGGGAAAUACUUGUUGUAGCUGUGCUGCAUCAUCCCUUCCUCUUUGGGGAAAUACCAAUGCAGAUCUAAGCCACGUCAGAUAUGUGUUUUGCUUGGAGCGUCUUGUAUUAUAUGAGUCUUUGCUUUAUUUGCUUUUUAGUUUGCCAUAAUCAUCCUUGCUGGACACACCUUUUGAGAGGGACACACAUUAAUCAUGAAUUUGUUAGAAUACUCUAUGUGAUUCACUUAUACUUUUUGAGCUAGGUAGUUCCUCUAGUGCUUCACUUAUAUCUUUUUAGAGCACGUCGAUGGUUAUAUUUUAAAGAAAUUGAUGAACUCUCAUGCUUCACUUAUAAUAUUUUGAGAGUCUUAUAAAUAGUAUGGCAAUUUGCUUGGGUUAUGAAUUUAGUCCUAAUAUGAUGGGUAUUCAAGAGGGAUAUAAUAAAAACUUUCAGGAACAUCAUUGAAUAUAUGAGAAGGUUGAUUCCUUGCAUUUGUUUUGAGAUAUAAAGAUGGUGAUAUUAGAGUCAUGCUAGUUACUAAUUUUGGUUUAGUAAGAAUAUUUGUGUUAAGGUUUGUGAUUCUCGAAGCAUGCACGUAUGGUCUCUUGUUAUGCUAUGAAAUUUGAGCAUGAUUUAGUAUUGAUUGUCAUCCUUUGCAUGGAGGUUGGGAGCAUGUGAUGGUUAACUCCUACCAACCUCUCCCCUAGGAGCAUGCAUAGUAGUACUUUACUUCGAGGGCUAACAAACUUUUGCAAUAAGUAUGUGACUUCUUUAUGACUAAUGUGAGUCCAUGGAUUAUACACCCUCUCACCUUUCCGCAUUUUGCUAGCCUCUUUGGUACCGUGCAUUGCCCUUUCUCACCUUGAGUUGUGGUGCAAACUUCGUCGGUCCAUCUAAACACCGUGAUAUGAUACGCUCUUCCACACAUAAGCCACCUUAUAUCUUUCUCAAAACAGCCACGAUACCUACCUAUUAUGGCAUUUCCAUAGCCACUCCGAGAUAUAUUGCCAUGUAACUUCCACCGUUCCGUUUUAUUAUGACAUAUAUCAUCAUUGUCAUAUUGCUUUGCAUGAUCAUAUAGUUGACAUAGUAUUUGUGGCUUCGCCACCAUUCAUAUUUUUUAUACAUGUCACGCUAGAUCAUUGCACAUCCCAGUACACCGCCGGAGGCAUUCAUAUAGAGUCAUAUUUUUGUUCUAGUAUCGAGUUGUAAUUCUUGAGUUGUAAGUAAAUAAAAGUGUGAUGAUCAUCAUUAUUAGAGCAUGGUCCGAGGUGAGGAAAGGGUGAUGGAGACUAUGAUUCCCUUACAAGUCGGGGUGAGACUCCGGGCGUAAAAAAGAAAGAAAAAAGAGGCCGGAGCCCAAAGUAAAAAAAGAGAGGCCAAAGAGCCAAUGAAAAAGAAGAGAAAAAAUAAUAAAAAAUGUGAGAAAAAGAGAGAAGGGACAAUGUUACUAUCCUUUUCCACACUUGUGCUACAAAGUAGCACCAGGUUAUUCAUGAUAGAGAGUCUCCUAUUUUGUCACUUUCAUAUGUUACUAGCGGGAAUUAUUCAUUAUAGAACUUGGCUUGUAUACUCCAAUGAUGGGCUUCCUCAAAUGCCCGAGGUCUUCAUGAGGAAGCAAGUUUGAUGCAAACCCACUUAGAUUUAUUUUGAGUUCAUACACUUAUAGCUCUAGUGCAUCCGUUGCAUGGCAAAUCUUAUCAACGUUUCUAGCCAAAUCAUCAACUUUAACAAUUUUUAUUCUACCAUAGCAUUUCUCCAAAGAGCUAUAAGCGUAUGAAAGCUCAAAAGAAAACUAAGUGGGUGUGCAUCACUACAGGAAUCAGGCACUUUGCCGUCUACCUUGGCUGACGGCAAAGGCAUGCUUGGCGGACGGCAAAGGCCUUUACCGUCAGCCAGCAGACGGCAACAGGUCCGGCUGAAUAAGCUACGGCAAAGGGCACUUUGCCAUUUGCUGGUGGACAGCAAAGAUGAAAUGGUCUUUGUCGUCUGCCAGCAGACGGCAAAGAGCCUGGACGACACACGUGGCAGGUUAGGUCCGUUAGGGGGUUAACGGCGUGCUUUGCCAUCGGCAAAGACCUUUGCAUCUUUGUCAUCUGCCAGCGGACAACAAAGUGCACAAAUAUGCCAACCCAGAUGCCCCCCAGGUAACUGCCACAUGGCAAGCUAUGCCGUGUGCUGGCAGAUGGCAAAGAUGCCAAGGUCUUUCCCCCUCCCAGCAGACGGCAAAGCUACCAAAUAGGCCAGCCCAGUGCACCCCAGGUUGCACAGGUAGCUGCCACAUGGCAACUUUGCCGUCUGCUGGCUGAUGGCAAAGCUCUUUGCUGUCUGCCAGCAGACGGGAAAGAGCCUGUACAGCCCCUGUUUUUUCUUAAAUUCAUUCAAUUUCACAGAAUUUCACAGAUAUAUAUAUACACACACAUUUGAAAAUACUUUCAACAACCAUAACAACACAUAUACAUACCAAAUCAUAUCCGUGCCAUAUGGAUAUGAUCAUCCAACACAUAUACAUACCAAAUCAAAAGUCCAUAUGCAACAUAUAUAGCUAGCCAACAUAUCCAACAACAAGCAUACAAUGGUUUCAUCCAUACAUACAUAUAUAGGUAGCAAGUUUUACAUUGUUCAUCCUACAAAAUCAAAACAAAAAGGAAGCACAAGGAGAAGAGUAGACUCCAUCAACGCAAGCUUCCUCAUCGAAAGCAAAUCUGCAAAUUGGGAAAGAAGAAAGUUAGAAGAAGAAUAAGAAGAAGAAGACUAGAAGAAGAAGACUAGCUAGAAUACGAAGAAGUAGAAGACUAGAAGAAGAACACUAGCUAGAAGAAGAAGAAGAAGAAUUUUUCUUCUCUUUCUUUUUCUCCUCUCCUCUUCUUUAUCUUCUUCUUCUUCUAACUAAGGUGGGUAAAAAUGCCAUUUUUUAGCUAAGCUAGGUAAAAAUGCUAAGUGUAGGUCAUUUUAGAGCUAAGCUAGGUAAAUAGGUCAUUUUGGAGCUUAGAAAUGUUAUUAUGUCAUUUUCGUGGAAAAUAAGCUAAGUCUAUGUCAUUUUGGAGGUAACAAAGAUUAUCAUGCCAUUUUUGACCUACGUAUGCUAAGUAUGUCAUAAAUGGACUAAAGAAGCUAAGUAUAGGUCAUUUUUAGCUAAGCUAGGUAGUUAUGCCAUUUUUGACCUAAGUAAGCUAAUUAUGUCAUAAAUGAACUAGGUAAGCUAAGUACAGAUCAUUAUUGAGCUAUCCUAGGUAGUUCUGCCAUUUUUAGCUAACUAAGCAUAUUAAGUCAUUUAGGAGGGGGGAAAUGCUAAGUAUAGGUCAUUUUAUAGCUAUCCUAGGUAAAAUAUAGGUCAACUAUGCUUAUUAUGUCAAUUUGGAGAAAAAUAAGGUAAGUAUAGGUCAUUUUUGUGGUAACCUAGGUGAUGAUGCCAUUUUUGAGCCAACUUACGUAAGUAAAGCUCAUUUUUUUAUCUAACUUAGGUAAUUAUGCCAUUUAGGAGGAAAAUAAGCUAAGUAUGCAUUUGUUAAGCAAAACACUAGAGAAAACUUACCCUCAUCACAACAAAUGCGAUGAAGAUCACAACUAAGGUAACAAUUGAUCCAACGGCAUAAUGAUACCAAGCCUCAUUAUCAAUGGCAUAUUUUCUAAUCUGCUUAAGCUUCAGGCGCAUUGCAUCCAUCUUCAAGCGCAUUGCAUUCAUCUUCAUCUUGUGAUCAUCGACGACAUUGGCAACAUACAACUCCAAUGUCAUCUUCUCUUCUACAAUUCUUUUAUUUUUUUCUUUCAAAUACUCAUUUUGUUUUUCAACUAAAUUUAACUUCUCGACAAGAGGGUCGGUUUCAAAUUCCAGUUCACAUACCUCAUAGAUUAUAAUAUCUCUAUGUCAACUUGAUGGCCAUAAUUGUCAUAAAUGCAAAAUGCAACAAAUAGUUAUAAAAGAGAAUUUACCACAUCUAAAUCAUAAAGCGGGCGAGGGCCGACGGGGACAGACAUCAUGACCAUGGCACUAUGUAUAAGAAACAAUCAUACAAAGUAAGAAAAUUAUACAAGUAACUAUAUAAAUCAUACAAUCAUACAAGUAACUAUAUAAAUCAAGUACAACAUAAAAAAAUGAAUACCUGAUAAUAAUCUGGAUCGUCGGAUUCAAUAAAUGCUCCAGGAUCAAUAGAUGCAUCAUCAUCAUCACUAUCAGUAAUGACAUGCUCAUCAUCAUCAUUAAUAAAUGCAUCAUCAUGUGGAAGGCCACCUUUACAUGAUCGGUCAAGCAUUGACAAGUCAUCCGCAGCAGUAACCUCUUCUAGUUCAGGCUCUUCUUGUUCCGGCUCAGGGGUGAAGUCGGGUUCAGUGUGGCUGUCUACUUCAAUGUUCUGGGGUGAAGUAGAGCAGUUCUUGAAAUGUUUCUGGAAAGACGUGUUUCUUGGAAGAAUUCUCCUUCAUAUGUGUCUAGGUUAAUGUGAGGUUCAUAAUCCUCUUCAUUGGGGGGAGGUGGUCUAACACGUGGCGGCACUUCAUAAACGACAUCCCAACCAUUUUGAGAUUUGGAUCACUUUGAUAGGCCCACGGUAGAUAGAAAACUUGGGUUGCCUGUUGAGCCAUAAUAUAGACAUUGGUAACAUCCAAAUGGGUGCUUUGUUUGAUUUCCACUAGCCCUAUAUGUUCAUGAGUCCUUCUAGUCUCCUAUGGCUGGAACCAAUAACAUUUGAAGACUACGACGUUUGGAGGGUUUGCACCAUAGAAUUGAAGUUCAUAAAUUGCUUCAACUCUUCCAUAAUACUCGGUAUCUCCUUUGCCGAUAGCAGAGGCACAACAAUUUGUAGACUUUCGGUCAGCCAUAGCUACUAAAGCGAUACCCGUUGAUGUUGUAUUUGUCAAAUGAGCAGGCCUUAAAGUCAAAACCAUUAGCGACUUGUUUCAAUUCGGCGUCCAUAAACUCUGAAAUAGACUACAGGUUUAAUACGAAAGGGAUUGUUGCAUUAGCCAAAAAUUAGAUGAAGAAAUGAAAUGGUCUAAUGGAAAUUACCGUUUGUUUGAACCAAGAGAUGAAACCGGGAUAGCCACCUCCAUGCUUUGCCAGAAGCUCAUACUCUUCGACGGAAUCCUUUUGGAUCACCGCUCCAUACGAGAAUUUGGCGACAUAUCGACUGUAUCAAAUUUAUCCAGGAAUAAGAGCAGUUCAAAGGAAUUAGAAGUUGCGAAACAAUGUACCGAGAACUUACUCUAUGUACGGCCACACUUCUAUUAGGUUGGUGAAGAUAUACAACGAAAUGAUCUGCCAUUCUUCGAAAUCCAACGUUAAGGAAUUAGAAGCACCGGCUGGUGCGAGAUCCCCUUUGAAUAGGCUGAGGUUGGAUCCACCCUUUUUAGGGUCGUCAGCAUUGUACCGAGGCUUCGGAUUAUGCAAAUGACAAGUUUUGGCUUCGUAGUGUGCUGUCACGAAGUUUCCCGCCUCCUUAGUAAUGAAUGCCUCAACCAUCGAUGCUUCAAUUAUACGUCUAUUUUUGCAUUUUGCUCGUAGCAUCUUCUGCAUCAUCUCAGUUGAGUAGCACCAACGAUUUUGCACGCCCCCCCCCAAUCUUGCCUCGGUUGGGAGAUGCAAAAUCAAGUGUUGCAUUGGAUUAAAGAAGCCCAGCGGAAAGAUCUUCUCUAACUUGCAGAUCAACUUCGACGCCAACUCUUCCAUUUCUUCUAGCAGGCUAGGCGAUAGUUCUUCGCACAAAGAACAUGAAAGAAUUAGCUCAGCUCUGCCAGUACUAGCCAUUCAUCCUCAGGGAUGAAGCCACACAACAUCACCGACAUUACCCGCUCAAUCCAUAUGUGCCAAUCAUGACUCUUGAGACCAAAUAUCUUCAAUUUAUCAAGACUCGCUCCCCUGUUUAGAUUCGUUGCAUACCCAUCGGGGAACAUCAACUGAUUUUGCACCCACAAGAUAAUUUCCCUCAUAGCUGGCCUUCCAAGAUUGAACCAUGCCUUUGGCUUCGUCCAGUUCUACUUUCCUUUCGAUUCUUUCAUGUUUUGUAACGGUCUAUCACAUAGCGCCUCCAGAUCGACUCUAGCCUUAGUAUUAUCCUUUGACUUACCCUCUAUGCUGAACAAUCUACCAAGAAGUGCCUCGGCGAUAUUCUUUUCAGUGUGCAUCACGUCGAUGUUGUGUGUGCAAAGGAGGUCUUUGAAGUAAGGCAGAUCCCACAAGCAUGUCUUGUGAGUCCAGGCAUGUUUCAAAUUAUACCCCUUGAAAUACACUGGACGCUCUGGAUCUGGCUCGAGAGCGUUUAACUGAUCCAGGGUCUCUUGGCCUGUCAACGCAGGUGGUGCAGAGUUUUUGACAACUCUACCUUUGAUGAAGUUCUUCUUGUCUUUCCUAAACUUAUGGCGAGGAUUCAGGAGCUGUCUAUGCAAGUCGAAGCAAGAAAACUUGCGACCCACCUGAAGCCAAUGAAACUCAAGAACUCCCUUGCAUGUGGGGCACGGGAACCUUCCAUGCACACACCAGCCAACGAAUAGCGCAUACGCCGGCAAGUCAUGCGUCGAGUACAUGUACCAGACACGCAUUAUGAAAUUCUGUUUGCUAAAGGCGUCGUAUGUCUUGAACCCAUUAUCCCAGGCUUCUUGCAAUUCGUCCUUUAGCGGCUGCAUGUACACAUUCAUAUUCUUCCCCAGAUAGUUGGGUCCUGGAAUUAUCAACAUCAGGAAAAUGUUCUUUCUUUGCAUAAUCUGUCCGGGGGGAGAUUGAGUGGAAUGACAAAUACGGGCCAACAACUAUAUUGGGUUGCCGUCAGACCAAACACACUGAACCCAUCCGUGCUGAUGGUGACUCGAGGAUGCCUCGGAUCUGCCGCUUUGUCCUCAUGCAAUGCAUCGAAGCGCUUCCAAACUUCACGGUCUGAUGUGUGCACCAUCAUCAGCUUCCCAUCUACAUCUAGUUGGGUUCUUUUGCCCGUUUUGUGCCAUGUCAUCUGUCUGGCCGUCUCUUCGACCAUGAAAACACGUUGAAGUCUUGGUACAAUUGGCAUAUACCGAAGAACAUUAGCUGGGAUUUUGGCCUGCGUCUUCUCACCCAUACCAUUGUCUACCACAACAUACCUGGAUGACUUGCAAAUGGGACAAUAGUUCAAGUCCUCAUACUGAAGCCUAAAUAAGGCACAUCCUUUCUCACAAGCAUGUAUCUUCUCAUAGGGCAUUUUAAGAGCACGGAGGAUUUUGUCUGACUGGUACAGGUUUGAAGGUAGUACAUGGCCAUUGGGUAGAAAAUGUCCAAAUACUGUCAUCAUCGCGUUGUAGCAUUCUCUGCCCAAGUUGAAUUGAGCCUUCAGAGCCAUUAUUUGUGAGAUGGCAUCCAGCUGACAAAGCUCAGUAUGCUCGUGAGAGGACGUUUUGAAGACUCCAACAUUUCAUUCAAGGCCUUUGCAGAUUCCUCCAUCUCAUCGUCCGAGUCCCGAGCAUCAUCAAAGCCUUGCACCAUGUCUUGCAUCCCGGUACCAUGCUCGUCGGUGCGACAAUGAAGCACCUCAGCUCUGGCACGUUGGGCAGACUCGCCAUGAAAUGUCCACACCGUAUAACCUGGCGUAAAACCCCUCUUCUGCAGGUGUUUGCCCAUUUCAUCAUCUGUCCUCUUGUGCCAAUUGUUGCACCCGGCACACGGGCACCAUGUUGUCCUCUGGCCAUUUGCAAAUGCGGCUCUCAGAAACCCCUUGGUUUUUGUUAACCAUUCAAUGGUCAUGUCUUUCUGACUAGUGUGACCGGUGGACAUCGCAUGAUCACUCAUCUUGCCUAGCUACUGCACACAUAAGAAAUAUAUAUAUAUAUAUAUAUAUAUAUAUAUAUAUAUAUAUCAGCAUGUAUAUAUAUUCAUGAGUUAAUGGAGUUUGUCACUUUUAUUACGUCCAUGCAACCUAGACGCUAAUUGGUAAAGAUAUGUCCUAAUCCCACCCGAGUAUGUGUAGAUUGGGUUCGUUUUCCCAUGCUCUGCUCUGGAUCCGACGCAAAAUUUUGGUAGCACCUCCCCACUGUUCUCUUGAUACACGUCCCGGCAAUAAGCAGAGGAUGUGUACCCAGAGAGCAACAGGGAGGCACUGAUGAAAUUCUGCAUCAGAUCCGGAGCAGAGCAUAUGGGAAAACUAACCCAAUCUACACAUACUCGGGCUGUCCAUGGAUAACGUUGGAUAAUUCAAAAGAAUCACGGUUAUAAAUAUGCAAAUGCAUGUGUCGUGGUUUUGUCACGGCAGAUGUCCUAGUGAAAGGACUUAGUCGUGAGGCCAACGCAUCUAUGUAGUAGCUUGAGAGGGGUUGAGUGGAAUCGAGAGACGCAACACAAGACAAGGAUUUAGACAGCUUCGGGCCCCGGGAAACAUCAUCCGGUAACAACCCUACAUGCUGUUUGAGGCUAGGUCUCAUUAUGAUCACAAGGGAGUCGCCGGUAAACCGGCUCUUUGUGUCUAGCCCUAGAGAUUGUUUCUUCUAUCUCUGCUUGUCCCUUGUCCCUCUUUGGGGAGCCUUGCCCCUCCUUAUAUAAGUUGAAGGGGCGGGUUACAUGUGGAGUCCUACUAGGAUUAGGACUAGUCUAUCUCUAAUACAAACCGGAUACAAGUCCUGGUCUUAACUCCUUGUAAGGUAAAUAUUCCUCAUGCCUUUCCUCUUAAACCGGCCCACCAUAGUAUGAACUGGCCUUCAUGAACCACCCGUUGGGCCACCGGGUCUUGUCGCUCCUCUGACCCGCCUGCCGGAUUACAAAUGAAUCGUAAACCGCCAGGUCCAAACGGGUCGCCAGUGAAUCGUCAAGUCUCAGCCGGGUCUGAAGUAAACCGCCAAGUCCGGCCGGGUUAUACCUCCGGCCGGUUUACGCCGUGGGGUAUAUCCCCGACAUUAGCCCCCAGUUUAAUUUGGAUUUAUCCAUGUUAAACUGAUCCUGUAAAACAAACACAAGAACAAAUUUGACAGAUUAUGCUCCGGGUUAAGAAUUCUUGUAAACCGGCAUCUGAUCAUCCUUAAGUCCUUGUCAUUUCCUCCUUCUAGAAAAUCCGGGUCAACAAGUCAGCUUCAUACUCAAUUUGCUGACAUUGGUUUCUCACAGAGAAAUAUUGUGAAGAAUAACCCACAUGAGUCGGCUUCCAAAGUGCCGGUUUAAGAAAUAUGGGUCUUGAAAUACUCAUCUGAUAUUCAGCCGGUUUGAAGAUGUAAAACUUGCCGGUUUAAUAUUACCAAAAUUACCGGUUUGUAAAUAUGCAUGGCGCCGAGUCAUAAUUAUUACCGACGCCGGGUCAUAAUUGUUGCAGACACCGGGUCAAUCUGGUUUGCUCAGAACUGAGAAUUUGAAGACUUUUCUCCCUUAUAUCCAUAUUACCUGUAGCCCCCAAGUCUUGAGCAGAACAAAGUGAUGGCUUAAGACUUGUUUCCAUAUAAUUACUGCCACUUUGAAGAAAUCCAUGUUGUUCAUCUCAGCCACUAUUAAAAACUGAAUACUCCAUAUAUGUAGCCCCCAAGUGCCGGGUCAUUAUGCAAUAAUGAGCAGGGACUUUAUAAAUAUGAUCGUACAGAUUUGAACAAUAACGUGUAGCCCCCAAGGGCCGGCUCAGUAAGAUAAUAUUGAGCUAGUACUUUAUAUACAUUUCUUUGAAAAGAACAUCAUAUAAUGUAACCCCCACCAUGGGGCUUGAACCCACGUCCACAAGGUUAAGAGCUUGUGCUUUACCAACUGAUCAAUGGACCUUUCAAUAUAAUGGUUUUAAGACUUGUGUACCUUGAAUUGUUGAUAGGAGCAAUUGGUAGCCCCAAGGGCUGGCUCAUUAUGAUGUGAUGAGUCGGGUCUUCAAUAAGGCCAAUAAAAAACGACUUUGCAUUAGCCCCCAAGUGUCAUGGUGCAUGCUUGCAGCGACAUGAGACUUGCAUGUAAUCUCAAUUUGAAUAAUGUAGCCCCCAAGUGCCGGGUCGUAAGCCUGCAGCGACUCGGGACUAUUCCUUCCAUUGUAGAAUAAAUCAUAUCCUUUGAUAAAAUAAUAGCCAUUGCGCUAAAGCGACUUUGAAAACCUCAAUAAUACCGGUUAUUAAUAACCAUAAUAAAAUCCAGCCAUGUUGGCUAUUCAAGAUAAUAUAAUCCGGUAUGAAAACCUUAUUCAUUCAAUAUCAUAAUGAAAAUUCAACCAAGUUUGGCUAUUUGAAUAAUAUAACCCAAUGAUUUAUAAGCGCAUGAUUCCAAUGGUGCAAUCCAAAUAUAUACUGGCGACUUAUAGUCCAAAGCCAUGCCGGUUUAAUAAACACCGGAUAAUUUCUCAUCAUAUACUGGCGACUUAUCGUCUUAAAGCCAAGCCGGUUUAAUAAACACCGGAUAAUUUAUCAUCAUACUGGCGACAUAUAGUCGAAAGCCAGGCCGGGUUAAUAAAUGCCGGUGAUUUAUAAUCAUGCUUUAUUCAACCUGUUUCUGCAUACAACAAGUUUAAAGUGUCCUGGCGGUUUACCGCCGGACGGGUCAUAAUGCCCAACAUAUAACCCGGGUUUAUAACCAAGGCUGCGCUUAAGAAUAAUCAAAUAUGAAAUAUAUCAUACCUGUGACAUUGAAUCACAUCGUUGGUUUACCAACUUUUUGUAGUAAGGGUGAUAACCCCAAUCUUGAGUACUGAUAACUCCUUCCAUAUUGUGCCGGUUUAUGAUAAAACCGUGCCGGGUUGUGAUAAACACCGGAUUAACCAUAUUAAUACUGGUGACUUGUAGUCGAAACCAGAACGGGUUGAUAAUCUCCGGAUUAUGACUGAUCAUAUACUGACAACUUGUAGUUGAAAGUCAAGCCGGGUUAAUGAGCACCGGUUUAAAAACAUCACAAAUCUUAUCAAAAGAAAGAGAAACUUAGCAAAUAGCAAAUAAAAACGUUGUAGUCGAGGCUUUUCACGGGGUGCCAGGCCCUAAAUUCGACAGCAAAGAAUCCCCAAGCAACAUUGUGAGCUGUGCUCAGUGGGUGCCUAUGUUUGAGUUGUUGUUUUACAACACUCUCUUUGGCCCCGGAUUGAUGUGGCUUUGAGCCGAUCGAGAGGUGUGACUGUGGUUCGGAUACGACCAAGCCGCCAAGUGAUGCUGUGGCAUUGCGCCGAUCAAGAGGUGUAGCUAUGGUUCGGGUACGACCAAGCCCCCAAGUGAUGCUGUGGCAUUGCGCCGAUCAAGAGGUGUAGCUAUGGUUCGGAUACGACCAAGCCCCCAAGUGAUGCUGUGGCAUUGCGCCGAUCAAGAGGUGUGGCUAUGGUUUGGAUACAACCAAGCCCCCAAGUGAUGCUGUGGCAUUGCGCCGAUCAAGAGGUGUAGCUAUGGUUCGGAUACGACCAAGCCCCCAAGUGAUGUUGUGGCAUUGCGCCAAUCAAGAGGUGUAGCUAUGGUUCGGACACGACCAAGCCCCCAAGUGAUCAAUAAUAUGGUAAGCCAAUAAGGCAUGAUACCCAUGUUUGAACCGCGCAUCAUGGUAGCAGGUCCUCUUUGGCACCCUUUAACUUUUUGCAAGAGAUAAAUCCUUCUUGAACCGGGAUUUUGAACCGGAUAUUGAGAGCUUCAAAGCUUUGUGGGAGACAUCUUUCCCUUGAACUGGAUUUUAAACCGAAAUCUUCAUUUUCAGCCGGAAAUUUUCUGACGCCUUUAAACUCGUACUUGCGAGAAGUUAAUUCCUUUUUGAACCGGACAUUUUCAAACCGGAUUUGAGAGCUUCAGAGCUUUGUGGGAGAACAGAUUUCCCUUGAACCGGAUUGUAAACCGGAUAUUUGAGAGCUUCAGUGAGACUGACUUCCCUUGAGCCGGAUUUUAAACCGGCAUCCUUUCUGAUGACCCGGAACUUCUUCAUUGAGCCGGGAUUUUGUAACUGUCAUAUACUUUCUAAGCCGGAAAUUUUCUGACGGCCUUUAAAUUUUCAUCAAUAUAACAGUAGCCACCGGGACCGGGUUAUCUGUCCCUCCAUUGUCCCGGGGUUCUUAAAUUUGCUGAAACUGGCAAGAUUUGCUGAAUCAUGUCAUCGUAGCCCCCGAGUCUGAAAGGUGACUCGAGGAGUUGUUGAGAUUCUCCAUAUUUUGACCGUGAUAUAAACCGGCAUAACUUGUAUAUCAUUGGUGUUGAUAGCACGAUGUGAAUCCAUGGAAGGUUGAGGUGACUGCGGCGGUUUAUAAAUGAUCUGUAUGAGCCGUGUCAACAACUCGGCCAAUGGUUCCUUCCAACUGGCUAUUUGAAGUUAUCCAAACUGUAGUGGCGGCGACUUGCGUGCCUGCCCAUUGAGCUAUCCAGUGCAGACGGCGGUUGAUAGUAUAUGAUAAUUUGCCUCCAUUUUGUUGAAAGAAAACCGGGCUACCCAAGCUUCGACUUGCUCAAACAGCUCAUGCAGACAGGUGCGGCCCGGUAUGUUGAUGUAGACCAGGCCGCAAGAGACGGACGACAAAGACGACCGCAACAUCAGAGGCGACUCGGAUAGAUGAGUCGGCCGCGACAUUGUAAGCCGGUGCGGACGGGCGAGUCGAUCAGGCGGUUCGGCCUCGUCAUGUUGAUAUAAACUGGUCUGCAGAAUGGCGGCUCGCAGAUAUGUUCAUCGAGCUUGAUGGUGUGGUCAGAUGCUAGCGCAUAAUGGUGGCGUGAGCUAUACAUCCAUGACACGGCCAUAGCUUUUGCAGCGAAUAAUUGUCCUGCAUAAACAAUAUCACAGACCAAGGCAAAGAUAAAUUGCUCUUUGACAAAAAUAAUAUGUGCUAAUAAAAUAUAUUUUAGAUGGAUACCACCUGACUCGUCCGGACAGUAAAUGAGUCGGCUGUGGGGUUGUAAGCCGAUGUGGACGGGAAAAAUCAGCACCGGUGUUGUAAACCGGCACGGACGGGCGAGUCGGCCGUAUGUUGAUGUAACGGGGGUGGCGACUUGCGCACAUAUUCGUCGAGCAGUACGACACGGACAAGAGCUAGCGCAAAAAUAAUGUUGGCACAUGUCCCUCCGCGACACCUUUCUAAUGAAUAACGGUCCUACGAAAAUAUUAUAAGACCAAGUAAUUGUUCUUUGAGAAAAACAAUAUCUUUUAAGAAAAUAAAUUUGGAUGGAUAUCACCUGUUUUGUCCGGAUGAUGUAUGAUCUGUAUAUAGCAUCCAUGGAGAAAUUGCUAACAUUGUGGUUCAUCCAGCGCAAACAUGAUAGCAACUCACUUGGUCUCUACCAAGCGCUCAAAGUGCCGAAGAAUUCUGUUUGGUCCAUCAAGGGCGAAUAGUACACAGUACAUUUGAUCAAUUUGACCUUAUGUACCAGGCGAAAAUCAUUUUGCCCGUUUGUCAGGGAAGCAUGUAUUUUGGGAAAUCCGCUACCUCUUCCUAUCAGCUGCACUUAGCUGAUGCCAUGAAAUCCAGGAUGUUCCUCAAUAUACGCAGAAUUGAUACCUCCUUAUACUGUCUCUACUGCAGCAUUAAAUCCCAAUGUCGUGUCCAUCAGUAGUAUGUUAUUAUCCACUGUUUUGAGAGAGCCAAUAUCGACACUUUCAGUUUUCUCUUCCUUUCUAUUGGCACGUAACACUUGGACGAUAGCAAUAGCAGCUAGUAUCUCCGUCCCGGCGGAUCAAACAAAAUGACCAGCAAAAACUUCCAGUCGGUCAAGAGCAAAUGUGACACAAAUCUUCAGGUGACUUGGCGUGAGGCCACCCGACGCCCGGGGCGGAACCAAACCGCAGGGGCGGCUUGUAGGCAAAGGUCACUCGAUGGCCGGGCGGCUCGCAGCAGCGGAGAUCACUUCGACGCGGGGCGGCUCGGCGCAAGAUGCGCCCGCAGCAGCGAGGUGGCAAACUGGAAGCAGAAAGGCGUCGUCCACGGGCGGCUCAGGAGGCCGUGGCUGCAGCAGCGGCGGAGGCCUCAGCAGUGACGGGCGGCUCAGCGCGGCGUCGGGUGGCGACUUGUAACAGAGCGGAGUCAGCCGACUCCGGAGCGAGGCAGAACAGUGGAGGCUCAGCAGCUUGGUGGUUAAGCCGCGGCGGAGGCAACGGCGGGUCGAUGAGGUGAAGCCCGGGCCACACAGCCGGGCGCGCGGGCUCAGGAGACUGUGGAUGCGGUUCGGGCGGCUCAAAAAUAGGUAAAGCAAAGUGCGGCGGCAGCGGCUCAGAGCGAGACGGAAUCGAACCCGCAUCAGCAGGCGCGGGCGGACCCAGCGGCAUGACCUAGCGAAGCAGAGAAGGGAUCCGCGGGCGUGGCGGCAGAAAAGGCACAUGCCCGGUUUAAGGAUGAAGAGACGCCCUGCGGCAACGGAGGCUAAGGCAGACGGUAGCUCGCAGGGCUCGGCAGCCGGCAGCUCAACGCGGUGGCCGGCCUCCAGGGAGGAGUCCGGGUUGUAGCCUCGAGGCACCGACGGCGGAGGAGUCCAGAUCGCCACCUUAUCCGUUUCCGGGUCGUGGCCUCCGGCCCCCCUCUUUUUUUUACAUAUCGCUUCCUGUUUCUUGAUGCGUGGAGCAACCACAACUUUUUCUCAUGGAGCAAAAUUUGUGACCUUUUCGAUCCUGAGAAAGAUCCCUCCAAGAACUCAACACCACCGUGCGCGAGCCCCACGGUGGGCGCCAACUGUCGUGGUUUUGUCACGGCAGAUGUCCUAGUGAAAGGACUUAGUCGUGAGGCCAACGCAUCUAUGUAGUAGCUUGAGAGGGGUUGAGUGGAAUCGAGAGACGCAACACAAGACAAGGAUUUAGACAGCUUCGGGCCCCGGGAAACAUCAUCCGGUAACAACCCUACAUGCUGUUUGAGGCUAGGUCUCAUUAUGAUCACAAGGGAGUCGCCGGUAAACCGGCUCUUUGUGUCUAGCCCUAGAGAUUAUUUCUUCUGUCUCUGCUUGUCCCUUGUCCCUCUUUGGGGAGCCCUGCCCCUCCUUAUAUAAGUUGAAGGGGCGGGUUACAUGUGGAGUCCUACUAGGAUUAGGACUAGUCUAUCUCUAAUACAAACCGGAUACAAGUCCUGGUCUUAAUUCCUUGUAAGGUAAAUAUUCCUCAUGCCUUUCCUCUUAAACCGGCCCACCAUAGUAUGAACCGGCCUUCAUGAACCGCCCUUUGGGCCACCGGGUCUUGUCGCUCCUCUGACCCGCUUGCCGGAUUACAAAUGAAUCGUAAACCGCCAGGUCCAAACGGGUCGCCAGUGAAUCGUCACGUCUCAGCCGGGUCUGAAGUAAACCGCCAAGUCCGGCCGGGUUAUACCUCCGGCCGGUUUACGCCACGGGGUAUAUCAGCAUGUAUAUUAUUCAUGAGUUAAUGGAGUUUGUCACUUUUAUUACGUCCAUGCAAUCUAGACGCUAAUAGGUAAAGAUAGGUCCUUAUCCCACCCGAGUAUGUGUAGAUUGGGUUCAUUUUCCCAUGCUUUGCUCUGGAUCCGACGCAAAAUUUCGGCAGCACCUCCACACUGUUCUCUUGAUACACGUCCCGGCAAUAAGCAGAGAGGAUGUGUACCCAGAGAACAACAGGGAGGCACUGAUGAAAUUCAGAGCAUAUGGGAAAACUAACCCAAUCUACACAUACUCGGGCUAUCCACGGAUAACGUUGGAUAAUUCGAAAGAAUCACGGUUAUAAAUAUGCAAAUGCAUGCGUAUUUAUAGAUGUAACCCUUUCGAACAGGAGACGCAUAGUGUCACGCAUACUGAUGAUUGAAGACACCUAUAGCUAGCAGGUUUCAUUGGCACGAAAACCGGAACAGAGCAAAUGAAGGGGGAAGAGGAGAUAUCAUUUGUGCUCACCCACGAACGCAGGGGCGGAGCUCAUCUAACACUAGACCCUCUGAUAGAUUGUAAGUACAGUGGGAUAUUUCGCCCCGAACUGCAAGUGUCGUGUUCUCCACAGGGACUGGGCAACGACAACAAUGCUCAGCUAAAGCUAGGUGACCCAAUUUUAAGAGAGGAUUGCAAGAAAAUAAUAACCUAAACUAGCCAGGGUUGACGACAAAGAAAGCCUAAACAGCAAGGGGAAAUUCAGAUUUUACUCAUUGUCUCUUUGGUAUUUUCGUAAUGCUUGAGAAGUUAAAAUACUAAUACGAGCAUACAUCAAUGACAAUAGAAGUGAAAGGACAUGAACGUAACAUGACAAGGACACAUAUAUAACUAUCAAACAUGUACCAGAGGAAAGAAACAAGAUAAUAUGACAGGGACAAAUAUAUAUCACAACACAAACAUAUAUAUUUUCACAUGAACAUAGUUAACACAGGAACUACGGUAUAAACAUAACCACACAUAUGGGAACAAAGUACUACACCAAGGUUCAGGUUACACGAGUGACAACACAAACGAAAUUACACAAGCCACUAAACUAGUACUCGCAGAUCAACAGAAGCAGCAAGACAGAGAGGAGAGGCUGCAGGGGAUUAGACUCCCCUGUGACGGUGUCUUGUCAGGGGCGUGAGUAGAAGUAGUGAAGGGGUUCAGAGAAGAAGCAUGAGCAGCGGCAGAGGGAGUAAGUAGCAGGAGCGCAUAGAGAAGAAGCAGCAGCAUGUAGCAGAUGCGUUCAGCAGGGGCAGCAGGAAAGAUGUGGGAGAGAGAGAGAUCGCAGCAGGUGAAGAGGAGAGGAACAAUAGCAAGGGGCGAAGGGCGUAGAAGAAUUGCAGGUUGAAGAUGGGAGGAGCAGCAGAAGGUUGAGGUAGGCGAGGCGAAACAGCAGGGAGCAGCGGAGGUAAGGGAAGAAAGGUAGCAGAGAGAGAUGGAGAAGGAGUGGAGUCGCAGGGAGGACCAGACGCCCGUCUGAUCGGGCGCACGAGGUGCGGCGGUGGAGCGGUGGCGCUGGGCAAUGCAGGUGGUGCUGGUGGCGGUGUGAGGUGCGGCUGGUGGUGGAAGGUGCUGGUGGCGCGCCGCCACGCCGGCCUCGCCGCGGCGGCGACCGGAUGUGGAGAAGAGUGGUGAGAGGGAGAGAGAUGAGAUGCCAGGCCCAAAGGGGAUCGAGGCUGCUACUAGGGAUUUUGACCCCUCCUCUAGUCUGCCACUUUUCUGAUUUGGCCCUUCUCCUUUCCUUCUUUCUUCCCAAGUCGAUCCCCUCCAUCUUUAGUUUUGGCCCCUGGUUUCUUCUUUCCUUCAUGCUCAGGUCCCUUUGUUCACUUCUUCCCUGCCCUUCUCUCUUCUCAAUAUCCAAUUCGUCCGAAUCUUGAAGAUUAUAGUGCCUUUGCACACAUUUCUGCAAAAUAGACCAAAGACUAGUAAAUGACCCUUUAUAUGAUUUUCAUGCAAAUAUUCAAUAUUUCACAUCAAGAAUUGAUGGUCAUAUCUCAAUAAACCGCAUAUUUGAGUGCCAAAAGAUUUAUAUGAAAUGUGCUUAUCAAGUUCCCCCACACUUAAAUCAUUGCUUGUCCUCAAGCAAAGGAAUAUGACAAGAGUAGGAUAGUGAAUAGUGAGCUGACUAGAGAAUGUCCAAGUGAAGUAGAUCUCUAAACAAUGCAUGCUUUGGACUUAGCUAGUGAAAAUCAAUGGUUAAGAGUGCUACAGAGCAAUAGGACACUAGUAAACUCAAUCAUUUUAAACUUUUACAAAGAUAAAAGUGGAUCAACAAGUUCAAAUGCUGAUUGCGCCAAAGGGUUCCUAAAGAGAGCAUGAUCCCCAAAAAAGCUUAUUACCCGGAACAUAACAUUAUGGUUGAAGCACUUAUUGAAUGUGAAGGAAGUAAUGAUAAUAUUUUAUCGAUCUCACCAAAGGAACAUACCACCAAUCCCAAGAACAUGGUAUACACCUGGCUCGACCAAUUAUUAGUUUUUUUGUUUGUCUCCCCAAAGGAACGUACCACCGAUCAUGAGAACAUGGUAUACACCUGGUUCGACAAUUACAUUUUUAUUUAUUUAUUACUGUCCAAGCUACCAGAUUUCACAUGCCACCGAUCCAGGGAACAUGACAUGCUACUGUAGGUAGACUAGACUUAUUCAUUAUAAGAUAUACUUUUUUUACUUUUCAAAUUAACAAAAACAAGAAUCAUCACUCAGCCAUGUCUGGUUCACAUACUACCGAUCCAGGGAACAUAGCAUGCUAAUCCAUAGUGGUAAGUGAUUGCUCUGAAUGGGAACACAAUAGGCACAAACUCAGCAUCUAACACUUAAUGAUCUAAGUGUAGCAUGGUAAAAGCAGAAAAUGAUUAAGUUUACUAGUGCACUAGGGAUUUGAGCACUCAAAACUAAUAGCUUUCACUACUUUCAGCCAAGCAAGCAGUGUGUAGAUCACUAGUUUACAAGGCAUUCAACAAUUAGUUCGCAUAUUCUCAUCAAGCACCAUAUGUCAAAUAAAAUUCAGUGGGGCAACAUUUAAGAAAUGGCUUAAUAAGCAACCCAAAUAACAUUUGAUUUUAGCAUGUAUCAAUGGAUGAUAUACUCGGAAUGGGUCAUGAAACAGCUCACGGGCACUAUGAAGUAGCACUCGCUUGAUCACUAUCUAAGCUGCUGCUCUUCUCCUUUGCUUCCUCAUGGAUGCUCCAGCUUCACUCUUCUUCGUGUGUGCCCCCUUGCUUCUCCUCAUCCCCAUGCUCUGAGUCCACCAGGGUCCCAAGGAAUGUCACCUUGAACCUGGUCAGCAUGAAGGGAACGAUGCAGAAGCAAAAAACCUAAAAGAACACUCCACAAAGGAGACGAUGCAAGCGGUAGGGAUAAUACCCUCCAAGUCAUCAAUCGAGUAUCCAAUUACAUAAGCAUAGCUAUAAAGCACAUGUUUAGGAUGGUAGAAAUCAGCAAGGUCAACACUAACAUGAGGAUGAUAUUUAUCAUUAAGCUCAAAACUAGCAUGGGAAUGAUAUGUUUCAUUAAGCAAAGGACUAGCAUGAGGAGAAUAAGUGUCAUCAUCAUAAAUGAGAGCAAUACCACCAACCGUGUAUGUAUCAUCAUAUCCAAGCAAAUGAGUUUUCAAAUCAAUCUUAAGUGAUGAUAUCAUGUAAUGCAAGGAAGUAGCAAAGAAAUUAUACGGACGCAUGCCAUCAAGAGGAUUAGAUAAACAUGCUACAUCACGCUCCUGUAUGACGAUGGGAAAAUGUAUUUCUGGUUCUUCAUCUUCAAUCACAUCAACUUCUUUUGCUUCUUCAAGAGUAAUAGAUGAUGAGUCUUCAAUUGAUUGCUUGGGCUUUCGAGGUCUGGAUCCUCUUGUUCGUCUUGUUCCUUGUUUUCCAGUUCAUCUUCUUCAAUCUGAGGUAUCUCUUCCUCAAGUCUCUUACUAUCUUGCGCAGCUAGAUGUGACAGUGUUGGAACCUCAUAUGUUUGACUAGAGAUCUCAGCAGCACUCAGCUCAAGGAGGGAUGAGAUAGUACUGCCAGCGUCGAUGUUCUUCUCAAUCUUCCUUACUUCUUCCACUAGCUCAUUCCCACUCUUGAUCUUCUUCAUUUCAUCUAGUAUCACCGGCCUAAUUGGAUCAUCUUCAGCACUCAAAGUGAACUCGAGACUAAGCAAUGUGAGCUUGUCUAUAUCAUCAAAAUCAUCUUGUGUGGGCACUUGUGUUGAAGGUGUUGGUUGACCAAAUGGAGGACCAUUUAACUCCAUUGGCAACAUCUCCUGGUGUUGAGGUAUAUGAGUAGGAAGUGAAUAAAAUUGUUCUGGUGCAUAAUUGUUGCUCUCCUCAUUGUACCUAAUUCCCUGCAAUGGAUAACUAGAGGCAAACGAUGAGAUCUCAGGGCUGUUGUUCCUAUAUGACAUAUUCUGGUUUUCAGGCCACCCAUAUGAGUAAUUGUUUUGGUAUGAGCUAGGCUGUGGGGCGAAGCUCAUGCCAUAACAAUCGGGAGGGUGAGAGUAACCACGCUGACAUUCAGCGGGUGAAUGGCCCUGAAAUCCACAAAUAUGGCAUGUAGGAGCAACAUAAGGAUGACCUCUAGAAUAAGGAUCAUAAGAGCUAGCCCUAUCCUCAAAAACUACUUCUCGCUGCCGAGCUAAAUCAUCUAAUCGAUGGGAAAUCUUACUUAUCAGUUCUUGAAUACUUUCCAUGCUGUUUGUAGUGUUGCUCGUAUAAGCAUGAUGACCUGAGUUCAAUGCCAUUUCCAAGAAGAAAAUCCAACUUACAAAAAAAGAGAAAAUAACUAGAACAGUGGUUAGGGGUUAGUUAUAUAUCACAUAUAAAUGUCGCAAAAAGAAAACAAUAAAAACCUAGUCUAUAGCCUAAUACGGUCACUCGACGCUAGUCCACGGCAAUGGCGCCAAAAUGAUCGAUUGUAAGUACAGUGGGAUAUUUCGCCCGAACCGCAAGUGUCGUGUUCUCCACAGGGACUAGGCGACGACAACAAUGCUCGGCUAAAGCUAGGUGUUGGGGAUAUAACUAUUAGGUAUGACCCACCCAGGAGGGGCCGGGUUAUACCUAUGGCAAUUCAUGAAGCCCAAGACAGCUCUGGAAGAUGGCGGUUCAGUUAAGGGCCCAAGGUCCAAAGGCGACUCAAGGCCCGUAGAGAUAAACCGCCAUAUGUACGUAACUUGUAUUGUAAGGCAGGGAUAGUUAGAGACCGAGCCGGACACUGUUUAUGAGCCGUCCGGGACUCUGUGAGCCUCUGGACGUCGACCUCUGUAUAUAAAGGGACGACCCGGCGGCGGUUCAGGGGGGAAGUAACAUCAGAUCGAAAGCUAGGUCAAGCGGAUUCGCUCCCUAGUAAUCAAAACAUAAGCAAUACCAUUUCAAACUGGAUUAGGACUUUACCUUCACCGUAAGGGGUCGAACCAGUAUAAACCCUCGUGUCCUUUGUCCUGUUUUAACCCCUUUAAGCUUCCUAGUUGCGAUGGCUCCACGAUUAAGUCCUUUCACUAGGACAUCUGCCGUGACAAUUCCACGACAGUUGGCGCCCAUCGUGGGGCAUGCGCAUGGUGGAUUUGAGUUCUUGAAGGGCAGCUUCGAAGGGCUCAAGGGAUACGCUGUGGGCCGGAUGACCAAGAGUCGUCGCGGCAAGCUCUACAUCGACGACGCAGGCUGCGGCCCCGACGCCGGCUCAAUUGAGUACGGGUACCGGGUCCCCUUCGGCGGAAUCCAUGUCUUCAUCGGCCAGAUCGGCAAGCCGGUCCUGAGCCGGACAUCUACACCGACAUCGUCGAGACGGCUCAGCGUGCGAAACCCGCCCGAGCUCAGCCCGCCAUGAAGCGUGCCUUCAUGGGAUGCAUCCAUGGAGGGGAAUUUUUUGAAGGAUCUGUGUCUGGCGGUGAGACGGCCAUCUACUCUGAUGGUGAGUCAUCCACGGGCGAGACAAAUUCAUUGUAUCAACUGCAGGACGGUGGGCUUGGGGGCUGUUCCGAUGGCAGCAGUAUUCCGGACCCCUUUGAGCCGCCAAGCAGAGUGGGGAUCUUCAUGGCUGGCAUGCAACCCGGUCAAAACUCUACGGCUGCGGCAGCAAUAACCUCUGGGUCAGUGGCGGCCGUGGCAGGAGGCCCUGCGCGCCCGCUGGCUCAGGUGCUGAUGGAUCUCAUGGAUAGGAUGACAGCCCUGUUAACCGCCGUGGUUAAUCCGGCGGAUCAGGCUCAACAUGAGGCAGAAGUGGCACGGUUACAUGAGGAGGUAGCACAAGGCAAGGAAAACCUAGUAGCAGAGGAUGUUAGGAUGGCCACAGAGUGGGCGGCUUUGGAUGCUCGGGCGCAGCAGAUUCAAUCAGAGGCUUUCCAGCUUAUGAUGGAUCUGAACACAUCAAAUGAGGUCAUGAGGAGAAGGCACCAGAAGGCUAAUUCCCGUCUACCUCCGACUUAUGAUCCUAGAAACCUCUUCCGCACACCCGGUGCAGGCCCCAGUAACCCGCCGGAGGGAAACGGGGUUGCAACGUCCGGGGCUGGGACGCCGGUUCAACCACGGGUGAUGGAACCUCCUCGUAUGAAUACUUCUUCACCUCAUUAUGUACCAACACCACCGGGUCAUUAUUCUAACACUUUGGAGAACAUGGUCACUGCGGCGGCACGAUUGGCGGCUCUCCCGGUGGAGGGCGACUCUCUGACGGCGAUUGAAACACGAAGGGUUAGAGAACUUCAGACGGCUCUGGCGCAGCAGGAGGCAUAUUCGUAUAGUCAAGACAGGAUUCAUUCAACCCCUCGCCCAAGACGGAUCCCGAGUUAUAGCAGGCACAUAGAUUCAGCAGCCGUUUCAAGCAACGCCCAUCGUCGUGACCAGCCGUGCGGGCAUGACCCGGCGCGUUAUGGAGCUCCUAACUUGGUUUACCAGGACAGGAUACGCCAAGAGGCUGAGUGGGCGGUUCAGCAAGCGGCUAAGCGGGCGGCUCAGCGGGCGGCUUACCAGUCUUUUUUGGUUUAUCCGAUGACUUCUAUUGAGGCAGGCGUGACUACGAGGACUGGAGGUGUCCCUUGCCUGAUGCUGGCUCUGCGUAACGAGCGGGUGCCCAAGGAUUUCAAGGGGCCUCGAAAGGUGCCUAAUUACACGGCCGAUUUACAGCCCGGGGCAUGGAUUGAAAGUUAUGAGAUGGCCAUGGAACUACUGGAGGUCAGUGACGCUGCAAUGGCCAAGUACUUCACCAUAAUGUUGGAUGGGAUGGCCCGCACUUGGUUAAAGGGCCUGCCACCUAAUUCCAUUAGUUCAUGGGCAGAGUUAAAGGCCCGGUUUAUUCAGAACUUCAAAGACACAUGCAAGCAGCCCAUGUCAAUUGUGGAUUUGACUAAUUGCAAGCAAGAGGAAGGUGAGUCCACAACCCAUUGGGUGCGCCGGGUCAAAGCCAUAAUACAUUCAUCUGAUAAGAUGGAUGCCGGCUCUGCAGUCUUAAUGUUGGUGAAAAAUUACCGUUUUACGCCUCUGAAACAGAAGCUAGGGCGGCUCAAGCGCGAUUGUAAUGACAUGGGCCAGCUAAUGGCGGCUCUAGUCAAGUACGUUGAUUCUGAUAGUACCAAGGAUCCCAAGUCUGACAAUGAGAAGACAGGGAAGGGAAAGAAGAAUGACAAUGCCAAGGGUCAUCAGCAUAACCCGGCGAAUCAAGGAGGCAAUAAUAAACGUAAGGCUGACGGUAGCUCGAAGUUUGUGGCUAACACCAAUGUGCAGGGCAACAAUCAACGACGUAAGGGGAGACCACCUCCUCGGUCCGGCGGGUCAGGUCCCACUCUUGAGCAGUUGCUAAAUGAGCCAUGUCCAAGGCACGGUACUCAACAGAAACCGGCCACUCACCUAUGGAAGGAAUGUACAAUCAUGAAGGCUUUCAAGAACUCUAACAUGUUCAAUGACAAUCAUGGGCCGGGCGGCGGCGGUUUUCAUGGCUCGGGCGGCGGUUCAAAUUCCAACUUUCAAGGCUCUCAAGGAAAGCAAGGUGGCUAUAAUCAGCAAUCUGGCCAGGGAGGUCAGCAGCAGCAGCAGUGUGGAUAUCAGAGCAAUCCAAAACAACUGAAUAGUGGACAGUAUCAUGUGUUCACCACCAGUUUGUGCAAAAGGGACCACAAGCUUCAUAAGAGGGCUGUGAACGCUGUUGAGCCGACAGUUGCUCGUUAUUUGAGAUGGUCUGAGCAGCCUAUUCUAUGGAGUAGGGAAGAUCACCCUCCCCGGGUUGACAAUCCGGGUCACUUGGCCUUAGUGGUGUCACCUCAGGUUGGUGGAUAUAAAUUCACUAAGGUGCUCAUGGAUGGAGGUAGUAGCAUCAACAUCCUCUAUUAUGAGACUUUUCGUCGCAUGGGUUGACUGAUAAAAAUCUUAAGACAUCCAACACUAUUUUCCAUGGAGUGUUGCCUGGUAAGUCGGCGUACCCAGUGGGUAAGAUUGAACUAGAAGUAGCCUUUGGAGAUGAGCAUGAUUCUAGGGCUGAGAAGUUAACUUUUGAGGUGGUCAAAAUCAAAAGCCCAUAUCACGCCCUGUUUGGAUGGCCGGCUUAUGCCAAGUUCAUGGCACGGUCGUGUUAUGUUUAUCUGCAGCUCAAGAUGCCGGGUCAUAAGGGCACCAUCACAGUGCAUGGGAGUCGGAAGAUAGCCUUGGAAUGUGAGGAAGGCGAUGCUGCUUACGCUGAAUCUGUUUGUGCAACAGAGGAGUUGAAGUUCUACAAGGACAAUGUUGACCCGGCGGACAUGACGUCUUUGAAGAAGCCAACCACAGAACAUGAGCCGGCGCUGAAAUUUAAGUCGGCUGAUGACACCAAGCUUGUCAAUUUUGUUCCAGGUGACUCAUCUAAGCAGUUCAGUAUCAGUGCUAAUCUGGAUCCAAAAUAGGAAAGCGCUCUCAUCGAGUUCAUCCGUGAGAAUCGAGACAUCUUUGCAUGGAAACCUUCUGACAUGUCAGGUGUACCGAGAGAUCUUGCUGAGCACACUCUCAAUAUUGAUCCAAAGUUUAAGCCGGUCAAGCAGUUUCUUCAGCGGUUCAAUGAGGAGAGGCGUAAGGGCAUUGGUGAGGAAGUGGCCCGACUCUUGGCGGUCGGGUUCAUUAUUGAAGUUUUCCAUCCAGAGUGGUUGGCUAACCCGGUGCUCGUGCUUAAAAAGAAUGGCACCUGGCGUAUGUGUGUGGAUUACACGGACUUAAACAAGGCUUGUCCGGCUGAUCCUUUCGCGCUCCCUCGUAUUGAUCAAAUCAUUGAUGCUACGGCGGGUUGUGAGCGUUUGAGCUUUUUGGAUGCUUAUUCUGGUUAUCAUCAGAUCAAGAUGGCAGUUAAGGACCAGGAGAAGAUGGCUUUUAUUACUCCGUUUGGAGUCUUCUGCUAUGUGUCUAUGCCUUUUAGGCUUAAGAGUGCCCAGGCGACUUAUCAGCGAUGUGUGCAGAACUGUCUUCACAGUCAGAUUGGGCGCAAUGUUCAUGCUUAUGUGGACGACAUUGUGGUGAAGUCCAGAGAGAAGGAGACCUUGACAGAUGAUCUGAAGGAAACCUUUGAUAACCUCCGGGUCUACAAGAUGAUGCUUAACCCGGCCAAGUGUGUUUUUGGAGUGCCAGCGGGCAAGCUUUAGGGUUUUCUGGUUUCUAACAGAGGCAUCGAGGCUAACCCGGAGAAGAUCAAGGCAAUCACGUCUUUGGCUAAGCCGGCGUGUAUCAAUGAUGUUCAACGUUUGGCGGGUCGUAUUGCUGCCUUAAGCCGGUUCAUAAGCCGGUUAGGUGAGAAGGCCAUACCGUUGUAUCAGAUGAUGAAGAAGACAGACAACUUUGUCUGGAGUGAUGCUGCUAACGCUGCCUUUGAAGAUUUGAAGAGAUAGCUCGCUGAGCCGUCGGUCCUUGCUGCUCCCAUUGAUAAGGAGCCAUUAUUGUUAUAUGUGGCUGCUAACACACGUGCUGUCAGUGUGGCCAUUGUCGUAGAGCGCAAGUAGGAUGGCAAGGAAUAUCCAGUUCAAUGGCCGGUUUACUACGUCAGUGAGGUGCUUAUUGAGUCCAAGCAAAGAUAUCCACACUGGCAGAAGCUCGUUUAUGGGGUAUUCAUGGCGAGCUGGAAGCUUAAGCAAUAUUUUCAGGGUCAUCCCAUCACUGUGGUUAGUUUUGCUCCUUUAGGAGAUAUCAUUCAAAAUAGAGAAGCCACAGGACGAGUCGCCAAGUGGGCCAUUGAACUUGGGCCUCAUGGUUUAAAGUAUGUGCCACACACUGCUAUCAAGUCCAAGCAUUGGUGGACUUCAUCAACGAUUGGACAGAGCUGUAGAUGCCUGAAGAGAAGCCGGACAACACAUAUUGGACUAUUCACUUUGAUGGGUCCAGACAAUUGGAGGGCUCGGGGGCUGGAGUUGUUUUAGCUUCCCCUGGAGGUGACAAAUUUUGGUAUGUGCUACGGUUGAUGUUUCCCUGUACUAACAAUGUAGCUGAGUAUGAGGCCUUGCUCCAUGGUCUUCAGAUGGCUAAGGAGAUGAGCUUAAGCCGGGUAAGGUGCUUUGGCGACUCAGAUUUGGUGGCUCAACAAGUAUCAGACAAGUGGGAUUCCAAGGAUCCUCUUAUGGCGGCUUAUCGCCAUGAAGUUGAUGCCAUUACUGGACACUUCAAGGGUUACCAAGUGGAGCACAUUGAUCGCAGAAAGGAUGAGGCGGCUGAUGCUUUAAGCCGGCUGGGGUCUCAGCAUAAGCCGGUGCCACCUAACACUUUCUUAGAUAUUCUGCAUAACCCUUCUGUCAAGUUGCCUACAGAGGAAGACUUGGCUGUUCCAGACCCGGAAGCACAAUUGGUGGCGGCUCUUCACGUCAUCCCAGAUUGGACAGUGCCAUAUUUGGCUUAUAUGACCCGGGGCGAGUUGCCUGAGGAUGAAACCCUGGCUAGACAGAUAACCCGGCGGUCUAAGUCAAUGACAAUUGCCAAUGGUGAGUUGCAUCAUCGCAGUGUCACUUGGGCGUUUCAACGAUGUGUCUCUCCUGAGGAAGGUCAAGAAAUUCUUCAUGAAAUCCAUGAAGGAGAUUGUGUCCAUCAUGCCGGUUCAAAGUCUCUUGUGGCCAAAGCUUUCCGUCAUGGAUUUUAUUGGCUGACGGCUCACGCUGAUGCGGAGGAUCUAGUCAGUAAAUGUGAUGGUUGCCAGAAAUUCUCACGACGGGCUCACAUGCCGGCUCAAGAAUUGAGGAUGAUUCCAAUUACUUGGCCAUUUGCAGUCUAGGGGCUCGACAUGGUUGGGCCUUUCAAAAGGUCCAAAGAUAAAAAGACACACCUUCUGGUGGCGGUUGACAAAUUCACAAAGUGGGUUGAGGCAGAACCGGUUAUUAGUGUGACGCAGCCACAACGGUUCAAUUCAUGAAAAAGGUGAUCUUUCGUUUUGGCUUUCCACACAUCAUUAUAACUGACAAUGGUACUAAUCUGUCCAAGGGUGCCAUGGAGGAGUUCUGUCAACGUGAGCACAUCCGGCUUGAUGUUUCAUCAGUAGCUCACCCCCAAUCCAAUGGUCAAGCUGAAAGAGCCAAUCAGGAAAUCUUGAAAAGCAUCAAGGCCUGGAUUAUGGUUCCUUUACAACGGACGCCGGGUUGUUGGGUCGAGGAGUUACCCUCUGUGAUAUGGAGCAUCAAUACCACCCCUAACAGGUCUACGGGUUACACGGCUUUCUUCAUGGUUUACGGAGCCGAAGCGGUUCUCCCUAGUGACAUCCAUCAUGACUCGCCCCGCGUGGCAGCUUAUGUUGAGGCUGAUAAUGAACAAGCACGUCAGGAUGCAUUUGACCUGUUAGAUGAGAAGCGCGACUUGGCAGCAGCCCGCUCGGCGAUUUACCAGCAGGACUUGUGCCGUUAUCACAGCCGCCGGGUUAAGUCCAGAACCUUUCAAGAAGGUGAUUUGGUGCUCCGGCUCAUCCAGGAUCAAACUGACUCACACAAGUUAUCCCCACCUUGGGAAGGGCCCUUUGUGGUCAGCAUGAACUUGCACAACGGGUCAUACUACCUCAUCGAUGUUCGAGAGCACAAAGACUCACGUAAGUCGGAGGAAGAGAACCGUCGGCCGUGGAAUAUCGCUCAUCUUCGGCCUUAAUAUACUUGAGCCACCAGCGCUCAUAAUGUACAUAUUUUGACGAUGUAUAUAUUAUGAUAAGUAAUAAAAUAGGACCUCUGUCCUUUUCAUCCUCAAUGAUCAUAUGUCUUCAUCAUCAUAAUUUUAAAUGACCAAUUGGGGGCUGAUCGUACUCGAAUCCAGCUUAACCCUUUGGUCCGGCUCAUGAUCGCAUUCGAAUCUAGCCGUUAAACCUCAUGAUCACUAGGGGGCUUCCUGUUCAAACAUAGGCCAUAUUCGAACCAAAGAGAACAUAGCUGUCGGUAUCCUCUUGAUCGGCACAAUGCCAAACUCACUAGGGGGCUUCUUGAUCGUAUUCGAAUCAUAGCUUAACCCCUUUUGGGUCUGACUUUGAUCGUAUUAGAAUCAGAGUCGUUACAAAAAAACUCUCAAGGUCAUUCGGGGGCUUCCUAUUCAAACAUAGGUCGUAUUCGAACCAAAGAGAACAUAGCUGUCGGUACCCUCUUGAUCGGCGCAUCGCCAAAGCCACCGGGGGCUAGAUGAUCGUAUUCGAAUCCUAGCUUAACCCAUUUGGUCCGGUUUACUGAUCGUAUUCGAAUCAGAAGCCUCAAAUUUUUCUUUCUAUUUGGUUUAAGUUUUUUGAAAACAAUCUUUGUUUUUGUCUUGAGGCUUUUUAUCCAGAUCUAAGUAUAAGUAUGGUUUAAAUUUAACCCAGCUUGGUUUUGGAUGAUCAGUCGCCAGCGCAUGACAAUCAUCAUACAUGUGGAAGUGUUGGCUUCUAAAGGAUGGGGUUAUCACCCUUACUGUUCAGGUCACAUGAACCGGCAGUGCAAAUUCGAAAUCACAGGUAUGAUACUAUGGUUGUGGUUCAACGCUAUAAUUCAUAACAGGCUUAUCUGUGUCUCUUCUUUCAAUAUUAAUGGUUGUAUGUAAGAUGUUAUGACCCGCCCUGCGGUAAGCCGCCAAGGGUUCUUGUGAUCUAUUUCUGUGUGCAGGACAGUUCAAAGACUUUCUUAUGCAUAAAUAAAACAAAUGAUAAGUUUAAAAAGGGGAGAGUAUAAGGCGGCGGCUUAACAGUGUUGAGCACCAAAACGUGCAUGAUGGCACGACAAAGCAAAGUCAUUUCUACCCUAUUACAUGACUCGCCGAGUCCAAAUGAUUAAAUUGUUUUUCAGCAAGGUACAAAUAUGAGCUGCCCGGCGGUUCAGUCUUCUUGGCCUUGUUGCUUGGAGUCUUCUGCGUCAUCCUUUGCCGGCUCUUCGUCUUCUUCCGCUAGCUGAAAAGUUGGUGAUGACCAAUCGAUACCAGAUAAAGCUUCAUUCAGCUUCAUCAUCUAUAAGCUCAGACAGAUCGACUUCAGGAGCAAAGGUGUGCUUACGAAUUGGCGGGAUUAAGUCCAUCACUCUGUAAGCCGGAGUUGGCAUCUUCUUAUGGUCCCGGUCAUAAGCCGGUUGGUACUUGGAGAGGUCCGAGUCAUUCGCAAUCAUUGUGGCCAUUGGACGGAUUUCCUUUACACAGGCCGCGAAGUCUUUCUGAUUGAAAGGUGUACCAUAUUCUUUCAGACUUGGGUAACCAGUAGCUACCUCAGAUGGAUCAAGCUCUGGUACCCAUGCCUUGGCCCGACUCAAGGCUGUCACGACGCCGGCUCUUGCAGAUGAUCGCUUUAUUUCAUCAAAUCUAACAGGAGCACAUAAAGCUUCUUCAAAACAUCUAUGAACAUAGUUGGUGCUUGACCUGUUGGUGAGAUAGAGGCCAGUGCACGUUGAGUCCCGGUGCACAGCUGUUCAACAAGGGUAUAGAAAACUUUCAGCUUGACAAGCAUGUCUUGAUUGAGGUUGCUGCUCCUGGGACCUGAAUAGAUUGUAGUACGAUUAAGAUGGCGAGUUAUAUGAUCAAAGAUAAUGAUUCACUUCUGAUGCUUGAUAAAGGCGACUCACUGAAGAUGGUUGAAACCAUCUGAUUAACACGGCUUUUUAAAUCGGACAGUUCAGUGGUCGCUUCUUGAAGUGCUGCUUCUGCCUUCUCAGCACGUUGGGUCAAGGCCGUCUUCUCAUCUGCCCAGGAUUUUCUCUCUGCUUCAAAGCCGGUCUUCAAUUUUUCCGACUCAGCCAAGCUAAAUUGGAAUUUGGACUCAGCCUUCCGGGAUUCAGUUUCCUGAGUCGCCAGCUGGCUCUUGGCAUCAUUUAGUUGGGAUUCCAGUUCAGCAGUGGCAGACUGCACAAGGAGCAGAAUUGUCGAAUAUCAGAUUUAUUAGAUUGCAAGUCCCAAGUCUUUUGCCUGCAACAACACUUGACACUUGGGGGCUAAUGUCUAUCGAAGCUAAAUUUUCAAAAAAGCGGCUCUAAUAAAGUCCCAAGUACUUUGCAAGCAAAACUACUUGGCACUUGGGGGCUAAUGCAUACCGUUUGUUUUUUCUUUAUUAUGAGCCGGAAGUAAUGUAACUGUCCUAACCGAUUCAUAGGGGCAAUGCAGUCAAAAUCUUUCUUCUUAUACAAAGACAAACAAGGACCGGCUAAUUCCCAUGGAUUAAGCCGGCCCUUUGGGGCUACGGACGGAAAGUUAAAAUCCGCUUUACAUUUAAACCGGCCAAAGAGGGAUUCUAUGGCAGCAGUUGUGAAUUGUUUUUCAAGUCCACAACCUAUAUUAUCAUAAAUAGUAGACUUGGGGGCUGGCAGGAUAUGUAUACAAAUUACUUAAAGAUGGAAAUUCAUACCUCAUAUUUUUGGUGCAUCUGCUUCACCAUAUCAAUUUUGAGGCCGCGGCUGGAGUGGACCUGGAUGAGAUAGCCGGAGAGGAUCUCAUUGCUGUUUAGUUGGGAGUAUUGAGAAAUAUCAAACUUCUGUUUCCGCCUCUCAAUGACUUCUUGUUUGGCAGUAUGUUUGGCCAGAGCUAUCAGAUUUCCCGGCUCUACAAAGCUGGUGCCAGUAAUCAACACAUCAUCAUUUUGAGGCUCUGACGGCUUAGUUGAGUCGGAGGGGGCAGAAGUUGAAGGACUGAUGGCAGUGCCACCAACGCUAAGUUCCGGAAUCUCAGGAGGGGUGACAGUGACAGUGUCUUCCGGAUGCUUAUUGGAAGCCUCAGGGACAGGUAUUUGUUGUUCCGGCUCAGGGAUUUCCGGUGCUUCUAUUGGCUUGAUCACUUUAGCGUUUUUGUUUGGCUUUGCUUGACCACUACAGAGGUUAUGAAAAGUCAGUAUUAAUAUAAGUACAUAUGAAGGUACAGAGUAAAGCUAAUUGAUAUUACCCAGGGGCAGUCUUGAAAGCCGACAUUUCAGUUUAUGAUGAGCCGUCAGAAGAAGAACGAGCAAGUUCUUGGUCAAUGAUCAUUAAAAGAGUUAAGUAACAAAUAAGCAAGACCCGUUGACAGAUGAGAAGAAUUUUUCGAGUUUAAACACCUCGUUUCGGCGUUUCCGAGGGGCAGGGGUGUUCGGUAAGCCGGAUGAUAAUUCAUCACCUCCGCUGGUCCGGGUCUGGAGAUAGCUUUCAUGCUGUUGUCGUUUCAAAAGAAAGUGAGGAUCUAAAUAAGCCAAGGGGUGUGAAAACCUUACUUUCUGGGUUACUUGUCGAAGUUUCUGUCUUAGCAAAGAUUCUGAGCCGGAGGAAAUAAUAGUUACCUCUUCUUCAACUGCUUGGCUGGCUCCCGUCUCAGCCUGAUAAUAAGCAGUGUCAAUAAGAUGGUUGAAAAAUAAGCCAAGAGAGUCAAGGGCUACCUCCGACUCAGAGGUAUCAUCCAACUUAAGCAUGUCAGAGGCGCUUGGUUUCUUCUUCUUCUUGGUGGUCUUCUUGGCGGUUUUCCUAGCGGCCUUCUUGGCAGCUCUGGCCUUCUUAGCAGCCUCGUGGUCAUAUUCCGCCUUCCAGAAUUCCGACUUACCCUGUAGAGGUUGUCAACAGUUGAGUUAAUCAGAUAUUCGAAUAAUGAGGUGAAGAUACAGUAAAGUUCAGAGGCUUACAUCUGGAGCCGGGUUAAGCUUGCAGAAAGGGGCCAGACCCACUUUGACACAAUCCUCCGGGUCUUGAUUUAAAAGAGACUUCACCAUUUCAUUGAUUGCUUCUUCAGACAAUGGUUCGGAGCUAUGGCGCAGUGAAUCUGUUGUAUCACCACUAUAGGUGCCCAUUAAGCCGGUGCGACGGCUCAACGGGAUGAUCCGCCAAGAAACCCAGCACCUGACUAAAUCAACACCAGUCAGCCCGUUUCCUAGCAGAGCUUUGAUUUUCAUGAUGGUAUGUGCAAUCUUCUUCCGUUCAGCUGCAAAGAGCUUUUCAGGGAGAUUAUGUUUGGGGUCCAGGCGCUCAACACGAUAACCCAGUAGAGGAUUCUCAUCAGCCGGAGAAGUGUCUUUGCAGUAAAACCAUGUCUGAUUCCAGUCUUUAGGGUGACUCGGCAGCAUGGCGUAAGGAAAGAUGGCGUCUCUGCGAUGUUGAAUCGAGAUUCCGCCUAGUUCCAAGCUAGGGCCAUUGGUGAAUGCAGUCUGGCGGUUUAAGUAAAAAUACUCUCGAAAGAGUUCAACACUGGGCUCCUCUUUAAGAUACACCUCACAAAAGACUUGAAAGUUGCAAAUGUUUGACACGAAAUUGGGUUCGAUGUCUUGAGGGUGGUGCUGGAAGAAGUGCAGCACGUCUCGAAAAAACUUAGAGCUGGGCGGUGAGAAACCCCAGUUCAUGUGGUCAGUAAAGACAAUGACUUCGCCGUCUUUUGGUUGGGGUUUCUCUUCACCCGGGUUAGGAGCACGAUAAUGCAUCACGCUCUUGGUGGGUAAAUAUCCGAUUUUGAAAAAAAAAUCCUUGAGGGUGCUCUCGGUGACGAUGGAAGGGACCCAAUUGCAGGUGUACACUAUUUUAGGCGGCAUUGUGGAAGAAAACCUAAAGGAAAGAAAUAUUGCCGAUUCAAACUUAAGCCGGAGAGGAAAAUAUUACAGUGCAUAUUCAAGAUGGCGGCUUACAAAGGGGCCUAAUGGUAUAUGACUAAAUUAUGUCAGGUUAUGUAAACCGCCAUGAGCAGUGCAAAUUAUUUAAGCCGCCAUGAUAAGUUGGAUGAUGUCUGUUGAGCAUUUCAAUUUAAGUCGGCAAUUUGAGCCACCAUGGCUAGGUGGAUCUAACAAAUGCAGUUUUUGCCUAAGUGUUAUACAAAAAAGUUUCAUAGGCUGCAACUAUUAUUUCGGAUCAACGUUUGUUCAGGAAAAGAAAAAUAAAUCUAGACCUAAAAACCAGUACAGAUGAGUUCAUGAGCUUUCACAAGAUUUUUCUUCCAGGAAAGGGAAUCUACUGAUAUCAAAAGUGGGAAUAAAACAACUACCGCAUUGGUUGAACACCAUUUUUAGAUCAAAGAAGCUCGCGGUACAGCCUGGAAGAUGAACUACGAAGAACACAGAGAAACUCGCAAACCCGAAUGCGGAUCUGAGGUAUGGGAAGGCAGAAAUUUACAGCUGCAGAUCUACUGCGGAGGGUCGCCGCCGUUCUCUAGAUCGACUCAGGUUGAUGCAGCGGCCGAGGUUGAGGAAGACGAGGUGCUCUGCGGCGGCAGUGGAGCUCGAGCGGCAGAAGGGUUGCGAGAGGAAGAAGACGCUGGAAAGGGGGAGAAUGAGGAAAGACCGGUCGUGCCUAUUUAUAAGGAGACUCUUAAGUGGGAGCGAAAAACGAGGAGGCCAAAAAUAUGGUUAUCCAGCUACCAGGACGCCUCGAUUCUUGGGAUGGUCAUUAAGAUAAGGAUCCAUUGAGAUACGUUGGAUAAAGUGUGAAGUAAUGGCAGAUGACAUCAUGGCGGGUAAUCACAAAUCCAGAAGAUGACGUCAUGGCGGGUUACAAAUUCUCGCACAAUGAAGAGCAGAAAAUUUUAUGUAAGUGUUGAAGAUUGACAUGAACCAGCUCAAAUCAAUCUGGGGCCUAAUGUUGGGAAUAUAACUAUUAGGUAUGACCCGCCCAGGAGGGGCCGGGUUAUACCUAUGGCAAUUCAUGAAGCCCAAGACAGCUCUGGAAGAUGGCGGUUCAGUUAAGGACCCAAGGCCCAAAGGCGACUCAAGGCCCGUAGAGAUAAAUCGCCAUAUGUACAUAACUUGUAUUGUAAGGUAGGGAUAGUUAGAGACCGAGCCGGACACUGUUUAUGAGCCGGCCGGGACUCUGUGAGCCACUGGACGUCGACCUCUGUAUAUAAAGGGACGACCCGGCAGCGGUUCAGGGGAAGUAACAUCAGAUCGAAAGCUAGGUCAAGCGGAUUCGCUCCCUAGUAAUCGAAACAUAAGCAAUACCACCUCAAACUGGAUUAGGCCUUUACCUUCACCGCAAGGGGCCGAACCAGUAUAAACCCUCGUGUCCUUUAUCCCGUUUUAACCCCUUUAAGCUUCCUAGUUGCGAUGGCUCCACGAUUAAGUCCUUUCCCUAGGACAUCUGCCGUGACAAUUCCACGACACUAGGCGGCAGAAUUUUAAGAGAGGAUUGCAAGAAAAUAAUAACUUAAACUAGCCAGGGUUGAUGACAAAGAAAUCCUAAACAGCAAGGGGAAAUUCAGAUUUUACUCAUUGUCUUUUUGGUAUUUUCAUAAUGCUUGAGAAGUUAAAAUACUAAUACGAGCAUACAUCAAUGACAAGAGAAGUGAAAGGACAUGAACGUAACAUGACAAGGACACAUAUAUAACUAUCAAACAUGUACCAGAGGAAAGAAACAAGAUAAUAUGAAAGGGACAAAUAUAUAUCACAACACAAACAUAUAUAUUUUCACAUGAACAUAGUUAACACAAGAACUAUGGUAUAAACAUAACCACACAUAUGGGAACAAAGUACUACACCAAGGUUCAGGUUACACGAGUGACAACACAAACGAAAUUACACAAGCCACUAAACUAGUACUCGCAGAUCAACAGAAGCAGCAAGACAGAGAGGAAAG
This 95601-nucleotide long non-coding RNA is filed under the name Triticum aestivum (bread wheat). Its description in RNAcentral is "long non-coding RNA (TAES_LNC023932)". The record is from RNAcentral. Lineage: Eukaryota; Viridiplantae; Streptophyta; Magnoliopsida; Poales; Poaceae.